RNAcentral lists this long non-coding RNA (100591 nucleotides) under Pelobates cultripes (western spadefoot toad). The record is from RNAcentral. Lineage: Eukaryota; Metazoa; Chordata; Amphibia; Anura; Pelobatidae.
CACACUGCCUUCUGCAUCAGCACCAAGCAACAGGACAGCUACAGUGGCUGCCCUGCAACACCCUCAAAACCUUCUGCAUCAGCACCAGGCAUCAGGACAACCACAGGGGCUGCCCUGAAAAACCCUCAAAACCUUCUACAUCAGCACCAGGCAUCAGGACAACCACAAGGGCUGCCCUGAAAAACCCUCCAAAACCUUCUACAUCAGCACCAGAGAUCAGGGCAACUAGAGGGACUGACCCGCAACACCCCCCCCCCCCCUUUUUUUACAUCAGCACCAAGCAUUAGAACAGUUAGCUACAACAGCCUCCCCUGCUUUCCACAUCAGCACCAAACAUAAGGACAACUACAGGGGCUGCCCUGUCACCUCUUCUAAAACCUUCUGCAUCAGCACCAGGACAACUACAGGGGCUGCCCUGCAACACCCCCUCCCCCCACCCCCCACAGCCCUUACCCCUCUGCUUUUUACAUCAGCACCAAGCAUUAGUCAGUUAGGUACAGUAGCUGCCCUGCAACAGCCUCCCCUGCCUUCCACAUCAGUACCAAGCAUCAGGACAGCUACAGUGACUCCCCUGCCACAUCUUGCAUUGCCUUCAGCACCAAGCAUCAAAACAGCUACAGGGGCAGCCCUGCAACAUCUUGCAUGUCUCACAAAGCCCACUUUGAGUCUGUGUGACUGUGAGAUUGUGUGUGUCUCUAUAGCUGUUAUAUCAUUGGGUCUGUCAUUUACCCUCCCUCCUCUGUUCUCUCUCCCUCUCUCUCACUCUCUCACUCUCUCUCUCACUCACUCUAAUGUGUGAUCUAGAAAGCUUAUAAAAGCCUGAUGUAAUUCGCUAUGCAGCCCCUGGCUACAAAGACGGGAUCUACUUUCACUGAGAAGCUAAAAUAAAAAGACAGACAGAAGACAUUGCAUACCAGCGGAUCCUGAGCAAACAUCUCUCUGGGAGACAAUUUCCUCCUGUUGUGGGCAAGCUGCAUGAAAUAUUCCUGAAGAAGGCUUGAUUGUCUCAUUGGAUGUAACCAUUUCUGGGAUAUUUAACUGGGAUUGUUACCUAAAGGCUGCUUUUCAUCUCCAGUGAUCCUAUUACCUGCACAUUGUGCUAUAAAGUUCCUUCCAGCCACCAGGUUUCCUAUUCUCCAGACUGGGCUCAUUUCAGCCUUUCUCUGUUUUGGGAGAUAGAGAGGGUUAUGGUGCUGGGCUGACACCUGGAAUUUGUCCUAAGGAAGACCAGGAGACGAUCUGAAGUGAAAGAAUCUCAGGUAAACAGAUACACUGAAACACAAACUUGUUUUAUAUUGGAGAUUGCCUUUGGAGGGCAUGUUUGUAAAUAUUUUGGAAUUGAGACCUUUGCUAGUAUUGCUGGGAGGUAUUGCUAAGUGGGGGGGUCUUUUUUUCCAGAUUAGUGAUUGUGGGGGAUAUCAUUCUACUUCCAAGUCACCUUAUAGAUGUCCAUGGAGAUAAUAGAACAUGGACACUAUAGUAUUCGUUUUAACUAUUCUAUGCCCAGAGCCCCAGCUUUAACCCCUUCAAGUCCAAGGUAAUGUAAAAUCCAUGUAAUUUGGGGAUGGCAGCCCUGAAGUGGUUAAAUAACAGUGGAUUACAUUAAUUGUUUAGUUGUAUAUGAAGAUAAUGUCCUUAACUCUUAAUUGCUGCUGCUGAAAAAAACCCCAUAAUAUAGAGAAUUGUGAUGCAUCUAACAUGCUUUGUGUGUGUGGAUCUAUGUGUAGUGUGUGUUUAUAUUGAAUGCAAACAUACUUCCAUUCAUCCAUCCAUACAUGUUUAACCCUUUCAGUGCAAAUGGUGCAUUGCACAGCUCUCUGGCACUAUACAUGUUAAUACAAAGCAAACACCAGAUCCUACCACUGCAUUGGAACCCAGACAGGCAUCAAAUCAUGACUACAUGGAACACAUGUUAAUUGGCUUAUAAUACAUUGUAACUGGUCACUGUAUAAGUUAGGUUAUCAUUACCCUGCAUAGCACAGGCUCAGUGAAAUACUAUGAUAGUGUGGGGCUCAUUUAAUGCUAGAUUACUUGGUCUGUUUGUUUAUUGGAGCCACCACAUGUGGCAUCUUAGAAGCUGGCAAAUUCCACUGAAUCUUAUUAUAGAGAGGCAGAAUUUCAAUGUUACACAUGUGGCACGCAGACAGUUAAAUGUUUAUGAAGCAUAUAUUAUGUUAAUUAAUUCAUUUAUUUCUGUAUUUAUUUAUUUGUUGUGUGUAAGAAUGGUGGCAUUAUCAUGAACAUGUAAACUAGCAUCCACAGCCAUAUGGGAUAAAGGACAAACAUAUGGUUUAUAUAUAAUAUAUAUCACUCUGUGCACCAUGACAUUUUUAUGAUUUUUUUUUUAACUUUAUAUUGGCAGCAGAAACAUUCCUGUGUGUAAUAUAUAUCUGUAUGUAUGUUGAUGGCUCUUUGCACAGCACAUGGACUGGGCGUAUAGCAGCAAUUGUGCCAGAGGUAAAAGACCACCCAGGUUCCAAAAUAUAAUAACCUCUACAGCCCACCACUGCACUCAUGGGUUUCCGCAGAAAGAACCUUGAUCUGUAUGGGUAAUUGCAAGACAACCUUUUGUGAAUUAUAGUUCCAGACAUCAUGUAGGAGUUAAUGGCACAUUCGCCUACACUCCGUCAUCCUUUUCUUAAAAAAAUGUUUUCCAAUCUUAAGCCUAUCUGAUUAAAGGUCUGAAAGGCAGACUUUGGCUGUAAUUUAGUUAUUAAAAUGUAAAUGCCAUUGAAUAGGAGAGGGUCAGAAUAUAUAUGACUUCAAUGCAAUGUGCAAGCCCCAUUCAUGGCUUGAGACAAGAAUUGGACAAUGACAUGAUUUAGAGACCUUCAAUUUGGGCACAAGCGAGGGGCAGGGUGAAUGUAUUCAUCCUCUAAAAAAAUCUUAAAAAAUACUAUUUAAAAAAAAAAACACUUUGAGAUCAUGUAGAGGUUCAUAAUUGUUUUAUUGUGACAUGGACAGAUAAAUGACUAGUGAUCAGUGGCAUUGCAAAAACAAACAAUAUUUCUAAAGAAAAUUAUAGCUAUUCAUUAUUAUGGCAUUCAUCCUUGAUAUAUCAAAGACUUGUUGAGUGUUUUAAACCGAUUUCAUUUGUGUCUUGUAUGUCCCCCAAAUGUAAACGUAUUUAUUACCAUAAUUACUUAUUCUGAACUAGCCUCCCUAUUUAAUGAGUGGAGUGCUGCUAAGGACUAUGCGUAUCUAUUCAAUCCACCCCCCUAUAAUUCACCUCUCUGUGUCAGGUUUCCCAGAUGAAUACCAUCACCUAACAUUGCACAUUUCACAUGUUCAUAGUGACUAAUACACAUUAUAAAUGAUUCAGCUCCACUAAAAGUGAGAAUUUCCUUAGUUCAAAUUAUGUGCUGUGAUUACACCUGCGUGUGCUGAAAAAGACUCAAAGAUACUUUGGGAAACUCUGAUCUCUUUUAAAUAUAGAAAAAUGGGAAAUCCAUAUGAUUUCGAAUGAUGUACUCCAUUGAUGGAGUUUAUUUUCUGUGAAUUAAAGAUUUAAGGCUUCACCUGGUUUUAAAUUAGUGUACUGGGGUACCAUGUUGUGGAUGCAGAGUACAACUCUGGGUACGACAUGUUAAUAUUAUGUUGCAUUAACACUCCACUCUAACCCCAGCAAUUCCAUAAUAUGGUAGAAUCAUUAGCAAAUUAAGUUCAAGGGGAGAGACAUGCUCUUCUGAUGAAUUUCAAUGGCUUCAACCUUUCAAACGGUGAGAGAUCCAUUGUAAGGUGAGGGCCUUACCUUCUGGCACUGAAACAGUUAAAAAUAGCAUCAUUUUCUUCAUGGGAAAAAUCAACCGUGAAAAAUUAUAUAUAGAAUCCAUAACUCAUCAAGACUUGCAUCUCCUUCACUUCCUAACCUACCUUUUUGUCUGGGGAAAAGCCCUUUCAUCUCAUCAUUUUAUGGGUCAACGAGCAUUAAAAAAAAAAAUCACCUAAAUAAUUCAGCUUGUCAUUGAGAGAGUGGAUAGAACAAGGAUACAGGUUAGGGAGGAUUGACAGAACUUGCAACAAUUGUGGGAGUAAGUAAGCAACAGUGAAAAUGAUGCAUUAUGCAGAAAUGUUGACGUGUAUGUUUUUUAAAAAAAUUUUUAUUUCAUAAACAAUUAACUUUUUUUCUCCUCGUAUGCUGUUGUCUCAAAUUCACCAUGAUCCAUCAGCUAGCUGGAGCACCUUCCUGUGUCACUACUUGGUUUUGAAUAAGAAAUAAAGUAAUUUAAAUCACCCGAGAAUGAUUAAAUGCUCUCUAGUCAAAAGACUGACAAUCCGUUGCACAUUUUCCUCCGACGUUUGUUUGAUGGAUGCGAAUGAAAUCAUUGAUAUGCAAUCCCACAGCACUGAAAUGGUCACACAUGGUAUGUUUUGGGAAUCUUAACGUUUGCAAGAAUCAGAACCAAGGAUUUUGCUUUUACUUAACAUUCACUUAAUAUCCACUACAUGCUGCUGCUUCCAUUAAAGGUGAGCAGAUAUUUAGCGGUCUUCAAAUCUAGACCCACCAUCAACUGUUCCAGAAUAGGUCUUCUGUGCUUGGAAAUAGACACAUGGCUUGUAGGUUUGAUUAAAUAUACUUAUUUAUACAAAGGAAAGAAACACACUUGUAUUUUCUGUGUAACAAUAAUGAAAGCACCCUUUUUCUGAGCUCUUGGUUGUGUUGAUGAACAAGUAUAACCUACACACUGCUCACUGGAUCAGAUGAUCUAUUAUAAUUAUUAUUUUUAUUUUUAUCGCCAUUUCUAUAGCGCCAACAGAUUCCAUAGCGCUUUACAAUAUAUAUAUAUAUAUAUAUAUAUAUAUAUAUAUGUAUAUAUAUAUAUAUAUAUAUAUUUCCUAUGGUUGUACGGUCUACCAGAGUGAUCUAGACAAGACAAUGUUUCCAUACCUGACAUUAAUAAAUAAUUAUUCCAGCCAAGUACUCUCAGAAUUGACCAUUUAACCAAAAAUAUUCCAUGCUAUCCAGUAUAAUAAUACAAUUACUGUCUGAAUCUACGUAGGUUCUGAAAGAGUACACAAAUCUUAUAAGACCCUAAUCUAGGCCAGUAGUGAUGAUGGCCUUUGGUUCAUUUGUUUGUAGAUACCCAUACUAAAACAGAAAUGGUUAACCAUUUAUCACUGGACAUUACUAGUGACCCUGAAUGCCUUGUUAGAUAUUAUAUCUAAUCAGAAUAUUUUCACUUAGAUCAGCCCCAAAAUUUAGGUGACCCCCUUUUAAAACAUUUUGUUCUGGAGUGAGCAAUGUAGACGCCUGGUAACGUAAUGAAACAAACACAUACCCAGUGUCUGUACACUAAGUGAAAAUAUACCGUUUACGUGAAUUUCAUGAUAUCAUUUUAGGAAUAAUCUGUGUAUUUCACUGCCUAUUUUUAUGACAGUCUUGAUAACAUAUUAAUGCAUUCUGUGCCUGCUUUGACAGAACAGCUACAUCGGCAGACCUCAUGCCUAUUCAAAAAUCACUUCUUUUAUGUUUAUUUUAAUUUGUGUAUUAUUUAUUUUAUUUACCAUUCAGUCUACAAAUUCCACACUUCAGAAGACUGCUGUCGUAUUUAUUUGGUAGAAUCCUUCUUCCUAUACUGUUAUAUAGUAUAUAAUAUAGUAUAGUGUAUAGAAAGUCCAUAUAGCACUUUGCUUGGUUAGAAUAUUACACAGAUAGUUUGUUGCCAUUUAUUAGGAUCAUUCUCUCCACUGACUAGUGAAAUGCAGACUGCAGUAACCACUAAUGAAGCAUAGAGGGAGCUCUGCAGCCACCUUUCAGCUUUCCGAUAUACCAGCAUCGAGCUAGCUGCAGACUGCACGGUACAGCUGCACUAACACUGCAGAUAAAGACAAAUAAUAUAAAGCCUUUCUGUGUAACAUGACAUCAUGAGCCAUCAGUCGAUAAAUCCCUCUCUCGCAGCCUUUUCAACAAUUAAAUCUUAAAGAUUUUUUCACAAACAGCGCCCCGCAUUCACCUAGCAGCAGGGACUAGGUUAACCAUCAUUGAGUGUAUACGGGGUCGGAAUUGUACACGUUGAUCCAUUCACUUAAUAACUGCUGUGUGGGGCCCCUAAUUUAUUAUACUCCCCUUCAAAUAUUCCGUUAGAGGAGUCUUCAUCUGCUUGUGAUGAUCACAAUGUUUAAGUACUAAGCACUGGAAAUCUGUAUGUAUUAAGAGAUAUUGGGUAUAUCUUGUAAGUACUGCAGAGAGGGGUAUCUGCAAUCUGCUUCACUCCUUGGUACACAGAGAGAAUACACUGCCGAGCAUGCGGAGGCAUGAAUCUUGUGCGAUCAUUAGCCGUGUACAGAAAUAUCUAAGGAGACUGGAGUUGAUAGUCUGGCACACACACACUUUUCCAUUUAGAAAGGGUUAAAUUGUAACUACAGGCUUAUAUUCUAUCACUGGAUGGUUGCCAUUGACACCUGCAUUACUGCAUGUGGAUUUAUAUGGAGAGAAGGUGUGAAGAAUGCCUUGGGCUGCUUUGCCUUGUUUAGAGUGCGGCCAAUUUUAUGAAUUCACAAAAUAUAAGAAAAUAAUAUACAACAUGAGCCAAGAGAAUUUUAAAGACCCUGUCUUUUUUUUUUUAUUAUAUAAUUAAUUCGCUAAUUAAGGUCUUGAUUUAAUAUUGUUAAAUACGCUCCCCAAAAAAUGUCAUAUUUUAAACUUUUAAAAUGGUUUAAUAUUAUGAAAAAAAAAUAGUUUUGCUAUAUUGAUAAAAAAAUUGAUAUUUUAAUAUUUAAAAUAAUCUUUUUUUUUUUUUUAAAUCAUAUUAAAUUAUUUGGAAAUCUUGUUUAACAAUAUUAAACCGAGGCCUGUUUGGAAGUUCAGCUAAAUUAUUGACUCUUGAUGGCUGAAAAGUACAGUUGUAUGAGUUUUUUUUGUCCAUCAUAGAUACCAAUGGAUUAGGGCCAAAAUGGGUGAAAUGUCUCAUAUGCCUUAGGCAUGUACACAGUAACAAUUCUUAGAUCUGCUCGUCUUCAGUGGGGGAAUGUGCACUAUAAAUAGAGAAGCGCAUCCAUCCACAAACCGUGCAUUGAUUUAUAUGUAUAAUUUAUUCAUAGAAUAUAUAAUGUACAGAUGUUGCCCUUCUCGGUAUCCAACUUUCUGGGAUUUGUUAGAUCUUUCUGAUAAGGAACUUCCACUGACUUGGACUAGAUUCUGUCUACUAAGAACACAAGGGAAGCCCAAUUGAAUGGUGGCACUGACUACGGCUAUAUUUGUGUCAAACACAUAAUGCCACACAUUCUUACCCUCAGGCUAUUUUCCAGAGUUUUAUAAUAAUGGUAUUUGACAUAUGCUCACAUCUGACUGAAUACCCUGAUCAAAGAGUCAUUACCAUUCAGAGCCUGGUAACUUUGACUUUGGUUUAACGAAAACAAGUCUCUGGUCAGGUGGCUUUUUUUACAUCAGUCCAUGCAAUAAUUGUCAAUAUCUAGCUCUCCAGCUGCUACAGAUGUGGCUGAGCUAUCUUGGAGUAUCAGAUGACAGGAUCUGGAAAGUCAAAAAGGGCCUGCCCCUGUCAUGAUUGUGUUUCACAAGCUGACGUUGGCACUCAGAGGAAUGUGAUGGAUGUCUAAUGAUAUCGUUAAUGACACAAUCUCUCCAUAAUGCCUCCUUCGUAGAGAGACAAGCGUCUGACUAAGUUCUCUACUUCAUCUUGCAACUAGCCACCUUCUUAAUAUUUAAUGCAAACAUUAUUUUUCCUUUUGAAAUGUUACCUUCCCUUUAUUUGAUGCAUAUUUCUAUUCAAAAUACAUGAACAAAUCAAAGUAGCUCUUUAGAGCAGCCUGUACGCAAUUUGUUAAGUGUUUGUAUAAAACAAGGCAUGCUGUUCCAAUUACCUUUUUUUCCUUUUCCUUGCUUUUUCAAAACCAGAUUCUGAAAAAUCCAAAGCAUGUAUUAAAACAACAGACAUAUCUAGAUAUACAGAGAGUCAUGGCUUCACAGUUUUGUGAACUUGCACCAAAUUAAGUAUAAAACUGUCACUGCACUCUUUAUAUAUCAGUGCCUUUUUCCUGCCAUACCUGUAAAGCAUCACAAUAAUCUGUCUGACUGACACUUCUUAUAAUUUACCAUUGGUUACAUUCACAGAUUAAGAUAAAUUAGUAAUAUUAUGAGAAAGAAAGUGCAUUCACAAUUUGAAGGAUAUUUUUAGUAAAUGACACAAGAAUAAGGAACGUGACAACAGCUUAUCUGUCACGCAACAACCACCACUCCGACAGUGGCUGAAAAAUUUGUCAGAGAGAAGUGGUUCAUUACUUGUGCCUCUUUUUAAUACGUUGGAAGCAUCAAACUUGUGAACCAAACAAAGGCCUAAUAUGAGACACAAAAAUAAAAUGACAGAUGAGAAUAUUUGGUACAAAUAAAGGAAUCAAGUAAAAUACGAGAUGUUCCAGAAAAACAAUCUAAAAUGUGAACACUAUACUUUUUAUACAUAACCCCUGUACAGUCACCGAGAUCUUUUUAGUCUACAUUAUGAAUUAUUUAUACAUAUGUGCCAUGCCCUGUAACUACAGGUCACUGCAAAGAGGCUCAUCUUUUUUUAGGAGUCCCUUAAGUAGUGGUAUACCUCAUUGGUAGUAGCUGGUAUUUGGGUAAAUUUAGACUUUGCUCUGAAAUGUGUUGACCCCCAUUUCUUACUGUAAUAUCCUUUAUGUCAUAGUUAGGGCAUCUGCAACCCUUUGAUUACAACCAAAAGUGGCCAUGAUGUCUGCAGUUUGUCCAGACAUCUUAGAAAAAAAGCCUGGUCGUGUUUUAAAAACUUUAGAAUAGUGCAAUUCCUCAAGUUGUGUUACUGUUAAUCAAAGUUCUCCUUUUAAACACUGGACUUUUUAGAGAUUGGUCAUUUAAAAUAAUAUCAACACAACAUUCUUAUCUUCUUUCAAACGAUAUACGUAUAUAUAUAUAUAUAUCUUUUUUUUUGUUCUUUAACACGUGUCAGAAUUCUGUUUUUCAAAAUUCAAAUGAACAGAUUUUUUGAAAUGUCAAUGCUUAUGUAAUGCUUCUUACCAAGCAGAACUCUUCAAUCCACGCUAACGUGUAGAACGUACAAAUGGAAAUAUUUCACGAUUUGCACAGAGUUAGGGAGAAAUAAUAAAUUAAUUAUGGUAUGCCAUGCAAGAACGGAUAAUGCGUGGUCUUCCUAGGAACAGAAUGUUCAGAUAUAAAAGAUAACAUAAUAUGCUAAUCAUAACAAACCAUACAGAUUUUAAGUGGAAGAACACUGAAUACACAGUACAGUAAAACUAUGGUGGAAAUGACCAAGGUUAUCAUGGUGCUGCCCACCUUCUCUAGCUCAUACUGGGCUUCAAGAGGCAGAUGGUAGGUAUAAAUAACAGUGUGUAUUCAUGUCGAUAAGCAUUAUGGAAACAUCUCCGUCGGUGCAGAUGACUUGAUAAAUGGUCAUAUCGAGGCUUAAUCACUAUUUUAAUUAUACCUUGUGAUUAUAUAUCAUAUUUUCUGUGAGCAUAGAGCUCACUGAUCAGUUAACUUGUAUUGAUAAGUAAUGGCUGGAAUCUCUUUUACUACAUAUAUUAAAUGCUAAGUGUCUUUUGAGUUGUAGUCUGUGGCAGGAAGGAUUCCACAAACUUGCAAUAUCUAAGGCUUUCUCCAUUCAAUCAGUAAUUACUGAUUGUGGAUGGCUGUGUGCUAUUUCAAUAGGCUGUUGUUCACCUUCAACUUAAAACCAAUUUUUACAAACAUGAAUUUUGAAAUAUGGUGAGACCUCCAAAUAUCUCUCUGCAUAUAUAUGGAAGGGCGGCAUCCUGGGGUUGUGGUAGGGGCUAUCCAGCUAUAGAACCCAAGACCCUCUCCUCUCUGGGCUGUCGGUGCUUUAACUUUGCUCACCUUCCUCUCCCGUUUCUCGUCUCCAUGUCCAAAUAUCAUACAUAGGUGGGCCAUCUUCUUUUAUGUUGGUUGAUUGAUCAACCGACUGAUGUCCCUCUUAUAAUAUGCCUUUUGUCCCUCCCAAAAUAUUUAUUCUGAUUGGCUGAUCUUGAAAAGCAGAAUACAUACAGAAUACGGUUUAUAUAUGUAUAUUACAGUUUUAUUUUGUUUUUUUCAUCCCCAAGCUCUUAUUACGAAUUUUUUCUAAUAUUCAGGGUGGGAGUCCCAUGAUAUUUUCAUGCAUAUUUGGAUUUACUGCUGUUAUUCAUUCAUAUAAAAGCCAUUUAUAUAAAACAAUUUCAGAUUCUUCAAGGAAAUCAAGAAAUGUGAUAGGAAGGCAUUUUAUCAAGCACAAUAUUGCCUUGCAAUCCUGCCCUGGAUAUUGUGACCAGUGCUCCUAUCAGCCAGUCAAGCAGUGUUUUUAUUUAUUUAAAAAUCAUUUGGGAAUAUGUAACCAAUUUCUCCUAUUGAGAAAAUAGGAAUUGAAGAACAAGAUUUGCCGAUCCUUCCCUCUGGCAAUGAUAUUUCCUUUCUGUAAAGAACACAUUUCAUAAAUCCAUAAUUUCCAGUGUGAGUAGUUUCUGCAGUAAAUAAUAUCUAAGUAUAUUUUCAACAUAUAUAUCAGGCACAAACUGGCCUUCUGGAAUGACCGGCGAAACUCCAUUCUCUUAACAAUCUCUUGGGCCAUAUGAAUAGAAAACCUUGGGCAGAUGUAAUGACUACAUACUAGGACUGAAAUGGGGACAAGCUAUUGCAAUUUAUACAUUGUAUACCAAGUAUACAUAUAUACAUCUUAGAAUACAUUCUCAUAUUAAAGAAUAAACAAACUAGGAUUUUUAUUAAAAUUACAUUUUUCUAUUCCUUGAGAACUGUUAUGAAAAUUUAGUGAAUGAAUGUUCGUCCUUAGAUGGGCACUCUAAGCAUCAACACGACUUAAGCUUAAUGAAGUGGUUUUGUUAAAUAGAUCACAAUCAUGCAGUCUCACUGCUCAAUUCUCUGCAUUUUAGGCCCUAGCCCAUCCUCCCCUGCCUGUGACUCACACAGUCUCUCUACACAUUUUCUGAAAAAAAGUCUACAUUUGUUUAUCUUCCCUUAUUGCACAGUGUGUUUAAUUUAGAAUUUAUAAUAUCCUGCUCUGUUAAUUGCCUGCUAGAGCCUUCAGCAGCCUUCCAUGAAAUAAUUAUCAAAAUUACACAGUGUCCCCUAUCUACAGUGGGUAUGGGACUAGUAAAGAACAUAGUUAAUGUAUAUUCAUUUUUAUAUUUGAGGUAAAUUCAUUAUUUAUUAAUUACUGGAAUUAAUAAAUGCUUCUGUUCCUCCCUGUACUCCUUUAUCUGAUAAUUUAGCUUCAAGGAACUAUGUGCCUUUGGUGACUUUAUAUCCAGACUUUCUCAUCUACUAAUACAGCAGUGCUAAAGCACAAAGAAUGACAAAUCGGUGUCUUUUCAAGCACAGAUCUCCCUUUCCCAUUAUAUGGGCCCUUAGGACGUACCUUGUGCACAUUGUGCAUGGUUAGUUUAGCUGAGACAAAGGUUGAUCAUAUAAAAGGAUGGAGAAAUCCCUGCAGUGCAAAGGUGCAUUACUGGAUACAAUGUGACUCUGCAAGAUUCUACAUCAUACUCUUUAUCUGUUUGCAUGGUAUCGAUUUAGUUUUAUCCAUAUCUUUUUUUGUGCAUUAGAGCAGAUGUCUACCUAAAAUAUGUUAUCAGCCUAGAGGAAAAGAUUGCUUUUUGCCUUAUUUAUGUUAAAGCCACAUAUUUGUACCCUCCUUCUCUUGGCAAGGAAUACUGUAGAGCAGCGCAUUGCUGGGUAUAAACUGUUUGCAGCAUACGCGUCUUUCACCUGGUGUUUGGUAAAUUGAUAUAGCACUUAUCUCCUGGGGAUUGCUUGCUCAGUAUAAAUGUAAAGAAAAUUUCUAGCAAAUUGAGAAUAUUUCAAGCAAAUUCAUCAUCUCCCUGGCUUCUACACUGAGUGCUUCUGUUCUUUAUUUGUGAGUCUUUAGAAAAAAACAUAAAUCAAAGAUUUUUUUUUCUUUGUAUCAUUAAAGGAGUAAACAGUUGCUUUACGAAUGAUGGAUGUUAUGUAGAGGACAUAGUUCACAGCUGUCUGACUAUAAUCAUAAGACUAUAUAUAAUUAACAGAAAUCAAAUUCUAAGUUGACUUUUGUGUGUUUCAUUUUUGUUUGCUGCUGUAACAUUGCAGGCCUUUUUACUAAUACAUUAUAAACAUUGCAUUUUCAGAUUACUUCUUCUACUGUCACUAGGGAGUCGAGCUCUUAUACAGGGUCAUAGUAAUUAGGUUGCCCUCCACUAAUAUUGGCACCCUUGGUAAAAGUGAGCAAAGAAGGCUGUAAAAUAAGGCCUUUAUUGUUUAACCUUUUGAUGUUUUGUUAUAAAAAGACACAAAGAUACUCUCUUGAAUUAUUGCAAACACUACACUGGUUUAUAAAAAUAUAUAUAUAUGUUAAAAAUAUCUGUUGGCACCCUUUUAGUUAAUACUUUGUGCUAUCUAACUUUGCCAAGAUAACUUUGCUCUAAGUCUUCUCCUAUAAUGCCUGAUGAGGUUUGAGAAUUCAUGUCAAGGGAUCUGGGACCAUACCUCUAUAUAAAAUCUCUCCAGAUCCUUAACAUUUUGAGGUCAACUCUGGUGGACUCUUCUCUUCAGUUCACCCCAUAGGUUUUCUAUGGGGACAGGGAUGGCCAUGGCAGGACUUUAAUGUUGUGGUCAUUUACCAUUGGUGUUGAUUUUGAUGUAUGUUUUGGAUCGUUGUCCUGCUGGAAGAUCCAACCACAGCCCAAUUUAACCUUUAUGGCAAAGGUAGUCAGGUGUUGAUUUAAUAUUUGUUGAUAUUUGAUAUUUGAGUCCAUGAUGACAUCUAUCCUAACAAAAUGUCCAGGUCCUCUGGCAGAACACUUAAUAACAAACAUUAACGAUAAAACAUUAAGGAGCCACCACCAUAUUUAAUUGUGGGCAAGAGGCACUCUUCCAUGUGGCUACCUCUCUGUGUGCUCCAAACACACCUCUGUUGUUUAAUGCUAAAAGCUCUAUUUUUGUUUUAUCAGACAAUAGAACACAAUCCUAUUUGAAGUUCCAGUAGUGUCUGGCAAACUGAAAACUCUUGAGUUUGUUUGUGGAUGAGAGUAGAUGCUUUUUAUUAAAACCCUUCCAAACAACUUGUGAUGAUGUAGACGGAUGGUGGAUUUGGAUUGUAGUUUUUGAGACUUUUAGACCCCCAAGACAUAACUAACUUCUGUAAUUCACCAUCUGUGAUACUUGAAAAAAAAAAAAAAAUAGACACUCAAACCACCUCUAAACAGUGUGUUGAGACAAUAUAGACACGUCUUCUUCCAGGUUCUUUCAUAACACUCCAUUUGACUGGAACUUCUUAAUUAUUGUCCUAUUGGUGGAAAUGUUCAAUGUCAAUGCUUUUAUCGUUUUCUUAUAGCUACUUCCCAUCUUGUGAAGCUCAACAACCUUUUGCCGCAAAUCACAACUAUUUUCCUUGUUCUUACCCAUUGUGGUGAGUGACUAAGGGACCUUGGUCUAUGUGUUACCUCAUAUUUGGAAAGUCAUGGUUGAAAAAGUUCAUGUUCCUAGUCACCAAGGUGUACUGCAAUUGUUUGAUAUCCAUGAGAGCAGAGUAUUUUUGAAUAUUUUUUGAAGAAAGGAUCAAAAGUUUAAACAAUAAACAGCCACCUCUGUUCAUAUUUACCAAGGAUACCAAUAUUAGUGGAGGGCAUUGUAGUUACUGGGUUUUAUGAACAGAUAGACGACUUGCUAAAUUUAGGCAAAAAACACCAGGCUUGGGGGAAAAACUGCAGUUUGGCAAAGUUGGAUUUUAGCUUCUAAUUCUAAAAGUAGUUUGUGAAUGUCUGGAUUCUCAUGAUAUUCAGUUUACUACGUGUAUAGCUGAAAUAGCAAAGGAGCAUUUGUAUCUCCUUAUAAAUGAAACACAAAAUUAUAAAAAAAACACUAUAAAUUUUAUUAAUAUUACAAAAAAAGACUGUGUUUGCAGUUGAGAAAUAAGCCUUUAACAUUAUUUAAAUUUGUGCAAGUUAUUGAUUUAAACCAGACAUCUACAAAAAUCUAUGAAACCAUUAAUUUGACAUCAGUUAUGUUAUUUAUUUACUUUUAACUGGUUAGCUGGAGUUUCCAUGUUGUAGUUUAAUGACUUUAUAUUGAUUCAAAAUGCCCCGUAAAUCAUUUGAGGUAUUGCUUGUCCAUCAAUUCUCUGACAUGUCCCUUCCUCAACAAAUAUAUGGACCAGUCUGAUGGGAUUCUACCCCGAGUACCACAAUACACGUCAGAAGAUAGUAUAACAUUGUUUAUGGAGAUUCUCUUAUGAACGAAUAAUGAGAAAUAUAGAAUCAGGCUGCACAUGGUUAAGUACCAGUUCAAUGUCAAUGGCUAAUGCAACAAGUGUUGUUUCUAACAAGAGAUAGAAACAAGUGAACAGCUGAAAACCAAGAUCAAGGUAAAUGAGUAAACAGUGUUCAGGCAAUAAUUAUAUUUAAAUAAAUCUCAUUUCACUUCAAAUAUCUGAUUUACACACCAUUUUGACAAUCAGAAUUAUUAUUAUUAUUAUUACUGGUAUUUACAUAGCACCAGCAAAUUCCAUAGCAAUUUACUAUAUUAUCAAAGGGGGAGAUUUAACAAUAAAUGAGACAAUUACAAAAACUUACAGGAACAAUAGGUUGAAGAGGGCCUGGUCAAACAGCUUAUAGUGUAUUGGAGGUGGGGCAUAAAACACAAUAGGAAUUAGGUGGGAGUGAAGCAGAGCUGGAGGAGAGAGCACGGGAUAGGUACGUGAGGUAGAGGUUACUCUGGGAGACCAUAAGCUUGCCUAAAGAGAUACGUUUUGUGGGUCUUUUUAAAUGAUUGAAGACUAAGUUAAUGAUUUUGAACAUGUCACUCUGUCUAAACUCUUACCUUUUCAUGAUGUACUGUAUAUUGUACGUUUAUUGGGAGUGAUACAACAAAAAAACAAUAAAAUGUAAAUAGAAAUGUUAAUCUCGUCGCUGUGUAUGUGUUGAAUUGCAAAGCAUUUAAUGAAGAGAGAUAGUGGGCAAUAGUGAUUUUAAUAAGAUACCAUUAUCAGUUUGGAGGAUAGCAAAUAAGUGUUAAUGGUUUUAUCAGUAAGCUUUCUGGCUUUGCGAAUUAGUGAGUCGCUUCCCUGGAGCAGAGUCUUAUUUACUGCAUUCUUUAUAAAGAUUUAAAUAGGUUUCACCUGCCUGGGAAAGCGAGAUAGGGCUUGUUGACAUUUUGUUGGCGGAAGCUAGGCUUCCUUUGUGUGAAAAGAUAAAAAUGAGGAAGGAGCCUUGUUUGCACUUUACUGUGAAGGUGUUGAUCGAGAGUUGAUCAACUCCACGGAAAUUGGCUACUGAGCUUCUCUAAAGCAAAUGCCUUGUGUGGUGUCAGCAACCUAAAAGAUAACGGGAGAUAAUUGAGGCAUUUAAAUCUCAGUGGUGUUGCAUGGCUACUGUAGUUUAGUGAUUCAUUACUCAGAUUCCAGAGAUGGAUAUAUUUGCGACUAUAAUUUAAAGAUAAAUCUGUUCUUGAUUGAAAGCCACAUUUCUUCUCCAUUAUACCUUGAUAUAUUUUGUAGCGGAUAGAAGCAAUGUCUUUUACUCAGAAUAAAAUAUGAUUUGUCAAAUGAGAGCUAACAGUUUUGUAGAGGUUUUACAUUUACUGAAAACUGCACGUAGAGUCUGGCAAAACACUUGGUAAACCUUUGAUGGGAUUUUAUAUUUAACAUUUUUUACUGGAGAUGUUUAUUUAUCGGUUCAGCACCUCAUAAAUACAGUUUAAUAUUUAUUUGCUCAGUUUAUGAAAUUUGCUUUAAUUAUACAUUGAAUUGUUACUGCUAAUAAUAAUAGUAGAAAUAAUUUGCUAAAUUAUAACUGAUAUAACACAGUAACCAUAACAUUCUAGGUAUUUUAUUGAGGUUUUUUAAACAAUUUUGUACUUGAAAUUUGUAUGCAGCUUAAUUUUCUGCCUUUAUCAACUAGUAUGCAAAUAUGAAAUGUAAUAGUGACACAUUUCCAUAAGAAAUUUAAAUGAAAAAAGAUACACAGAUUGUUUUUGUAUGACUGGAUUGUUUUUUUAGAGCACUAUUUUAUAAUCUUUAAUGCCAUUUUUGGAACACUAUAUUCCCCAAAAUGUAAUCAAGUUCCUUAUCAAAAGUAUUUGACCACUUUUAUUUAUUGAUUUUGUCAUAGCUGUAUGAUCUUUUAAUAUUUAAUAUUUUUGAAUAAGCUUUUCAAAUUAUUUAAUAUUUUGGAGAAAAAAAUCAUAUUCUAAAAUCUUUUGAUAUAUUAAUAUAGUUUGUAUACAAUGUUUACAUUUGAAUUAAUAUUCUAAAUGUUUUUUUCGAAUAUUAAAUAAAACAUAAUAUAUAUUUUUAUUUUAUUUAAUAUUUCAAAUCAAAUCAUUUGAAAAGCUUAUGCAAAAAUGUUAAAUUGAGGCCUAAGAUAUAAGAACAUAGACCUCGAUUUAAUGCACUUGGCUAAACUUUUCAAAUUAUUUAAUACUUUUGGAUAAACUUUUGAAGUGUUUCAUCUACAGAAGUCACCAUUAUUAUUAUUGUUGGUAUUUAUAUAUAAAUAUAUAUAUAUAUAUAUAUAUAUGCACACUUAUUCUGUAGCGCUUUAAAAUACCAUUAAAGACUAUGGGAAUUUUUGUAGAUAAGUAAUUUGAUCUUGAUGAUAAAUCAUCAAGUUUAUCCAAAAAUAUAAAAUUGAGGCGAUAAUCUCUAAAUCUUCCACUAUUUCUGUAAAGGAUAAAUUAAUGAUUGACAAAUAUUAAUUUGCAUUAAUAGAUCUAAUACAUAAAAAAUCUGUGUACAAAAUCACAGUUUUUUACUAAGUCAGCAUGGCAGUUAUUAAUUCCAAGUAUCAAACAACCUUCCAAAUGAAAGUUAUGUCAAGAAGUAGCGACAAUAAAUAUAACAAUCAUUAGAACAGUAUGCUAUAGUAAUACAAACAUAAAAAUAGAAUCGCAUUAUUUAUUGAUGUAUUUCCUUUUCUCAUGGCCAUGAAAUAUUAAAAAUUAAAGUAAUAAAAUGCAUUCCCUGAAAUAUGAUGAUAUCAGUCCUGAAUGAAAUUUGUGAGACAGAUUAAAUCUAAAAUUCCAGGAUGGUCUAGGAAGAAAAAUGAGAAGCAUUCUAAGGCCAAGAAGCAUUCAAAGGCCAAUGAGCUAAGAAAAUGAUACUUCCCAAGAUGCAUCUGACCUCCUCUUAACUGGUUUGGUGCCUGUAACGGACCGUUUUGCAAAAAAGGGGAAAAAACAGCUUAGACGAUAAUCCCCUUUCAGAGACAGGCACAGCUACUGUAGAAUCACCCAAAACUCACGAACUGAAUACAAGUGAAUGCACCAAAGUCCCGAAGUGCAUACAAGGGAAUGCUCCAAACACUCGAACUGCAUACAAGGGAAUGCUCCAAACACUCGAACUGCAUACAAUAAGUGAAUGCUUCAAACUCCCGAACGGCAUCCAAUACAGCACUCCAAAUACACGAACAGGAACCAUACGAAUUGCUGCUACCAGACGAACAGGAAAAGCUCCCAAGCGGCUUACACUCCUGGCAAUCAGUCCUUAGCAGCAUACAGUAAAUCCCCCCAAAGACGAGACAAGGCUCCGUGUUGAGGGUCAAGCAGUGGUCUGUUUAAUGAGGGCUACCUGCCCGGCUUUUAUGCAGGUCUCCCACCUGGUGGACACUCCCCUAGGGGACCAAAUGGGAGACUGUGACAAGGACAGACAAGUAGACAAAUAGGACACACAGUCACAGUAUAUUCCCACAAUGCAUCCUGGCUUCCUCCCCUCUGCCCUGGGAGAUAAUUGAGAAGUAACUCAAUUAUCUCCCAAGACAAAGGCAAAACUCCAUUACACAUGUGGGGACACAAAACCAGUAUUAUACUUUAAAAUACAUAAAGUAACAUUUAUUACAUAAAACACAGACAUGUAACAUAUCCAGAUAGCUCAGGUCUGAGUGUACAUUAUUAGGUGAAUGGCACUCAGACCACACGAAUACAGUUUAAUCGCCAUGGAGCCAAAGUCUUUACAGUCAGUUUCAUACGAAUGGGCUCCAUGGGAUUCCUAUCUGGGGUAUAACCUAUUCAAACAGAACUUCCGAACACCGGGCCGUUCGUGCACUUCCACCGAACAAGAAGGGAGGUCGGCGGCUUCAGCGGUGUUCGCGCAAAACUGUGUCCGAUUUUAGUUCCAUGAAAAUAGGGGCAAACACCGCUGUGCAUUCGUAUGUUUAAAAUGGCCGCGACCUCGUGUUCGGGAUACGAAUGGCGGCCACCCAGCAUUCGUCAAUUAAGCUGCGGUUAACCACAGCUUCAGGGAGGUUAAUUGCCGGCACACUCCAGCUCCCAGGUGGUCUAUUUAUUCGUGCGGUUGUUCGGUAGAUUGAAUACGAAUACAGCUUUUCUCCAGGCGAAAUAAAGUCUUUUAAAAGGGGGCCAUAGUCCAGAGGCAGCAGGCGAGCAACCAGGCUUCUCCAAUGCAAUGUGGCGAGAUUGGUCUCGUCACAGUGCCAUUCUUCCAUCUUCUUAAAUCGUGUUACUAGAGUUGUGUAGGCAAGAAAAUGUGGUUCAUCGGAUCUGAUUAAUCUAAAAAAUAAAAUAAAAAAAAUAACUGUUUUGGGUGAUUCAGAGAAAUUUUAUACAUGAAAUAAUUUUGGUAAAAAUGAUUUGGAUAAACCUAAAUGUUGGUGAAAAUGUGCCAGUGAACUGAAAAAUAUAUACAUAUAGCGUGAAAAUAAGUAACCAAUAGACCAGUGGAAAAUCUAUUUUUAUUAUAUCUUUUAUAUAUAUAUAUUUAUAUAUAAAUCAAUUUAUUUAUUUUUUUUACUGCUCCUCCUUUUUACCUCAGUUGGCCAGUAAAUCAACAUUUAGUGGCUGCCCCGUAAUCAUCUUUGAUCUUUUCAUGGGAAGGGGGGAGGUGUCCCAGGUAGAACUCCUAAUCAUAGACAAAUGAAAUGGCCUAUUCAUUCCUUAUUUUGCUUGCUUUGUGAUUCAGUGAUAUGGCAAUUCACAGUUACAGAAUUGGGACACCUCGACAAUUGUCCAAAAUUCAGACAAAUCACGAUUAGUUUGAUACAGAAUGGUUAGAUGAAUGUGCUAUGUCCCCUUCAAAAUAAUGAGUCUUAUAUCAUGAAUGCUCCCGUCUAGCGUUUAAACUAAAACGGAGUUUAUUCUGGAGACAAAGUACUUUAACCCCUUAAGGACACAUGACAUGUGUGACAUGUCAUGAUUCCCUUUUAUUCCAGAAGUUUGGUCCUUAAGGGGUUAAACUCCUUCAGUGUCAUAGAAUUGACUGCUAUGAUCUCUCUUUUUCUCAUUGUAGUGAACAGAGACUUCAAAUACCACUAUACUUAUGCCAGAGGUUGUCUUCUUCCUAAAAAUAUAUACUUUUCCUACUCAAUUUUAAUUCCUGAGGUUGUUAUAGACAUUUAAAAUGCAAGUUUCUCAUCAGUGCGAACAGAUAAAUAUAUGAUGAAAAAUUAAGACUUUGUUAGUUGUGGAUUGGCCUCCUGACAUCAAAACCCAAUACACAAAUGGUGUAUCCCUUUUCUUAGUAGACUUUUAACUACAAUAGAAGACUAGCAAUGGGAGGGGGGUAAGUGCUCCUUUUUUCCUACCUUAAGUGACAUUGUGGGCUGCAACAGGUAUUUCAACUUGUAUUUUAAUAUUCACUGUUAUUUUUUUUAAAGGAACUGCCGGAGAGUUCCUUUAACUCAAAUCUGCUUCUCACACUAUUGGGCAGUGAAAGGGUUACACUUCUAAAUAAAGAAAUUUUCAGUUUAAACACAGAUGUCAGUGUGUGACAGACGUUGAGUUUGUGUGCAUGCCCCAUACUAUUAUUAACGCAAAAUACAGCUGGUCAUUGUAACUGCAAACUCCUCCCCAAACUAAACAUCUGCAUUACAGAAACUAUUUUUAAAGUAAACAAUGCCAUCAUUGAGACACUACUUGGCACUGUACAGUAGAAAGAAUUGUAGCACUGCAGCAAUAAAGAGAAACGUGAAUUUUUUUGGGCCAGGCCCUAUGGGAAGCUAGCAGUAACUACAGUAACUCAAUACUUAACCAGUCACUUUCCUUUAGCAUUUGCUGAAAACAUUUGUCAUAAUGCAAAGUGUCACUGGGAUAGCACCAUCCCUUGAAACUGUCUUACCAUAAAUAUGUGAAAAACAAUAAUGCACCUAGGUUAAUAUUAAUCUACUUGAACUUCCGAGUUGAAGAUCUCUCAGGCUUUUAGUAUAGAGGCGGCCAUCUUGCCUUGCAAUAUUUAAACACUUGAUAGCUACUGAUAACAAAAAGCAUAACAAACAUAUGAUAUCAGUAGCCAAUCAGAGUGUGCGAUUUACAGAGAAGUUCGCUGCUUUUCACUGCACAGGAAACAGGAAGUGGAUCUAUGAACUAGCUCAUGCUCUGUGUCCUAAAUGACUAAAAAAAGUCUUGGAAAUCUUUAAUUAGUCCUUUAUAGAAAACUACAGGAACAACACAUUUAAAAAUGAUAACAACAAAGUAGAAACAGUUUUUACUUGCUAUAUUAUGAUGGAGGUGUGGAAUCCAAUCUCUAUGAAUAGUCCUGGGAUAUUCACACAGGGGAAUCAUAUCUCUAGGAAUAGGGCUGGGAUACUCACAUAGGGGAAUCAUAUCUCUAGGAAUAGGACUGGGAUACUCACACAGCGGAAUCAUAUUUCUAGGAAUAGGGCUGGGAUACGAACAUGGGGAAAUCAUAUCUAUAGGAAUAGGGCUGGGAUACUCACACAGGGGAAUCAUAUCUAUAGGAAUAGGGCUGAGAUACUCACACAGGGGAAUCAUAUCUCUAGGAAUAGGGCUGGGAUAAUCCACAGGGGAAUCAUAUAUCUAGGAAUAGGACUGGGAUACUCACACAGGGGAAUCAUAUCUCUAGGAAUAGGGCUGGGAUUCUCAUACAUGGAAAUCAUAUCUCUAGGAAUAGAGCUGGGAUACUGACACAGGGGAAUCAUAUCUCUAUGAAUAGUCCUGGGAUACUUACACAGAUGAAUCAUAUCUCUUGGAAUAGGGCUGAGAUACUCACUCAGGGCAAUCAUAUAUCUAGGAAAAGGGCUGAGAUACUUACACAGGAUGAAUCAAAUCUCUAGGAAGAGGGCUGAGAUAGUCACACAGGUGAAUCAUAUAUCUAGGAAUAGGACUGAGAUACUCACACAGGAUGAAUCAUAUCUCUAGGAAUAGGGCUGAGAUACUAACACAAGAUGAAUCAUAUCUCUAGAAAUUUGGCUGGGAUACUCAGAAUGGGGCAAUCAUAUAUCUAAGAAUAGGGCUGGGAUACUUAGAUGAAGGUAUCAUAUCUCUAGGAAUAGCCAUAGAAUACUCAGAUGGAGGUACUAUAUCUCUAAUUAUAGGGCUGUGAUACGUAGACAGAGGGAUCAUAUAUAUAGGAAAAUUCCUGGAAUACUUAGACAGAUGGAUCAUAUCCCCUGUUAUAAAGUUGGGAUACUUAGACAGAUGGGUCAUAUCUCUAGUUAUUGGACUAGGAUACUUAGACGGAGGUAUCAUAUGUCUAGGACUAGGCUUGAAUACUUAGAUGGAGGUAUCAUAUCUCUUGUUAUAGGGCUGGGAUACAGAUGGAUCAUAUCUCUAGUUACAGUGCUUGGAUACUUAAACAGAGGUAUCAUAUCUCUAGUAAUAGUGCUGGGAUACUUAGACGGAGGUAUCAUAUCUCUAGUUAUAGUGCUGGGAUACUGAGACAGAGGUAUCAUAUCUCUAGUUAUUGUGCUGGGAUACUUAGAUGGAGGUAUCAUAUCUCUUGUUAUAGGGCUGGGAUACAGAUAUAUGUUAUCUCUAGUUACAGUGCUUGGAUACUUAGACAGAGGUAUCAUAUAUCUAGUUAUAGUGCUGGGAUACUUAGACGGAGGUAUCAUAUCUCUAGUUAUAGGACUGGGAUACUUAGAUGGAGGUAUCAUAUCUCUAGGACUAGGGCUGGGAUACUUAGACGGAGGUAUCAUAUCUCUAGUUAUAGGACUGGGAUACUUAGAUGGAGGUAUCAUAUCUCUAGUUAUAGGGCAGGGAUACUUAAAUUAAGGUAUCAUAUCUCUAGUUAUAGGGCAGGGAUACUUAGAUGGAUGUAUCAUAUCUCUUGGUCUAGGCUUCAGAUACUUAGAUGGAGGUAUCAAAUAUCUUUAGUUAUAGAGCUCGGAUACUUAGAUGGAGGUAUCAUAUCUCUAGGCCUGGGAUACUCAGACAGGACGAAAAACAACCUCUCGAUCUAGCAUGAUGACUUAUUGAUUCAAUAAAAAUAUACAACUACAACAGAAAAAUAAUUUUAAAAAUGUUAAUCUGAUAUAAAAUAUAUAAAGUUUUAUUAUUCAUGGUUACUUUCCAAACUAUAAAGUGGCCAGAAGGGCAUGUAGACAGGUCUGAAAGACCUCCACUAUAAAUCAGACAAAUGUCUCCAGCAGAAUGUAAAGCCUCCAAUUUGACACCUUCCAUGACCAGGACAACAUUUCAUUCCCUACUGCCACAGGUCCAGACCCAAUGCAAGCAGGUGAACAGAUCACUAGAUAAACUGCUAGUGACAUUUGCCUACUUCAUCAUCAAGAUCUUUAAGAUCUAUCUACUUGGCCUUCUGGCCAACUGCAGUGGUCUUGCGCUUGUGAGUGCAUUAUAUUAUUUUAUAUUGUAUUCAUUGAAUAUGGUUUCAUACUAUGUUGUGUUUGUAUGCAUUUUAAGUUAUUAAAGAUUGGAAAUAGAUUUAAAACUACGUCUUUGGAUAUCUGUGAUGUUACAUAUGGACUGCAAGGUUCCAUAACAGGAAGAAAUACCAAAGUGUAAGCAUUUGAUCUUGCAAUAUUUUACAUAAAGUAUUUAAAUAGAUUGUGAUUUAUAUGUCACCAUACUAUUUUGUGCUUUUGGUAUUAAAAAUAUUAUGACAACGCAGAAGCAACAUUAUGCUAAAUGAAACAUAUAAAACAAGUGGUAAACGUACAGUACCACGUGUAUAAGAAUUAGGCUUAUUUUAGAGUUUAAUGAUUUUUUUUAAUGAAGUCUUUGAAACAACAUAUAUUGCUCACUGCUGUGAUUUUCAUAUUUUCCAGUGACUGUGUUGAACUAGUUCAGCUAAAUACAAAUAUCUCAAUGGGUUUAACUAAGUCUAAUGAAUAGCAUGCCAAGUCACUCAUUGUGGUGACGUUGGGCAAAUAUCAGACGAGGCAGAAGAUAUGCUUGUGUUGAAAAAAACAAUUGAUGUUGAUGUCCACAUUCACCAAUUCUCUUUAUGCAUCACAGAUGCAAAACAAAGAAUGUAGAGACUUUAAAAAAACACACAGCAAUAGGGUAGGAAGACAUGCCAGCAUUCAUUGUCCUGAAAUAAAGAACCAUUAAUUCCCUGUAGCUACACCUUUUACUGACCCGUUUUUACCCCUAUGCAUCAGAUUAGGAGUUGUGCAACUUUAUUACACAGAAGGAUGGGUCUACAGUUUAAAGCAUUCCUGCUUGGUCAAAAUCAUAAUUACUGUCCCUGAACAUGUCUAGUAAAAGUCCAUGGAAGGUGGACCAACUAAAUGUCAAAUACAGUCAGGGGUCUUUUUCCACCAAUGUAAAGUUGCAGUAAGCAGCUUCUUCGGUAUAUGUGAUUUACCUUCACAAAGUGCUCAUGGCAGCCUCUUUAACCAAUGGACGUAUCAGGUACAUCCGUCAAAAAAUGGCCCUUAAGGACUGCGGAUGUACCUGAUACGUCCGCGGGUAAUUAGAGCGCUGGAAGCGAUCAUGGUACUAAUGGUAUUGCAGCGUUUUCUCAAUGUUGAGGCAUCACUGCCAGUGGCCACUGGAGAACACCGGGUGAUCGCCCUCCUCCCCUCCCCCAGUUACCCCCCCCCCCCGGAGCGAUCACUUCUUGGUUGCUCCACGUGGAGUCCGGCAGUGAGGCAGAGCAUCGGAAGCCAUCAGGCAGGCUUCCAAUGCUCUGCCUGUACUGAGUGCCUUGAGGGGUUGAGGCACUCAGUAAAUAUAAAAAAAUAAAAAUAAUAAUAAAAAUAAUUAAAUAAAUGUAAAAAUUAACCCCUACCCUCCCUCCCUCUCCCUCCCCAUGUACUUACAGAUCGCCGCCGUUCCCCCGCCGGCAAUCAGUCUUCUUCUUAGGGGGGACUGUCUGGGCUCUAAAAGAGCGGUCACAAUGCUGCAAUAGGUGUCCACAGUUCUGCCAGGCAGUCCACCUGCUGGUGAAAAAAGUAAAAAAAAAUAAAAAAAAUAAAAGGUAAUAAAUUAAAAAACUUCAUACUAAGUGUAUUUUUUAUUAAUAUAUGCAUAUACUAAUAUAAAUAUACACUUAGAGUAAAAUUAUACACAUGUGUAUGUAUAUAUAUAUAUAUAUAUAUAUAUAUAUAUGAAAUAUAUUUUUUUAUAUAUAUAUAUAUAUAUGUAUUGUGUAUAUAUAUAUAUAUAUAUAUAAACAAAAAUAAAAAUAAAAAUGCACUCACAGGUCUUCUGGUUAAUAGGAAAACUGGUGCUUUAAUAAAUCAUCUGUGAUGUACAAAAAAAUCAAUCGACGUUUCGACCCUGCCGGGUCUUUUUCAAGAUCGAUAUAUAUAUAUAUAUAAAAUAAAACAUAAAUAAUAAUUAAAAAUAAGUAAAAAACUGUAAAAAUAUAUAUUUUAAAUGAUAUAUAUAUAUAUAUAUAUAUAUAUGACCGUGACAAAGAGGAACCCCGGGUUUACCUGGACUGGUGAUUCACGGCUAUCACUGUGGUGGUGGGGACUGCCGGAGACCUCAGCAGUCCCCCUGCAGCAGCUCUGGCCACCCUGGCCCUCGAGGGCCAUGUGAUCACCAUGAUCACAUUACCGCAAUAGGAGUCUAGGAGCUUCCAGCAGGGGGACUGUCUGAGCUGUUAAAAAAAAACAGUAAAAGUGCAGUUUUUGUGUAAAAAAAAAUGCAAAAAAAACAAAUAAAAAUGCUAACUUUGGCCAGUAUUUGUGAAAAUGGUAUGCUAUGAUGGGGUUAUUUUACAUUCCUGGGCUACCAUGUGGUUUCAAAAGGCAACACAGACCCAGCAAACCAAUCUGGCAAACUGAAUUGGACAAGCCUUAUAUUGACCCUGUAACUUUCCAAAACACCAUAAAACCUGUACAUGGGGGAUAUUGUUAUACUCGGGAGACUUCGCUGAACACAAAUAUGAGAGUUUAAAACAGUAAAACUUAUCAUGACGAUGAAAUCACCAGUAAAAAUGAAGUUAUUGUGUAAAUAAAAUGCAAAAACAAAUAUGAACACUAACUUUGGCACGUGUUUGUGGCUAAGUGGCUACUACAAAAGAUUGGACAUACCCCAUUUUGAAUACCGUGGGUUGUCUAGUCUUACAAAUGGUGUGCCAGGAUGGGGUUACUUUUCAUUCCUGGGCUGCUAUACAGUCUCACAGGCAAUAUAGGCCCAACAAACCAAUCUGGCAAAUUUCUAUGUGCAAACAUGGAAAAGGGGAAAGCCCUACAUUUGACCCCUAUAAGUUUGCAAAAACCCAUAAAACCUUUACAUUGGGGGCACUGUUGUACUCGAGAGAUGUUGCUGAACACAUAUUGGGGUGUUCUUUGUCAGUAACACAUGAUGGGGGUAAAUUACAUUGGCAGAAUGUCCCAAAUAGGACAUGGGUGCAUGAUGAUCAGUUGGGAAAAUUUCAAGUUGAAAAACUGGAAUUCGCACUCUCCAAAUAAGGUCUUUUAGCCCCAAGAUAACUCAACACACCUAUACAUGGGGGGUAUCACUGUACUCAGGAGAUGUUGCUAAAAACAUAUUGGGGUGUAUUUUGGCAGUAACCCCUAAAGUUCUCCGUACAUUUAUUCUUAAAUUGCUGUGUGUGUCAAAAAAAAUCACCAGCUAUCAUUUUGUUUUAAAAAAUUUGGCAUGGAUUGGUAGCAAAAUGGUUGCAUGAAAAGAGUCAAAAUAACCCAAGUUUAAUACUUUAGGUUGUCUUCUUUUAAAAAAAUACAUAAAUGGGAAGGGUUAUUCAGGGAUUCCUGACAGAUAUCAGUGUUACAAUGUAACUUGCGUUAAUUUUGAGAAAAAAUGGUUUGGAAAUAGCAAAGUGCUACUUGUACUUAUAGCCCUAUAACGUUCCAAAAAAAGCUAAGAACAUGUUAACAUUGGGCAUUUCUAAACUCAGGACAAAAUUUAGAAACUAUUUAGAAUGGGUGUUUUUUGGCAGUUGUAGAUGCGUAACAGAUUUUGGGGGUCAAAGUUAGAAAAAGUUUUUUUUUUUAUUUCUUCAUCAUAUUUUAUAUUUUUUUUUAUAGUAAAUUAUAUGAUAUGAUGAAAAUAAUGGUAUCUUUAGAAAGACCAUUUAAUGUAAAAAAUGGUAAAAUGGUAUAUAAUAUGUUUGGGUACUGUAAAAGGUAAGAAAAUUGAAAAACGGUCUGUCACUAAGGGGUUAAAGGUGUACGGUUUGCCACUACUUUCUGAUGUUAUCUGACCCAAAUGUAAAUGAUCAAAAUACCAAAUACAUUCCACCAGCCCUAAAACAUUCCAACUACGCUAUUUGUUUUAUACCUUGAGAAUAAAAUAAUCAAAUACUACAAAAAUCACAAAUACUCACCCUGCAGGGUAAUUUGGACGAUGUAACAAAUAUCAAAGUUCUUCAGCUAUAGUGCACCACUUGUGUAUUACAGAUCCAGUUCUCACCUGUACCAGCUAGACUUAUAUCUGCAUAAAGAUGUUGUUUAAAGCUAAGGACUCAACAAUUUUCACUAGCAAAAAGGCGAGUAAAAAUUUAGCUCAGGCAACUAGAAACUUACUCCUGGAGGGUACACUGUGGCUUGCAGUGGAGAGUAACUUUUAAGUCCUGGCUAGUAGCAUAGAACUACAUAUUUUAAGCCCUGGUGACUGUAUGAUAUGUAUUUUAUGUAUCGUAUUUAAAUAAUAAAUAAACCUCUUGAUAUUGAUAGUGCUGUUUUGUGGUCUGUGACAGAACCAUCUGUCUGUUUAUUGUUGGUGGAUUCGUCUGUUUGCUCCGUUCGUGUAAAUGGCUGUUUCCUAUAGCCCAGCCAUACGAAUGACCGUUUUAUCCGAACAAAACUACCGAACGGAUGGCCACCCAGGAGAGAAGUGUGCUGCUGGUUAACCUAUUGAUCCCAAUUAGAACGUUGUGGUUAACCGCAGACACUUCUCAAUUAAACGAAUUCAGGGUGGUCGUCGUUCGUAUGUCGACCACGAGGCAGCGGCCAUUUUAAAACGCACGAAAGCCCAGCGGUGUUCGGCUCUAUUUUCAUGGAACUAAAAACGGACACUUUUUCUGCCGAACACCGCUGAAACAACGGAACGCCUGGCUGCCUCCACGAAAGCAUACGAAUACCGGCCGUUCGGGAGUUUUGAAGCAUACAAAAGGACUUAACCCAGAUAGCCUUCCCAUGGAGUCAUUCGUAUACCGAAAGACUGUAAGAACUUUGACUCCAUGGCGAUUGAACUAUGUGUGUGGGAUCUGAGCGCUAUUCGCUAAUAAUAUGCACUCAGAUCCAGGCUAUCUGGGGAUAUGUGAUGCGAAUGGGAAAUGUUCGGUUUUUGUAAAGUUAUGAAUUUUUAUGUCUUUUCUGGUUUUAUAUUUAAAAUGGCGACUGGCUUUGUCCUGGAGAUAAUUGAGUUACUUCUUAAUUAUCUCCAGGGCAGAGGGGAGGAAACCAUAGUGUAUUGUGGGUAAAAGCUGUGACUGUAUGUCUGGAAUGUCCCUAUGUCUGUCUGUCAUUACAGUCUCCCAUUUGGUCCCCUAGGGGAGUGUCCACCAAGUGGGAGACCUGCAUAAAUACAGGCAGGUAGCCCACAGUAAAGCCAGAUCCUGUUUGACCCUCAAUGCGGAGCUUCUGUCUCGUUAUUGGGGGGAUUUCUUCUUUACGCUUAGAGACUGCUGGAUGGAACUGAAAGCCGCUUGGUGGAUGUUAUUGUUCGGCGGCUAGCAGCAGUUCGUGGAUUGCCGUUCAGGAGUUUGGAGACGUUCACGGAUCCUGGUCGGGAGAUUGCCACUUCCCCUGAGUUUGGUUCGUACACUGCAGUUCAUGCGAACGGAGAUUAUAGGUAUUGCAGAAGGGGAAGGUUGACUAAACGGCGGUUUCGUUUAAAGACACCAGGGUUGUCUUAACAUGGUCAUUACACAGAAAUCCAUCAGUUGUCGGGCAAUAGUCCAAAAGUCCUUUAAUAGCACAUAAGUGGACUUUUAGUAGGUAUCAGUUGCAUAGUAAUAUGAUAUCAGGAGAAAUAGCUAGCUUCAUAGCUCAUUAAGCAUGUUCUACUUUUUUGAAAAAAAUUAUUUUAUUUUUGAACGUUUUUUCUGCCAACAGCUCUUAAAGCUGAUCUUUUCAAAUCAUCUUUCAAGAGACAUUCACAACCAUGGAGCAAUGAGAAGACCUUCAGGAUGGCUUACGUUUACUUUUUUCAAGUCCGUUUAAGUAUGUACAUUUCUUCCCAGUCUUGGCUACUAGUUAAUAGCGAAGGUAUAUACAAUUACCAGAGACCAACCCUGAAGUUUGUUAGUUUUUUAUGACAAUUUUCCUUUAAAAGUCAGUUAAAGAGUCAAUGUUUUGUGCAUUGGCAUUUUAAAAAGAAAAACAUCUAUGUUUAUAGAGUAUUGAAAAAUUUAUUAUUUAGAUGCAAUCCAUAGUCUCCCAGGCACUCAUUAUAAUGUAUUUUAUAUCCCAAACCUCACUGCUCACAUUUGCUCAUCAAUCUUCUGCCUGUUUAUGAAUGACAGUCGCUAAACAUCUGCCAAACAUCUGCCAGACACCAACCUCCGACCAUGCUCUUUUUCUCUGUGAUUUGUGGUUUAUCUAAUGACUCAGGACAGCGACCUUUGUAAUUGAAGUUGUUUUGAACUAGCUAUAGGUUCUACAGCUUGAGUUUCACAUUCUUUCCUUGUACAAAAAAAAAAUUAAACCCGGCACUUUUAAUUAUAAAGACAUCACAUGAUGCUCUACUUAAUGAAAUGUUUCCAAAGGCAUAAAAGUCAAUUAAAGACACUGUACGUUAUAUUGGAUUUCAUGCCUGGCCUGACACAUUGACUGAAAUUUAGUUUUUCUCUUCUGCAAAAGGCCAGACAAUUUCAUAAUACAUAACUUUCCUUUUGGACGUCUCUUAAGGUGUACUGUAUUACUAAUUGAUUUAAUUUUUUUUUUUUUAUUAAACAAUGCUAUCAUUUUAUGGGUCACAGCUAUGUAUUUGUUGCCUUUUUGACCUCUUGAUUGCUACAUUUUGUGGUAUUUUAGUGUCCAAAUGUCAUCCCACUCAUCACAUUAAGUGAGCGUGAAAAUUUACAGGAAAACGCUGGCGAUUUGCCUUGAUUGGUGACCUACCUGACUCCUGCAGUACAUUUCUUCCUCAUUUUGAAUGGAAAAUGGUUUUCUUUUGAACUGAAGGUGGGAGAGCAAAUACGAGAAUAAUUGCAAUGUAUAGAGCGAAUAAAACACAUUUUGUCAACUCUUGAAUCUACAUAGAAAUGGUUUUACUUCAAUGCAAAAUGUUCAUCGCUUGGAAACAGAACAAGACAAUUAAAUAAAGAGGGUUACGUUGCAGAGGAAAAUUCCAGAAAACGAACAGGGCAUAAAAAAGAAGUGUCAAGUCCCUGCUGAAAGCAAGUGGAGACAUUAAAUAUCAAUUAGAUCACAUUUUCUUCAAAUAUAUCGCAAAUUACUUCCACAGUCCAUUUUCAGGACUCCAAAUUAGCUCUGUAGAAAGGGAGAAUAUGGAUAUGUUUUUUAGGCUUUUAAAGGAAAAUUGUCAUAAAAAAACUAACAAACAUCAGGGUUUGUCUAGUAGUUGUAUAUACCUGCACUAUUAACUAAGCCAAGACUGGGAAGAAAUUUACAUACUUAAGCGGACAUGAAAAAAGCCAACGUAAGCCAUCCUUUUAUGACAAUUGCAAAAUGCCUGUGCGGAAAGAGGUGCAGAAAAUCCCAAUUAUUAUUAUUUUAUAGAUAAAGGAAAGAAAGAGCAAAAAUAACAAGAAAAAAACUAAACAAUGUCUUACAAUAUUAACAUUGAGCAAUUUGAAUAAUGAAUAUGAAGACAAUGUUUGCCACAUACAAUAUGCCAUGAUUGCAAAGGGCGUAGCAUGGGAGAUGUAACAAAGUUGAAUCAAAGAGUUAUUGAUGUUGUUGAACAGCUUUAGAGCUGUCUGUUGGGUAGUGUCGGUGUAAGGUAUGCAUUACGGUAAAGAAUGUGUUCUUAAUGACACAUUUGUUUUAACCAACCAUGAUGCUAAAUGUAUAAUAUAUUGUUCUGUGUGAACCCUAGCUAACUGGAAGCUCAUGCUACAAUUUAUUUCAACAGUUCAUGAAAUUUGAAAAAAGGGCCUCCUCAUGUCCCUCUUACUUUAUAAUAGCAAUAUGCCAAAUGUAAUCAUGUUCUCACCUUAAUCAAGCAAACACUGUCUACGUUCCGAGUACUGAAUGCAGACAUUAUCAGGCCAGGCAUCCCCGUGAGGAAUAGAGCCAUGGACUUGUCAUAGAGCCAAUUUAAUCUCCAUCCUCAAUGCAAUCAAUCUGAUGACACAAAUCAAUAGCAAAGAAAGAAGAAGUUUUCUGAGCUAAUUGUUUGUUUUUUUUUAUUGUGAAAACCUAAAGAAGAUUCCCUAAGUAAGUUUUAUAUUCAUUGACUCGCUUUUCACUUUCCAGUUGAUGAUCCAUUAAACUGAUGGAUGUAUAAAGAAAACUCAAUAUAUACUGUAACAUACAUAUAUAUAUAUAUAGCAAGGGAAUUGCUGCCCUGUCAGUGUGACUGAUUGCAUUGUCUGUAUGAGUGUGCGCUCUUAUCUGUGAGUAUGUUCUAUGUAACUCUAAGGAGGAGGGAAUGAUUUUACAGGCAUAAAAGUGGGGGACCUCGAUGGGAAUAAUUGUCUUAAUUACCAGUGGGAUGUGGGGAUGUAAAUUGUGGAUAAAGGGGUAAAUUGCAUGGAAAUAAUGUGUUCAUGGGAUGGGUUAAUUGCAGAAACAUGCGGAUAUCUAUGUUGGGGAGAAAUGAAUUCUUUGGGGCUUAUGGAGAUGCAAAUUGGGAACGAGGGGUAAUCGGCAGGUUAAUGUUUAAAUGUAGUUAUUGAGGAGAAUGGCAUUAUUGGCGAGGGAUCUGGGACGUCAAUGAUAGGGAAAACGUGUUAAUCGGCUGCAAGUGUCAUUUGAUGUCUCUCACCAACUGAAUAAUGUCUCAGCUUGUUUUGAGUUCGUAUGAUAAUGUGAAAGCAUUUUAGGCAAGACUAGAAGCAGUGCAGAUAACUAUCAAUCAAGUGCUUGCCAGGGGUGGUACCACAACCACUACAGUGUAAUUCUAGGACUGGUGCCACCUGUUCAUUAAUACUGCCUAUGCUUUCAUCAUUAUUAGGCAGGUCAUGUGUGUGCCUGUAUGUGUCUGUGUAUGAGUGGAAGUUUGUGAUCUUGUCUAUGUAUGUGUGUGUCUGUGUAUGAGGAAAUUUUUUUGUGUGCAUGUUAUUGAGUAUGUUUAUCUGCACGUAUGUUUGUGUGUGUGUCCGUGUGUGUGUAUGUGUAUUUCAUUCCACACAACCGGAAUAACAAAGUAUAAUCUCUGCCAUUCCAGUUGUUGUGGUGCAAAAUCCAAUAAACACUUUCUUUUAAAAAAUCGUGUAAUAUAAAUGUAUAUAAUGGUGAAGAUAAUGUCAUUUUGGGCACCCUGAGAUCAUUUUAAACCACUUGACCUUCAGUCUAGUAAGGAUUUAUGGCAUCUUAUUUGCAUUAUUUUCCAAUAAUAAAUCACUAUUGCUCCAUGAUCUUUGUGGUAUUACACAUUUUCAUAUCCUGUACUGCACAGUAGGUGAAGAUACACUGCAUUAGAAGCUGUAAUACACGUUGUGUGUUAUGGACACUAAGCAAUAGGCUUGUGCAUUUGGAUUUGUCCGAAUUGCAAUUCAGCUGAAUUCGGGGUGAUUUGUUGGGCCAAGUUUGACGUCUGCCCAGGGCUACAAGAUUCAAAAAGAGAGAUGAUUUAUGAGAAAAAAAGAUGAUUGAUGUGUAGGGAACAGCCAAAACAUGUUGAUUUUCUUCAGAGAUUAAGUGAAAAGUAAACAAUAAAGUCAAUUAAGGAGGAGCAGUAAAAAUAAUCUAUAUUUAUAUUUCUAUAUUUCAGUUUUUUUUACUUUUCCUCUUUUCCCUCUUUUGAUAACUUUUUUCUUUUUGUGAUCUGCGAUUCAAAUGGCUGUAAAAUGUGCCUAUUGGUAUACGGCAUAAUAUAUGUAAUAUUUAUAUUAUGGUUAUAUUUUGCAUUGCACUGUUUUUCCAAUUUUUGUGCCCUUUUUGGUUAGUCCAAAUGUUUACCUGAAUAUUUUUUAUUCAGUGGUAUUCAGCUAUUCCCAAACCAUCACAUGAACAAGACAUCAAUUUCUGGAAAAAUUAUUCAGUCGAACAGGACAAUCCCAAGAUGUACAAGUCUACUGAUCAAUGUGGAGGCUGUAAAAGUUAGUGCAACAUUGGAACAUACAUAGCCUAGCCCGCAUGCAGUUAGUGGGUAGUGUUGUUUGAAACUGUCUUCAUAAAUUCAGUUUCCUCUCCUUCCUCUUUUUGAUAUGUUUACAAAAAUAUCUGAAAAAAAUGACUUUACCUUACGUGCAACAUUUUAGUUUAGCUUCACCUCUGCCACAGGUGGGGGCUCUCCUAACACCUACAGUAUAAGAAUACAUCAUCAUUGUCAUAGCAUUUUACAUAACACCUCGUGCUAUUUUUUUUUUUUCAAUUGCCAAGUGUCCUGAUGAUACAUAACACAGCCCAAUGGCGACUUGAAGGACAGGCUUUCAUAUAUUUAUAUAUUUUUAUUUAAAUCAUGCUAUCAGAUGGAAACAUUAAGCCGGUAAGGCGUUUUAUCUAAGGAACUUUGCUCUGUAGGUUCUUACAAUCAGAUCAAUGCUAUCGAGCUGACCCCAGGUUAAUUGCUGAUAGAGAGUUUUCAGUACAUUUGUUACAUUUUUUCUGCAAAUAAUGCAACCAUUUACAGCUUAGUGUCAGAAUAUAUCAGAUUGGUUGGUGUUUAAUGCUCAGUCAAGUUGAAAAUAUGGGCAUGGGAUCAUAUAAACGAACUCUGGAUAGGAAAAUCAAUGGCAGAGAGGAGCGUCAGUGUAUUUCUGUAUAAUAUAUUUUUGAGAAGCUUUCCAUGGGGACAACCAGGACUUUAUUAAGCAAAUAGCUGAAAAAAUAUGUGAAUAUUUCAUGGUAGACAUUAUGCAUGUAAAACCUGUUUUAUACCUCCUGCUUUACUUUGAAACUUUCAGAUCCUGGGCGAUGUAAGAAGUUAAAGGGUAGAUGAUAGUUGUGAAUUCAUUUUUGGAUGCAAUUGAAUAAUUUACAAAAAUGUUGAGUUUUUGUAAAUUUUGUUGCAAACUAAUAUUGGUCGUUAAAUUAGCGCUAAAUCCAACACUGGAUUUGUUUGGUGCCAUUUGGUCAUUCGUUGACUGACUGCAUGCAUAAAUAAGUGGAAUAUAUAAAUUAUAUAUAUAAAUUUAUAGAGAGAGAGAGAACAUGAAGGCGUGUACUCUCUGGUCUCUUUUCAUAUAUUUCAGUGUUCCUUUAUUCAACGAUCAAUGUUUCAGUCCAACAAACUGGACAAUCAUCAUGAUAUAUAUAAGUAUCUGAAACUAACUUAAUAUAAAUUAUUUUCAUGUUUUCCUUUUGGUGUGUAGUAACCGUCAAUCUUGAAUAUUGUUGUGACUGCUGACUUUUAGAUUAAUUCAUUAUCAAUAGGGAUUAACAGGGGACAGCAUUUGUUAGAUUAACAAAAUAUUUUAGAUUUUUGUAUCAAACUGAAUUCAUAUUUGAGACAUAUUUGAGAGACAUAUUUCAGACACCUUUAGUAGGUAGAUAGGUAGGUAGUUGGAGCUGAUCAUUUAUGAUGAUUCUUGUGAUGUAUUAUGCUACAAUAAUUCAUAAGACUUGUGUACAGCAAACAUUUUUGGUUCUUCUGAAUUAAUUCAGUUUGGAUUUCCAAAAUUGUUAGAUUUCCAAAAUUGUUAAAUUCUGGAAAAAGUUGGAUUGAAACAGGUAUUGCCAGGGAAGUCCUACACUGAAGGAAAAAAAAGUCUUUCACACUGUAUAUUGGAGAUUUAAAGUUUCUGUUAAUUCAAAGUAGCUGUUAGACAUUGCCACCACACAACUCAUUCCAAACAAACUGAAUAAGCUAUUCACAGAUCACAAUGUUAUUUACUAGAGUGAGAAUUCAAAGUGAAUUUCAAAUUUAAGGUCAGAGUAGCCCACCUGAAUGCAUAGCAUCUUGCUAAUAUAAUGUUAAUUUACUAAUGGAAUUAUGGGUAUAUUUCCUACUAUGUAGUUAUGUAAUCACAAUAUAAAUAUUCACUGUCCAUGCUUAACAUUGUAUUGUCAUAUUUCUAAAAAAUUUACAUUUUUAUCAUAAUAAUAUAAGGGACUGGGUUUGUCAAUUUUUUGCAAAUGUUUCCGUAUUGCAAGGUUUAACAUCAUUUUUUUGUGUCUGUUGCACAGACAUUGAGCAUAUGGAUGAUUUAUUGCAAUGCCCCUGUUAAAUUAUUUCUUGGUCUAUAUAUUAAAUAACGGCUAUGCUAAUAUCAAACUCAUUAUCUUCCUUGAACUGAAUACUGAAUCUUAUUGCAUCAUGCCAUGGUUCAAAACUUUGUUAGUUCUGUUUUUUAAAAUGUAAACUUUCUAAUUCCGCAUUAAUAUUCGGCAUGUUGACAAUGCUUUAGAAUUUAUCGAGAGUACCAAAAUUGGAACUGAUAAUUUUCCAAAACAACAGAAAAAUAGAACUGUCAGUUUCUGUGUGGGAAAUACUGCUUUUAAAUCCAAGAAUACAUUAUGUAACAGGUUGGGAAAAAAAUAUGAUCAACAGAAUGUUACAGCUACGUUAUUACAUAAAAAUAUAUUUAAUUACUUUAUUCAUUUGCUAUUGUCAUUUUGUUCCAAGGAUAAAAAAAAAAAAAAAAACACUUUGGAAAUUAAUGGACCCUUGACACUUAGGACAUCACUAUAUGACUAAUUAAAUUCUGAGUUCAUCAUUUUAUUUUAUUUUUUUAUUUUUUUUUAUUCAAAAAGUUUUUCCUUGUAGUCAUUAGUUUUUUUUUUCCAUUUCCUGAAAUCUUGUUGCAUAAUAUGAAGCUAAGGAAAGUAAGAUGACAGCUGGCUGUGUGGGCCAGAUAUAAGUUUGGAAUAUAACGAGUCUCAGCAACUAGAAUGUUUGCCAGCGUGCUACAAAACAAACUCCAGCGCAUGGACAGACUUUCUUGGCUGUUACAGUUGUUUGAUUGGUGAAUUAAAUGCUUUUCUGUAAUUUCAAUAAACCCCCAUUUCUGAAUGAUCUAAUUAUACUCUGUAAAUUCAUGCUGGGGACUCUCUUUGUCUUAAAUCACUAAUGUAGAAGUAUGCAAAGGUGUUUUUUUUUUUUCAUUAAAGGCUUUUAAUGAAGAUUGAAAACCUUGCACAUACAGAAUAGUUAGAGUUAAUGCAAAAAGGUUAAAAAGAAAAAUGAUAUAGAGAUUAUAUACUAUCUAUUCAAUAAAUUAAAGGCAGGCUGUAAGUACCAAAGCACGACUUCUUAUUGUUGUAAUUCGUGUGCAUAGACACAGUCUCCUUUUCCAGAAAUUUCAAUUUUAGAAAAUUAAUUUCUGAAUUUAAAUUUAUCUCUGGUAGAAAAAAAAAAAAAAUCCCGCUGGAAUCUCGAAAAUUGGCACAGUGUGGAAACACUUCUCUAGAACUUUUACAGAAUGUAAACCUGGUCUUUCACUGAAAUAUGAAUUGUUACAGCUUCAAAGUCAACUUAAAAUUAAUUUCAAAUUUUAGACCAAAAUAGCCAAGCUGACUUGAGAAUUCUUCCAAUUUGAAACCCACUUUCAAUUUAGUUUUCAGUUUGGAUUCUUGGUAUUUCACAUUUUAGUGUAUAUUCCUAUUAAUGCCACAAUAGUUGGUGCUAGACAUUUAACCAGUGUGGAAUUGUCUUGACAAGCAAUAUAAGAUUAUUGUACAAGGGAAAUGGCAACUUUAUUAAACACUAAAAUUCUACCCAUUAAUCCAGAGUCCCUGAGAUUCUUCCUAUUCUCUCUUACACUGUGAGAAUCUGAUCAUUAAUUUUAAGUACCUGAGAAUCUGCCCAUUCUCUCUUACACUGUGAGAAUCUGCCAAUUUAUUCUAAGUAUUAAAGAAUCUGCCCAUUCAGCCUAAGCCAGUGAAAACAUGCCUUCUUACUAGACAUGUGCACCAGUGUAAUUUUUGUUUCGUACAAAUGAAUUUGUACUGAAUAAAAAUGAAAUUCGUCCAUUCUGAAUUUCUGACGAAAUUCAGUAAAAAAUAAUUUGUUUUCGCCCAUUAGGAUGAAAAUAACACUGCGCGUGCGCAAAAAAAAGCAAGGAGGGAGCCAGCAGCACUACCAGCUCCCUCCUUGUAAUAAAUAUUAACAAUUCCUACCACCCUCCGGCAGUAAAACCUAAGGGGGUCGCUGUUUUGUUUGGUAAAUACCAUGUUCACAUACUUUUUCCCGUUUUGUUCGGUAACCAAAAAAAUAACACAAAAUACCCAGACCAACUGCAUGCUUAUUAACCUCAUUCACCCCUGUUAACACCCCUAUAACGAUUCACACCUCAGUGUUCUAAGUGGUCGGCUGGGUGGCCGCCGUUCGUAUGCACAAACACGUGGUGGCGGCCAUCUAGUUCACAUGAAUGGAGGCAGCGGUGUUUGGUCGUUGAGUGCAUGGAACUAAAAUUGGACACCCGACCUCCCGAACACCGCUGAACUUCCACCCCUGCCUGUGUUAGUUUCUUUACAUCCUGGAAGAGCACUGUUCGGUGGAAUUGUUCGCAUUGAUUAUCCUGCAGCACGGAGUCUAUUAAUUGAAAGAACUGAAACAAAAAGGUAAUGCAUUCAUCAUUUGCCCUUUUGUUUUGUAUAUAAUUCGUAUGUUGGACAUUCGUUUAUGUUAUAGUAAACAAAUACGAAAAAGUCCAAAAAUUUGGAUGAAAUCCAAUAACGAAUGCACAUGUCUACUCCUUACCUUGACACCACAAGAAUCGUUCUAUUCAUUCUAAGUCCCUGAGAAUCUGCCCAUUCACCAAAAACUAAUCCACUGUGGAUCCCUAAGAUUCAGCCCAUUUACCCCAUGAGUUUAAAAUGGGAUUGAAAAUUAUGAAUGAAUGUGGCCAAGCAUAAAUGUUGGGAUACAUUAACUGUGCAAUUUUCUAACCGAGUGCAUUACUUACACAGCUGGCUACUUAGGAACAAAUUGGAUAUUUGUUAUUUUUUCUCCUUACAAGUUAAAAUGUUUUUAUUGCUACAUUUAAAUUUGCAAUGCCACAAGAAUUGCACGGCAAUAGCAAUCACACGGCAUUGUGAAAAAGCAGCAUGGCUUGUACGACACAGGACUCGAGAUAAAUGAGAUUUUUACUGUCAUUUCUAGAUAGCUAAAAAAAAAAGCAGAAAAAUAAAAAAGAAGGCUUAUACAACAAGUGUUUUGAGAUAAUAGAAUCUCCCCCUGCUAGUAAUUAAUGGCAUUAUUGCUGAUGAGAAAUGAAACGAUUUUACAGGUCUAUUGUACUCUAUGCAGAUUGUUCCCUUGGGACUGUUUAAGCAGAAGUAAUGUUGCUUUAUGGUACAAUUCACACAGAUAGUCUGAAAACCAUAUGGACUCUCUGCUUAACUACCGAUCUCUGGUCCCCAGUUUACCCGUCGAGUGUCCUCAUGAUAAUAUUAGAUGUAUUUACAGCCAGGGAAUAAUCUAAAAUUGUUCUAUUAAAAUAAUAAUUAUUCUUAUUAUCAUACACAUUGUGCAUUAAAGGCAACUAUUACUAACAAUGAAUAAUGAUAUGUUAGUUAAAAACUGCAUCAUGGAGAGAAAACAGUAAGUGUUCUAGUCAAUUAGUUAUUUCUAGUAUGCGUGGUUAUAAAUUGUAUAUUGCAUGUGUAACACCUUUGUGGUAGAUCUAGGCUGAAUUCUUGCUGUUUCGUUUGGGAGUGUCUAAUAUGUCUGGUUGUAGAACACUCACUGCACUUCAGAAUCCCACUACCAAUCUGUCACAAAGGGGAAAUAUAGUUCUAGUACAAGAUAACAGAAUGUCCAAACAAUGCACAUAAUGAAAAAAAAAGUACAUUAUUCACCACCAAAGGCAAGUAAAAGUUUGGUAACCUGAGAAUCUUGAUAAAAUUGAAAACAGGAGGAACAGUAAUAAAAAACAAUCUACAUUUAUGUAUUAUAUAUUUAUUAUUUUUUUUCCAAUUAGUCAUCUCUUUAUUUGUUGGCAAGGGCGAAAUUCCAACUCAAAAACUUAAGCAGACAUGCUCAACCAUACACGUUUCAGUUGGUUCGUGAUUUGAGUACAUUUUUGUUUGGAGUCUGAGAAUUCAAGCGUUCACCCGAAUACGAGUGGGGAUAGUUGGUUGUAAAUAGGAGUGGGAAUCAGGAGUGGGGAUAGUUGGUAAAUAGGAGUGGGAAUUAGGAGUGGGGAUAGUUGGUAAAUAGGAGUGGGAAUUAGGAGUGGGGAUAGUUGGUAAAUAGGAGUGGGAAUUAGGAGUGGGUAUUGGUUGUAGAUAGUAGUGGGAAUUAGAAGUGGUUAUAGUUGGUUGUAGAUAGGAGUGGGAAUCAGGUGUGGGGAUAGUUGGUUGUAAAUAGGAGUAGGGAUUAGGAGUGGGAUAGUUGGUUGUAGAUAGGAGUGGGAAUUAGGAGUAGGGAUAGUUGGUAAAUAGGAGUGGGGAAUAGGAGUGGGGAUAAUUGGUAAAUAGGAGUGGGGAAUAGGAGUGGGGAUGGUUAGUAAAUAGGAGUGGGAAUUAGGAGUGGGCAUAGUUGGUAAAUAGGAGUGGGAAUUAGGAGUGGGUAUUGGUUGUAGAUAGUAGUGGGAAUUAGAAGUGGUUAUAGUUGGUUAUAGAUAGGAGUGGGAAUCAGGUGUGGGGAUAGUUGGUUGUAAAUAGGAGUAAGGAUUAGGAGUGUGGAUAGUUGGUAAAUAGGAGUGGGAAUUAGGAGUGGGGAUAGUUGGUUGUAAAUAGGAGUAGGGAUUAGGAGUGGGAUAGUUGGUUGUAGAUAGGAGUGGGAAUUAGGAGUAGGGAUAGUUGGUAAAUAGGAGUGGGGAAUAGGAGUGGGGAUAAUUGGUAAAUAGGAGUGGGGAAUAGGAGUGGGGAUGGUUAGUAAAUAGGAGUGGGAAUUAGGAGUGGGCAUAGUUGGUAAAUAGGAGUGGGAAUUAGGAGUGGGGAUAGUUGGAAAUAGGAGUGGGAAUUAGGAGUGGGUAUUGGUUGUAGACAGGAGUGAGAAUUAGAAGUGGUUAUAGUUGGUUGUAGAUAUGAGUGGGAAUCAGGUGUGGGGAUAGUUGGUUGUAAAUAGGAGUGGGAAUCAAGUGUGGGAUAGUUGGUUGUAAAUAGGAGUAGGGAUUAGGAGUGUGGAUUGUUGGUUGUAGAUAGGAAUUGGAAUUAGAAGUGGGGAUAGUUGGUAAAUAGGAGUGGGAAUUAGGAGUGGGUAUUGGUUGUAGAUAGGAGUGGGAAUCAGGUGUGGGGAUAGUUGGUUGUAAAUAGGAGUAGGGAUUAGGAGUGGGGAUAGUUGGUUGUAGAUAGGAGUGGGAAUUAGGAGUGUGGAUAGUUGGUAAAUAGGAGUGGGGAUUAGGAGUGGGUAUAGUUGGUAAAUAGGAGUGGGAAUUAGGAGUGUGGAUAGUUGGUAAAUAGGAGUGGGAAUUAGGAGUGGGGAUAGUUGGUAAAUAGGAGUGGGAAUUAAGAGUGGGUAUUGGUUGUAGAUAGGAGUGGGAAUUAGAAGUGGGUAUAGUUGGUUGUAGAUAGGAGUGGGAAUCAGGAGUGGGCAUAGUUGGUUGUAAAUAGGAGUGGGAAUUAGGAGUGGGGAUAGUUGGUAAAUAGGAGUGGGAAUUAGGAGUGGGGAUAGUUGGUUGUAAAUAGGAGUAGGGAUUAGGAGUGUGGAUAGUUGGUUGUAGAUAGGAGUGGGAAUUAGGAGUGGGGAUAGUUGGAAAUAGGAGUGGGAAUUAGGAGUGGGUAUUGGUUGUAGACAGGAGUGAGAAUUAGAAGUGGUUAUAGUUGGUUGUAGAUAGGAGUGGGAAUUAGGAGUGGGGAUAGUUGGUUGUAAAUAGGAGUGGGAAUCAAGUGUGGCAUAGUUGGUUGUAAAUAGGAGUAGGGAUUAGGAGUGUGGAUUGUUGGUUGUAGAUAGGAAUGGGAAUUAGAAGUGGGUAUUGGUUGUAGAUAGGAGUGGGAAUCAGGUGUGGGGAUAGUUGGUUGUAAAUAGGAGUAGGGAUUAGGAGUGGGGAUAGUUGGUUGUAGAUAGGAGUGAGAAUUAGGAGUGUGGAUAGUUGGUAAAUAGGAGUGGGAAUUAGGAGUGGGGAUAGUUGUUUGUAGAUAGAAGUGGGAAUAGUUGGUAAAUAGGAGUUAGAAUUAGGAGUGGAGAUAGUUGGUUGUAGAUAGGAAUGGGAAUUAGAAGUGGGUAUUGGUUGUAGAUAGGAGAGGGAAUUAGGUGUGGGGAUAGUUGGUUGUAAAUAGGAGUAGGGAUUAGGAGUGGGGAUAGUUGGUUGUAGAUAGGAGUGAGAAUUAGGAGUGUGGAUAGUUGGUAAAUAGGAGUGGGAAUUAGGAGUGGGGAUAGUUGGUAAAUAGGAGUGGGAAUUAGGAGUGGGGAUAGUUGUUUGUAGAGAGAAGUGGGAAUAGUUGGUAAAUAGGAGUUAGAAUUAGGAGUGGAGAUAGUUGGUUGUACACAGGAUUGGGGAGAGUUGGCAGUUGACAUGAGUGGGGAUUGUUGGCUGUAGUUGGCAGCUGACAUGAGUGGGGAUAGUUGGCAGUUAACAUGAGUGGGGAUAGUUGGCAGUUGACAUGAGUGGGAGCAAUUGAUUGUACACAGAAGAAGGGAUAGUUGGAAGUUGAUAGGGGAGGGUAUAUUUGGCAGUUAAAAAGAGUGGGGAUAGUUGGCUGUAGACAGAGGUAGGAAUAAUUGCUAGCUCAUAGCUGUUACAAUUUCAAUUGGAUUAGAGAGGGUUUAUUGUUCGGAAAAGACAAGAGCCAGACCGGCUAGCAGCAGAAUUGAUUUUUAUAUAAAAUAUGUAUAAAUAAUGAAAUAAGUGUAAAGAAAUGGGGAUCUUGGUAACAGGAAAACAGAUUGCAGAAUAAGUAAGCAGGAGACCUUUGUAUUAUGUAGGUGACAUAAUUGCAAUAUGACUGAAUGAUGUAUAAAAACUGAUAGCCUCUCAUUACAUAUUUAUUUCACAGAAACAGCUAGAAAUCAAAACACUAGAUUAAUAGCUAAAAAACUCUGUUACUUUCUAUUCUCAUGUGAAUGAAUAUGUUUUGAAUACAUUUCUUGUUAUUUAGGGUAUAAGUUUAACCUAUUUAGCACUCUAUUGUUCAUUAACACUUUCUGUGCCAAGGAGAGCCAUCAGGUAUACAACAAGAAAAAAAUCUAUAAUUUGUAUCCUUAUGCAAUAUACGAGAAAUGUGUUUGAGGGAUAUGAGGGAUUGGAAACACUUUUUCAAAACAAUAAAAAUUGAUAAUGCAAUUUGUUUUGCAAAUUAUUUCACACUUUAAAACAAUAUGCGCUUUAAACAAUAUGCUGCCUACUGUGUUCUGGCGUUUAAUGUCAGACCGUUUAGAAAUGGUAUGACAUGAACUGUGGACUUGGUGCCCGAGCUAACCCACCCCAGCAUUCUCAGCCAAUCACCGCCAUCCAGGUUUGUUGUAGCUAUUACUGAAAACAGAGAAGUUUUAAUUCUGCAGUAUCAAUUCAGCUGUCUAUGGGUGCCUGAAUGAGCCACAGUUUAUGUCAAACCAUUACAAAAUAGUACGCCAUUAACUCAAGGAUACUGCCAGGACACUCUAGGCAGGCCGGUGCAAGGCAAAGAUGCAUUUUGCCGCAACACAUCACCUAUGGUUCUCUUAACCCCCCUUAACCAUAAUUUUGUGUCUCUUAGAACCCCCUUGUAUAGCUUGUAUCCCUUAUCCCCCCUUUGUAUCUCUUUCUUUCUCCCAGUCCCUUUGUAUGUCUCUUUUUCCCUGUCCCAAGCUCCUCUGUGUAUCUUUUUCCUCUUACCCAGGCCCUCUUUGUGCUCCUUUUUCAUAUUCUCUCUGUGUGCCAAUUUCUCCCCCCUAAGCCCCUUUGUGUGUCUCUUCCCCUCUGUCCCUCUUUGUGUCUUUUUCGCCACAUCCCCUAUGUGUGUCUCUUUUCUAACAGAUCUUUGUGUAUGCAUAUUCCCCCAUCCCCUCUGUGUGUUUCUUUUUUGACUCUAGGUAACUUACAUUUUAGAUAUCACAUCUUUGCUAUAUAAAGAGUCAAGAAUUUGCUAAUUUGGAAAAAUUAUCUAACAUGGCUAUAAUUAUAGCUUAAGCAUGCACACUGUUAGGGUGGGUCUACAGUCUCAAAUGUGGUUCUCCUUAGCUCCAGGCCAGAGGCAGCCCGUUGCCCCGAACAGCUGGUUCCAUGCUACUCAACAUGCCUAAUCUGCACUGUGACUUUUGGCUGGGAACUGUGUAUUUUUGUGUCUCUGCAUGCUUAUCUGUUUCUUUGUGUGCCUGUAUUUAUAUAUGUAUGCUUCUGUGUCUAUUUGAGUGUGUCUGUGAGAAUCUGUGUUCCUGUGUGUGCAUGCCUACUCAUGCCUGUGUAUGUUUAUGCUUCUAUAGCCGUAUGUAUGCAUCUGUGAAUGAGUGUAUGUAUGCAUUUAACAUUUGGAAAUUCCCUUUUCAAUUCAAUAAAAUUCAGUAACUGACAGAGGAAGCUUUAUUAUUAAACAUGUGAAAUAUGUUUCAGGAUUAUUAAUCCCUGGAAUACUUCGACUUUUUGUUAGUAGUUGGUUUAUUAGUAAUAAAAUAAGGAGAGGGAUCAACCCUAAGAGACACUGUGGCUUUGGAAAUGUGAGUUGACACUAAGCAGGAGGGUGGCAAACACACACUCGGGCACAAUACACACACAAACACACACACACUGACAUACAGCUCUGUUUUCAAUCCUACAUUAUACAUAGAACAUACUUCUUACUCGACUUACAGCUAUACAUGUAUUUACUUCUUUAAACUAUCCACAUGUUAAGGGGUUAAACAGUUAUAUGAUCAAAAUGGGUUUAUCUGCACAUCUGUAGUUACAGAGUUAGUUAUUACUUCAUAAUGCCAUUUUAAAACCUUUAUUCAUUAAACAGCAAGUCACAUUAAUAACUCUGUCACCUAGAGACUAAAAUACCCAACUGGAAUAAUGUUUGACUACACAUUUUUCUAAACAGUUGGAAACACAACUUACUCACAAGUCAAUAAAUUCCUUGGAAAAUAACGCUAGAUAUACGUUGGGUAAAUUGUCAAUGCUGAAAAAGACCAUUCACGUAAUAGCCACCUUGUGUUGUGAUUACGUUCUUUUUAUGUCUGCAUUCUCACUUUAUUUUUAUCGGGAAAAUCUUUGAUGUUGUUGAUUAGAAAUCACACGGGGCCAACUCUCUUGGAAACUAUUUGUAGCCAGAAGAAAAAAGGAGACCUCAAUCACAGCUCGGAAAAUGUCAGCAACAGGAUAGUGAAUAAAUGAUGUUAUGUAACAGGAUUUGCACAGGCAGAUAGCCCUCUGUGAUGUAAAUAAUGCAGUUCCCCCAUUCUGGUGCAAACAAAUCACUUGGAAGUAAAAAAUAAAACACUUUUUUUUUUACUGGUAAGAGUAGCAUUUUUCUUUUUGUUCUUCUCACGGACAUGAAUAGAGGAUGGACAGACAUACUUUAGAAGUAGACAUCUCGGCAGGUCAUUAAAGGUUCAAGACUUGUAUCGAGUUCAAAACUAGAAGAAAAAAACAUUCCUCCGAGAAACACUGGCAUUUUAUUCUGCUGCCAAGUACCCCCAGCGAUCUGCCAUUUAUUCAGAAUUACUGCGUAAUAUAGAAAUAAAACAAUAAAAAGGACACCAGCUACCAACAAAUUAGGGUUAUUAUUAGGGAAAUUAUACAUUUCCACUUUUGUCUUGUUUGCCAAUGUUGGCAGCUCAUCACAGCUGACAAAGUGCUAUCACUUUAAUCACUGUGGGACAAGCUUUAGUCGAAUCCUUUGCUAUUGUAACAAUACUGAAGGGGUUAUUACUCUUGAAAAAUACAGGGGAAAAAAGGCAACAACUUGUGGAAUGGUGUGAAGGAUGGACUCGAUAGAGACACUUGAUCCCUUUCUACACUCACACACACUGAACAUUCCAUGUUUUAAAGGGACACUCCAAACACCUGAAGUGUUUUAUGUGUGAGCAUGUGUUCUCAUUUUUCACUUUGCAAGAAGUGCAAUAAAUUAAAGUGACAUUAUAGGAGUAGUCUGGAUUGGUCUGGGUGCCACGCCCCUCCCUCCCCCACCCACUAUUUUAAUUCUGUAAGUAAAAGCAUUGAUGUUCUGCAGAGAUGGCAACAUUUUCAUUCCAGAGUUUAUAUGCCUCUAGCGGCUGUCACUAUUUCCUCCAAAAUAGUUGAGUAAACCUCAUAGAGACCAUUGACCUAGUGCAGUGUUUUACCGUGCAUGUGGUGCACUAUCCUCCCAAAGCUUUCCUGUGGGAAAGCAUUGGAUUGGCUGAGAUCAUCAAUGUUCUCAGUCAAGGAGGUGGGACCGCUGUGCGGAGACAGAAAGAGGGGAGAUGGGGGGAAUUAUAAAGGUAUUUCCAGCAGAGAGGGAGGAGAUGGGGGAGUUAUAAAGUUAUUUCCAUAAGAGAGAGGGGAGUUAUAUAAAGUAUUUCCUGCAGAGAGGGGGAGAUGGGGGGAGUUAUAAAGGUAUUUCCAGCAGAGAGGGGGAGUUAUAAAGGUAUUUCUGGCAGAGGGGAGAUGAGGGAGUUAGAAAAAGUUUUUUUCAGCAGAGAGGGCGGGAUAGGGGAGUUAUAAAGGUAUUUCCGGCAGAGAGGGCGGAGAUGGGGGGAGUUUAAAGGUAUUUCCAGCAGAGAGGGAGGGUGGGGAGUUAUAAAGAUAUUUCUAGCAGAGGAGGGUGAGAUGGGGGAGUUAUAAAGGUAUUUCGGCAGAGAGGGGGAGGGUGGGAGGAGUUAUAAAGAUAUUUCUAGCAGAGAAGUGUGAGAUGGGGAGUUAUAAAGGUAUUUCCAGCAGAGAGGGGGAGGGUGGGGGGAGUUAUAAAGAUAUUUCUAGCAGACGAGGGUGAGAUGGGGGGAGUUAUAAAGGUAUUUCCAGCAGAGGGGUGGAGGGUGGGGGGAGUUAGAGAAGUUAUUUCUGGCAGAGGAAGGGGCGAUGGGGGGAGUUAUAAAGGUAUUUCAAGCAGAGAGGGGUGAGUUAUAAAGGUAUUUCCGGCAGAGGGGAGAUGAGGGAGUUAGAAAAAGUUUUUUUCAGCAGAGAGAAAGGUAUUUCCAGCAGAGAGGAAGGAGAUGGGGGAGUUAUAAAGGUAUUUCUGGCAGAGAGGGAGGAGAUGGGGGGAGUUACAAAGGUAUUUCUGGCAGAGAAGGGGAAGAUGGGGGGAGUUAUCAAGUUAUUCCAGCAGAGAGGAGAAAGAUGGGGGGAGUUAUCAAGGUAUUCCCGACAGAGAGGUGGUCCAAUGUUCUAGAAGAGGAGCAACCACCAUGGAAACCAGACGAAUGUACCUGCUAAUACAAUGUCUAUCCCUGGGGAUUGUAAAGGUUUUUGCUCUCUGCUGCACUGCCUCUUUUCUCACACACUACGCUCGUUGAACGAAAGGGAUGGGGUGAAUAAUAGAUAAAACUAUGUCCUGUAUGUGUAAAGGGAUACAAUAUGGACACUCACUCAUAUCUCCCAACGCACUACUAAGAACGUGGAGAGCUAAACUAAUGCAAGAAUUCCAUCCUGUUCAAUUUAAUUGGAGUAUUUUUUGGUUGAAAUAAUCGCUUAAAAUGAGAAACUUGAACAUUGUGAGUCUUUGUUCUAUUACAAAAUGAAAAUAGAAAUGUUAAAUAUUGUGCUUCAUCAAACGGGCCAGCUUCAAACUCUGUUUAGUCAAGAAAGACCAUAGACCUUUAGACAUUAAUGUCGUAUUCCUAGGCUUACUCUAGGACUAUCUAUAGACAUCUUCACUCAGCAGAGAAAUGUCCUGACCAAAGAGAGCUAGAUGGAUGAAGCCCCCUGUAUGUGAGUGCAUCUGCAGCGGAUAUGCUGAAGCCAAUUCAUGCAUACAUGACGUAAGCUUGUGUUAUCUCCAUAAAGUCCCAGCAUCGCUUAUAGUCUGUUUCCUUACUUGGUCACACAUUCUAAUCUCAUAGUUUUACAACGUGUGGAGUGCACCCAACAUGCCAAUUCAAUAAGAGUAAGAGAAACAUCAAUGUUUGUAUUAGAAUAUUUAGUAGGUAUACAUUUCGUAUUUGUUGUGCUAGGUUGACCAAUAUGACAGUACUCGUUAGUGUAUUUUUAACUUCUUCAGGACCAAGAUUAGAAAAGAUCAGUCCUUGUCAGUCCUCGUGAAUCAGUGAAAUCUAAUUGCAUUUUCCUGCAAUAGGAAAAGUAGUAAAACAAAACCCUACAUUUUAAAAUGUAAUUUUGGCAGAUUUUAGGCAUCUUUGAUGAAACUUCCUUUGGAGCUUACUGUGAAUUUUGAAAGUACCAAUUUUCUUCCAUUUUGUUUUUUUUCCUAGUGUAUCAAAUUCCAAACAUUUUCUCUCUUUCACUCGGCUUCUUAGCUAUUUACAUGUUUUGUGUUUUUUUUUGCCAUAAUUACUGUCUCAUUAGUAAACUAGAGCGUUGGUUAUAUUGUUGAUAUCCUCUGAUUAGUGACAACUAGACAAUGAAAAACAGAAAAUGAUUAAAAAAAAGAAACAUAUUAGUUUUCAAAUUUGUUCACAGCAGGUGAGUGACUGGAAUUCUCUAAUGAAUUUAUAGCUUGUAAUAGAACUACCACUUACUCUGCCCUGUUCUGCCCACAUACUAAACUGAUUGAAAUGUGAGCAAUACGAUUAUAUGCUAUUCUUUCUACAAUUUAGGCUUGUUUUGCGUUGGCUUGAGCUGCACCGGUAGAUAGCAAGAGUUUUCAUGAUAUCCUUCAAUCCCAGGACAUACCGUAUAUACUCGAGUAUAAGUCGAGUUUUUCAGCACAUUUUUGUGCUGAAAAUCCCCCACUCGACAUAUACUCGAGUUAAUGUCUGUAUUAUGGCAACUCAUUACAAGCCCGGCGGUCCUGUUGGGGGCUGGCAGCGAGCUGUAACUUACCUUUCCUGCAGCUCCUGUCAGCUCCCUUCUCUCUCCUCCGGUCCGGUCAGCUCCCCUGUCAGCUCCACUGCAAGGAUCGCGAGAGCCGCAGGGUCAGAACGUUGCCACGGGUUACCGUGGCAACGCUCCACUCAGCACUCAGACCACAAGACUUGCAGUGGGAGCUGACAGGGGAGCUGACCAGACCGGAGGAGAAGGGAGCUGACAGGAGCUGCAGGAAAGGUAAGUUACAGCUCACUGCCAGCCCCUCUCCUACACAGCCCAUCCACCAGCUAACAAGCAGGGAGGGGGCACGAAUACAAAUAAAUAACAAUUUUAAUAAUAAUAAAAUAUUAAUAAUAUUAAAAAUAAUAAUAAAAUAGAAAUAAAAUAUUAAUAAUAUAACAAAAAAAUAUUAAAAUAAUAAUAAUUAAAAGAAAAUAAUAAAAAUGCCCACCCCCCACCAAGGCUCUGCAUCACACACACACACACUGCAUUCAUACACACACACACUGCACUAAAAACACACACUGCACUCAUACACACAAACACUGCAUUCAUACACACACACACACUGCACUCAUACACACACACUGCAUUCACACACACACACACACUGCAUUCAUACACACACAUACACACACUGCAUUAAUACACACACACUGCAUUCAUACACACACACACUGCAUUCAUACACACACACAAACACUGCAUUCAUUACAUACACACACUGUAAAUAAAUAUUCAAUUAAUAUAAUGUUUUGGGGACAUAAUUUUAUUUAGAAAUUUACCAGUAGCUGCUGCAUUUCGCACCCUAGUCUUAUACUCGAGUCAGUACGUUUUCCCAGAUUUGGGGGUAAAAUUAGGGGUCUCGACUUAUAUUCGGGUCGACUUAUACUCGAGUAUAUACGGUACUUGAAAAUGAGAGAAAUCUCAAUAUAUCCUUCCUGUUAAAAUAUUUUAUAAAAAAAUAAUAAAUACAUAAAUCAAUAAUAAUUAGUAAUAUAAACAUGUUUCACAAAGGCUUGGGUUUAAAGAAGGCUGUAUUGGUCUUAGGGAAAUCUAAAAUUUCCAUGAUGGAUUUCUUUAACUUGAUAAGAAUGGAUAAUGUAUGUUUUUGCAAGCUCAGAUUGCACAUUUCUUGUGAUAGGGAUGGGGAAUUUUAAUGUUAACAGGAACAGGAAUAUUCAGCAUUGUCUGUUCAAUAGCUUUUACCAAAAUUCUCUCCAAGCCAGCUGCUCCCCCAGCUAGUAGGCAACCGUUACCACUCUAGCUGUUGUGGACUUUAUCCGAAUAAUACUUUUAUAGCUAAUAUAAAGGCAAAACAUCAGGAGAAAUGUAGUCACAACAUCAGGAGUGACCAAGGUUGCCUAUUCCUGUAGUAGAGGAUUCUGGGAAGUGUAAAGUGGGGACAGCUAUAUGACCAAAGAUGGAAGAUUAUUACCUAGACCAAUUUCUUUGUAAAAUAAUUAACAAGAUUCACAUUUUUGUUACAGUAAAUGCAUACACUGCAUUUAUUCAUUUAUUGUUCUUUGUAAUGAAGUUAGUAACUUGUUUUAUAUGAUACACAUAAUGGAAUGUUGUCAUGUUCUAAAAGCAUGAGGUAAGCCUUUCAAUAGCGAGGCUAUUCUUGAUUAUAUUUUUAGCUACCUUGUGAAUAUUUGAUAUCACAGCAAUUUAUGGUUUGGAUUGGUGUUCACGAACAAAAUAAAUUUAAAACCCAAUAUAUAUAUAUACAUAUAUAUAUAUAUAUACAUCAGGAUGAAAGUCAAGGAAUUGGACUGAAAUGUUAAUGUACUUUUUUUAAGCAACAAAAUGAACGUAUUUUGCAAGUUCAUUGAGUGGUCUCCAUUGUUAGAUAAUAUGCAUUUUGCUGGGUUACUGCAAUACCUGGUUUAAACAUUGAUUAGUGAUCAUCGCUUGACUGUCAGACCUUCAAUGAAGUUCAUACUUUCAUUUUUUUUUUUUUUACAGAAGGACAAACAUUUAUUUUCUAAUAAAUAGCAGGAAGGAUAAUGUGAAAUCUAUAAAAUAAUACGAGCUUUGAUGCCUAUUGAUUCCUAUGUUUGUAUGUAAACGUAGAGAUCAACUUUCUACUAAAAAAAAAGUAAUUUUUUAUUGUAAUGUGAGUAAUUACCUAAAAGUAGCUAUUUGAACUGUGUUACUAUAUUAACUAUUUCAUCAUAAAAAUAUGUCAUAUUGCCUCAUUAAUCCAUUGUCCCACUUCUAUAGAAAACCAAAGGGGAAAAAAAGUGGUUUUAGUUUUUUUGCACAUUAUGUAAAGUGCUUUACCAAAUGUUCCCAAAUACUGUAAAUUAGCACCUAAUACCAGGUCUGUACAAGCAUCAGGCUGCCAUGGUUGAAGAGUCUAUCACUAAUCGUCAUCAGUAUCAUCAUCGAACUUGGGAAUUCACUGUUGAGAUUCGAUUUGUAACACAAUCCCAGAUUUAAAAAAAAUAAUAACUAUUUCAGGUCCUAAUCUUACAAGCUCAGAAUCCUGUUUGUAGGAAAUAUAAUGCAUUUUCCUUGGCUUCAGAUCCCAUGGUCAUUGAAAUCAAUAAGGUUUUUCUGGGCAUCUGGACACACAUUGUCAAAAGAAAACAUUUAAUGAAGAUUCUCAUUCUCUUUGAUCUUUGUUUGUUUACAUGUGUAUGUCUUGCGUGGAUUGAGGAAGAUUACAAUGCAUCAUUGCAGCCCGGAGAACUCAUGAGGAAAUAAUUCUUAGAACAGCUAGUGUGCUGUGAGAUAAUAUUUGGGAAAAAAAUAUGAUUGAUGGCUUAGCGACGGUCACUAAAUAUUGUUUUUAUUCAAAGAUCAAGUGAGAAUUGACCAAUAGUGGGAAAACAGGAGUAGCAAAAAAAAUAAAUUAAUCAAUAAAUAUGUAUUUAUUUAUUUAAUAAAGAGAUGGAUUUACUACUCCAUUUUUUUCUUCUACUGGUCACUUCUCACUUAAUCUGUGAAUAAAAUCAACAAUUAUCAGCUGUCCCCUAACCACCAAUCAUCUUUUUACUCAUCAAUCAUCUCUUUUUUUCAUUCCCUCAUUUGUUCUGUGAACUAAAUGGCAGUAAAUGCACCUAUCAGUGUACUGAUAAAUAUAUACUUAAUAUUUAUGUAUUGUAUUUAUAUUAUGUAUAUAUUUUGCAGUACACUAAUUAGCCCAUUUUAACAUGAUUGUUUGUUCUUCCAAGCCAUUUUCAUGAAUAUUUUUCAUUAAUAAUGGUCGGAUGAGCAAAACCGUUGAAUGAACACCUCGGAAGUUCCAAACUAAGUUUUAUUUUAAUAAAAAAAUGAACCAAAGUUUUCCAACAUUUGAAAGUCUGAUAAAAUACAUAAAUUAAUUUCUUCUGCUCGUGUUGUAUUCGGUAUAUUCUUUAGAAAUUUAUUUUAUGUAGAGCUCCAAAGUAAAAUGCAUAGAGAUUCCCAAAAUAUGUAGCGAUCUGGCAACAUAGGGCAAAUGGAAGCACAUAUCUAAAUACCAUGCAGGUGUCUCAAUUGUGUAUCAUCACAUGUGGUCUCUGUGGGGCUCUACAAAGGCUACUGAUUCACAAAAAAAUAAGAAAUAAAUGGAAUUACUUCCCAAUUUUUUGCACAGGGUUAAAAGCACCCUUUUUAUCUAAAAUAUGGCAAUCAGAUCUCCCCCUGGGCACUUUCUACUGAAACACAGUGAAACUCAUUUGCUAAAAAGGUAUUCAAAACCUUUCAUGAUUUUUUAAAUUAAUGGAUGAACUUAGAAGAGGACUGACUUGUUCUCAUUUAAACUUCACAUCCGACCUUAUAAUGGCUUCAUGUAAUUUAUUAUUUAAGACAGCUACUCUACUUCCUAACUCAUAAAAAAUCUAAUACAGCAAUACUCCAGCAAGUUAGCAAUGGACAAGCUAUAUUUAUAAUUGUUCCUGAUAAUACAAUGCCGAUUUUCUGUUGUUCCAAUUUGCCGUUACCUUUGAAAACUCAUAUGAAAAUAUUGACUGUCUUGCAAGAGAUUAGAGAAAUGGCAAUUAAUGAAGUAAUUAAAUAUUCACAAGGCUGUUUCAUACUCUCAUUAUAUUGUAAUCCAAUGACCCACUCCUGCUUCAUUUUCCAUUCAGACGGUUAUGUUCCGUGCUUUGAUCUGGUACAAAACUCGGCUUAGAGCUAUUAUUAAGAACUAAAAUCUUAUCAGCAGCUGAGAUGGAGAUAUCUACUUGUCUAAGGAUCUCAACGUGAAGAGAAAAAGGAAAAAAACUCACAUUCUCGGAAAGUUAAACUGGUGAAAUGUAUUCUAUGAAUGUAAUAUUAACUCUUGAAUACAUCAGUUAAAGCUUAAACCUUACAAAAUGCCCCAAACCCUUCAUUCUUCCUCACCCUUGUCUGAAUGCUACACUGCAUUCACUGCGCUUUCAUCCCUAGGGGGUUCUGUACUGUAAAAGAAGAGGGUGGUUUUUAAAGUUACUCUUUGGUUUGACCAGAGAUCGUGUAGAGGGGUUAUUGUUCUACUGGUGAAGAUUGUCAUUGGAGCAAAGGGGUAUGUAAGAGGGGUUCAAUAUGCUAAAAUUAAUUCUACCUUGUCUUGGAUGAAAGAGGUUAAUCAUGGCGCACAUCAUAAUUAAAGUUUGUCUGAUCAUCCUUUUCAUUUUAGUCAUCUAAAACCAAUCUACAUUCUACCAGACACCUUAUUAUAAGUUUUAUGUUUCAUAAAUUAGUAUAGCGUUUAAUCAAUCACAAUGGCUCUUAUGGGAUUACUGCAAUAAUGUAAUAGUUUAUUCUCUUGAUAAUCUCCAUUUAUUAACUCUUUCAAACUUUAUAAAACAAUACAAAGCCAAUAUUUAUUUAUUUAUUUUUAAUUAUGAUUUGUAUGUUGUAGUUUUCAAAUUUCGCUCCUAAAAAAUUAUACUCAACUCCAGAUUUGCAGCUAGUUUACCAAAAGUAAAAAAACGUUUUUAUUUUUUAACCCAGAAUGAAGGAACGCUUUGCUGCAAACAACCUUGGGGUUUUAUCAGUGGGCUGAACUUUUCAGGCAACUUAUCAUGUUAAAUUACAUUGAUUUUUGUUACACUGGGUUAGUAUUUGAUUUCUCUACUGUAGGUGUUUGUUUUUAUAGUUUUCCCCGUAGACCUUCCCCCUGCUCUGUCCCUACAUCACAGUAUGUAGUGAUUCGGUCAGAGAGGCUGUUACCCAUCUGAUUGCAUAGUGAGAGAGACCGAUAAACCACAACAGAUUAACUAUGCUGAAAAAUGUGGUGGAAGCCUACUGUUAGUUUGAGUUUAGCUAACUUAGUUUAUUCUCAGCCUGAUUUUGGUUCCACAUUGGUCAAAACUCAGAGUUUCUUAGUAAAUAGAGAAUAACCAGUAGUAAUAACUCGAGGAUUUUUAGUAUGCUAGUCAUGUAUGAUUUUGCUAAAAUUCCAUUCCUGCCAUGAUAUAACAUCUUACUCCCAUCGAGGUGACAGUCCUCUAUCUUAUAUCAUCAAACUUUUAGCCAUGCACUAUGACCCAAAUGAUCGAAGAAAAUAUCUGAUUCCCACCAAGUUGGUCUAUAAAUAUGACAACAAGCCUAGACUGACAACACGACCUUAUGUGUACCUUAUCUGAUCAUCUUUAUUUAUUAUUUUUUUUAUCUGGCAGAACAUGUAAUAUCUGUACCUCCAACCCCAAUUAACAUUAGUUUGACAUUGCAAUGCCAGCAGGCUAUAUCUCAAGCUGAAUGUGCUAAACUGAGAUUUAUCCUGUGUAUUUUUGAUGAUUGAUAAAAGUUGACAGUUUCAUCUUAACAGUCCUAAAUAAUCGUAGAAUGAGAAAACGACAUUUCAAGAUGGAGAAAGCUUGAUAGCUAAUGGACAAGACGUUGAUGAAUGGUACCCCAGGCUUGCCCUUUUUUUGUUAGUAACUCCUUUUAGUAUACCAGUCACUGUUGGAUUAAAAAUAAAAGCCCCCUUGUGUUUUACAACUCAUCUUUCUCUCAGUUUGGCAUUAACCACUGGAGUUGGCUGCAUUGUCUUUUCCCAGCAAGUUUCCUCAAACGUUCUAUUAGCUGUUUGUUAUAUGCCAGCCUAACAAAGAUAAGUCAUCGCCACAGAAAGUCCUUCUGUUUUAUUUCUGCAAGGGUUAGAGGCGAACCUCUCUUACUUGUUUAUUUUUUCAUAAGCUCAAACAAAAAUUGUUUCUGAGCUUUUUUCUUUUUUUUUUCUUUUUUUGUGUUUUUCUGAAUUGCACAAAAACAAAUAAGAUUUUUUUUUCUAUGCAUCAAUGCCAGCUGAGGACAGUGUAAGCUCCUAUUCUCUUGUUAGAUUUUCAUCCUAAACUGCUAUGAUGGGUUUUGAAUGGUGUAAACAAGAACCCGCGGGCAGAUUAAAUAUGUACACAAAAACAGUCAGCAAUAUAUAUUUGUAAAAAUGACUGCCAAGCGAAAUAACUAGUGAGUGCAUUAAGAAAUGGCAUAGCUGAAGUUAGUAUGAAAACUCAUUGAGCACGAGUGGCUCAGUGCUAUUUGUCUUUGGUUCAUUUACCCAAACAGUGAUAAUGCAGUUAGACAGAUUCCUCACGGGCAUACCAAUACCUUUAUCCUCGUUUUUUAUGGUUUAUUUUUUAAGAUUAGAUGGUAUGCUGUAAUGAUAUUUAGGGGUAAGCUGGGUUACAGUUGCAAGAAAAAGUAUGUGAACCCUUUGGAAUGAUAUGGAUUUCUGCACAAAUUGGUCAUAAAAUGUGAUCUGAUCAUCAUCUAAGUCACAACAAUAGACAAUCACAGUCUACUUAAACUAAUAACACACAAAGAAUGAAAUGUUGCCAUGUUUUUAUUGAACACACCAUGUAAACAUUCACAGUGCAGGUGGAAAAAGUAUGUGAACCCUUGGAUUUAAUAACUGGUUGAACCUCCUUUGGCAGCAAUAACUUCAACCAAACGUUUCCUGUAGUUGCAGAUCAGACGUGCACAACGGUCAGGAGUAAUUCUUGACCAUUCCUCUUUACAGAACUGUUUCAGUUCAGCAAUAUUCUUGGGAUGUCUGGUGUGAAUCGCUUUCUUGAGGUCAUGCCACAGCAUCUCAAUCGGGUUGAGGUCAGGACUCUGACUGGGCCACUUCAGAAGGCGUAUUUUCUUCUGUUUAAGCCAUUCUGUUGUUGAUUUACUUCUAUGCUUUGGGUCAUUGUCCUGUUGCAACACCCAUCUUCUGUUGAGCUUCAGCUGGUAGACAGAUGGCCUUAAGUUCUCCUGCAAAAUGUCUUGAUAAACUUGGGAAUUCAUUUUUCCUUCGAUGAUAGCAAUCCGUCCAGGCCCUGACGCAGCAAAGCAGCCCCAAACCAUGAUGCCCCCACCACCAUACUUCACAGUUGGGAUGAGGUUUUGAUGUUGGUGUGCUGUGCCUUUUUUUCGCCACACAUAGUGUUGUGUGUUUCUUCCAAACAACUCAACUUUGGUUUCAUCUGUCCACAGAAUAUUUUGCCAGUACUGCUGUGGAACAUCCAGGUGCUCUUGUGCAAACUGUAAACGUGCAGCAAUGUUUUGUUUGGACAGCAGUGGCUUCCUCUGUGGUAUCCUCCCAUGAAAUCCAUUCUUGUUUAGUGUUUUACGUAUUGUAGAUUCGCUAACAGGGAUGUUAGCAUUUGCCAGUGACUUUUGUAAGUCUUUAGCUGACACUCUAGGAUUCUUCUUCACCUCAUUGAGCAGUCUGCGCUGUGCUCUUGCAGUCAUCUUUACAGGACGGCCAGUCCUAGGGAGAGUAGCAGCAGUGCUGAACUUUCUCCAUUUAUAGACAAUUUGUCUUACCAUGGACUGAUGAACAGCAAGGCUUUUGGAGAUACUUUUAUAACCCUUUCCAGCUUUGUGCAAGUCAACAAUUCUUAAUCGUAGGUCUUCUGAGAGCUCUUUUGUGCGAGGCAUCAUUCACUUCAGGCAAUGCUUCUUGUGAAAAGCAAACCCAGAACUGGUGUGUGUUUUUUAUAGGGCAGGGCAGCUGUAACCAACACCUCCAAUCUCAUCUCAUUGAUUGGACUCCAGUUGGCUGACAUCUCACUCCAAUUAGCUCUUGGAGAUGUCAUUAGUCUAGGGGUUCACAUACUUUUUCCACCUGCACUGUGAAUGUUUACAUGGUGUGUUCAAUAAAAACAUGGCAACAUUUCAUUCUUUGUGUGUUAUUAGUUUAAGCAGACUGUGAUUGUCUAUUGUUGUGACUUAGAUGAUGAUCAGAUCACAUUUUAUGACCAAUUUGUGCAGAAAUCCAAAUCAUUCCAAAGGGUUCACAUACUUUUUCUUGCAACUGUAUAUAUGUAUGUAAUGUUUUUUUCGGGGUAUAGGAGAAUGGGAUUGGUAUAUAUUAUUAGUUCUUAACCAUUGGGGGAACUAAAGUAGAAUGGACCCUGGUGCAACACUCAAACACACACUACACACACACACACACACACAGACACACAUGCAGAUACAGACACACACUGACACACCUCCAGAUGCACAGAUCCACACACUGACACACACAAACAAUACAAAUACUGACACACAUACAGAUACACAGAUACACAUACAGACACACAUACAGAUACAGACACACACUGACACACAUGCAGAAGCACAGAUACACAAACUGACACAAAAAAUACAAAUUCUGACACACAUACAGAUACACUGGUACAGACAUGCAGAUACACAAACACACAGACAGGUACACAUACACAUACUGACAUACAUGCAGAUGUACAGACAGAAACUAACACAGAUACAAAUACAGAGACACACAGAUACACACAAUGACACACAAUUUGUCAGUUCCACAGUGGUGGAAUUAAUCUCUGUGACAUGUAUUGUGGUGUUUUGACCCUAUAUUGUUUUUCUAGAGACACACACAAUGACACAUUUAAAGACACACACAGUCUCACAAUGACACACAUGCAGAUACACACAAUAUCUAUCACACAAAUACAAACACCGACACACAUAUAGAUACACUGAAACCAAUGCAGAUACACAGAUGCACAAACUGGUACAUGCUGAUACACAAAUACACACAAGGAUAAUCAUACAGAUAUAUACACUGACACACAUACAGAUACGCACACUGAAACACAUGCAGAUUCACAGAUUCACAAUGACGCACAAAGAGAUACUCAUGUAGGUCAAAAUGUACACAUUUUUAAAUCACCUUCCUGUUUUCUACCUGUUGGGUGCAGGGCUGGCUUCUGUUGGCUGAGGCUGUUAGGAAUUAGGACCGAGCUCUCCCAAUCUGCACUCCCUCCUCUCUGUGUUCGUGGCUUUGAGUAUGUUAUCUAGAAUUAAGUGAUUAGCUGUCACUUGCUGGCAUUAUUAAAGGGGCCUGGUCGUCUGCUGCAGUACCUUAGCAGUGUGACCCUGAAGACAUGUUGCCAUUGAGUGGCAUGAACCACCCGUUGGGCUCCCCUCAGUGACAAUGUGUGGGCCCAGAUGCAGCCGCACCACAUGCAUCCACACACUGGCUGCACCAGUGGUAGUUCCACCGCUGUUUUUAACUGUAUGUAAACAGAUGACCUUGGCCAAAUAUCUUUCAAGCAAUCCAAACCAACAGAGGCGCACUCGGAAAAAUUACAGUGAUACUUACCAUAAAAUUUGAUGUUCUCCACACAUUGCUUUAUGUUGCCAAUAUAUAAAUAAAACACAAAAAAUACCCAAUCAAUAGUACAGAUCAAUAAACAAAUGGAGAUGUUGAAUUUUUUUUUAUAGAAGUUCAUAUAAAUAAACCUAAUUCUUUUCUGUCCAGAACUCUAAUCAUAUAUAUGAACGUUUUUGGUUUUUUUUGCAGCAUCUUCAUUUGUUUAUUGAUCUGUGCUAUUAUUUGUGUAUUUUUGAAUUGGCAAUAUAAUGUAAUGUGCUGAGAACAUUAAAUGUUUAUGGUAAGUAUUACCACAUUUAUUCUGAGUGCACCUUUCUAGGUUUGGUUUUACAUUCUGUUGGUAGCUGCUGGUGGGAGAGGUCAGCUUCAGAGUAUUUUUUUUUUGCGGUCAUAUAACAUAUAAAUUGAGAGGAACGGCUUUUUCUGCCUUUUUUUCUGCCUUGGUUUGUUUUUAUUUUGGAAGAAUGAUGAUAGCCCAGGAAGCACAACAUCAACCCAAUCUAAAUGUCCUGUAGGCUAGUUGUUUUGUUAAGCCUGAUACUGUUGCGCACAUAGGUGAGAAGAACUUCCAAUUGUUAUUUCUCGUAUUUAACCAAUUAGGAUAAUUAAAAGCAGUAAACAAACACAGGGAAUACCCUGAACUAGUCUUUUUUCAAAAUUCACUCCUGUUGUAAACCGUGAACUAUCCUAGUUAAAUCCCAAAUGUGUGUUAUUCUGGAGAUGUUGGCAAUUACAAGGCAAUCCCAUUUAAUAAUACAUUAUUGUGCUUUCAUGUAUUAUUUAUCAAUACUAACGAUUUGCAUUUACAAUUUAAGUUUAAAGGGCUGUACAUUUUCCAUCUUUUGUUGCGUUACUGCCAAGUCAAUUUAUGUUGAUCAGGAAUGAAGGCUGUACCUAUUGAGCAUUUUUUUUGGUCUUUUUGUAAACUACAGAUAUUUGACAUUCAGAAGUAGCUUUCCAUGUGUCUAACCUGUGAUUGCACUGGACAGUCAAAUGAGUGAACCCAUUCUUUCUGUCUCCUUUAUUUUCCAGCUGUCUCUGUCCUAAACAAUGAAUGUGUUCUAAUGCGUCUGGUCUCCUAUAUGCUGUUCUCUUUACAUUUACCAUAUCAUACCAAUAGAUCAGGAAAGAAGCAAAACUCCGUACCCUGAAUGCCCGCUCCACAACACUGUCGAUUCCAUUAACCAAUGGUUCCAUGUUAGAAAAACCUUUUCUGUAGGAAGAUUUAGAACUGGACACUUAGCAAUUGUAUGUUUGUAUUUUGGGGAUGGAUUUAUGUUCAUAGAAAAUGUGUCCUACACUAAAACAAAUGGAGAUGAUUUUUCAGUUGGCUUCUAACAUUGGAUACAAUGAUUGUCCAUCGAGCAAUUUUAUGAAGAGAUAAACAAAUAUUAAAUAAGAUUUCUGCAUAUACAGGUACCUAUUGACAGUAACAAUUUAUUUAUUUAUUGCUUUCAGGAACUAUGCUAUCUUUUCAUUUAAUAUCACCUUUUAAAUUUGAUGCAUUAUUUUAGUGGUGUUAUAAAUGUAUGGUAGGGAUUAUUUUGCAGCACAUAGUAGUUAUGGUUCCUACAGUGUAUAUUUAACGUCUCCGCACCAAUAUGAACAUUACACCUUGGGGGGAGAGGAAGCUUGCUCAUCAGGUUAUAAGUUUCUUUAAUAGAUCUCUUAAAAGUAAUUAGCGACUGCAUGGUAGCCAAGUACCCAGGUAAUUACACAGUUAGUCUGCUUCUAGCCAGUGGUAGUGGGUAAAUAAAUGUACAGUUGCUAAAUUACUAGUAUUCACAUACAUUUAAAUACAUAUAUACAUUUAAUGGUUAAUUUAAUCUGAAAGACCAUAGGACGUUUAGAAUGUCAGAAAAACAUACAGAACGAGCAGUUUAUAUUUUUCCAUAACAUUACAAACUCAAAUGUAUGGAACCAGCCAUGUUGAUCUUCAAAUAGGAAUAAUAUCCUCUUCAGUGAGGACAAUCAUCUGAAAUGCAUUUGAUUUCCUCUGAAAGCAAGCAAAUGCAUAUAAGAUUUCAAACUAAAAGAAAAAGGUUAAUUCACCUCUCAACAAAGUAAUAACUAAACGUAGAAGGAAUAGGAGCUCCCUGUGUGAGCCUAAAAUGUAAACGUUGCAGAUGUCUCCAAGCUGUAUGUUUUCAAUGUCCGUUCAGUGUAAAAAGGUCAAAUGCUUAGAACGUUGGAACGCUCUACAUUGGGGUGUAGUGAGUGCGUCUAUGACAAGUGUAUCUUUUUUCAUUACUAUUUCUGAUCGUUCAGCACAUUGUCCUAUCUCAGCAUGGGAGCCUGUAGCACUGCAGCGUACAAAAAGCAACACAUCAUCAACGUGGUUAAAGGAAGUAAUAAAAAAAAAAAAUUUUGAGGUUAAAUGCUAGAGUGACCUCCCUCGCUAUUUCCUUUUUAAUUUCUGUCCGUUCAGCAAAUUGAAAUUUGCUAAACCUCUCAAGACGUAACUUUGUAGCCCUAGAGAAAUUAGGUUGGUAUUCUGUCAGUUAAUAGAGAUUAGCUAAUAGCAGAUCCUCAUCAUAUUUCCUAAUGGAAUCGUAGUAGUGAGUUAGACUGUUACAGAUGAAGAGCCAACAUGCUACGCGUCUGUUACGUUGAGAAUUUUUAUUUGUGUCCAAAGGGUACCGUCAAGGGUCGCCAGACUUUAUACUCAUGUUAGCUAUUAAUUUUUUUUCUUCACCCUAUUAACCUUACAAAUCCUACAUGUUUUCUCUCUGGAAUGAAAGCAAAGACAAUGACUGACCGAACUAGCCAAAAUGUUGUCAUUUCAGUCCAAUUUAACUUUAGGUCACACUGGGGUAAGGUUUAAAUGGCAGAGCCAGCAAAAAUCCUGGGCAUUUUGCCAUGAUCUCACAAGAGACAAGGAUGAAUCUAUCUAGUCUUUCCACUUUAAUGACUGCAGAACUUGGGCUAUAAUUAAUUGCAAACGUAACAGAACUGUAUCUGCAUGCUAAGAGUGAAAUCAUGCUACAGUAACUAGGAAUCCAGUCUAAAACGCUACUGGGAUAAAAAGUGUCAAAUUGCCAAUUUGGGACGGCAGAGAAGGACAAGAGCAUUUGGACAACUAUAAAAAAAACAGAAAAUAUGAUUUGAGUCACUUUGAAUAAGUAACUGUUUGUCCUACAAUGAGUCAGAGAAUAAGCAGUGCAUAGUGGGCAUCCAAUAGGUCUUUUCAUGAAUGGUUUGAAACAGGCAUCAGAUUAUAUUUUCUACUUACAAAUAAUAUACAUUUUAAUUAAUGCUUUAUGAAUAGGAAGUCAUGAUAACAAGAUCAUGCUACAACAUUCUCUACUGAUCUCCUGGCUUUUGUGUGUGUGUGACUGGGAACAUUUGCAUGCAUAUGGUUAAUCUAAAGAUAACAUAUUAUACUGACAGGGCAACGUGUAAAAAAAGAAAAUACCCAACAUUUUUUGAUCAUUUUUUCAAUUCAAUUCUCAAACAUCUAAAAGCAUUGUGUAUACAAUAACCAAAAAAAUAAAUAAAAAAAUAACAAAAAAGUUUCAGCUCGAAUAAAAAUGUAUUUCACUUUUUUCUUCUAAGAAACAAAAGUAAUUUUGAUAUUGUUGCACGUACCAAACAAAUGCAGAAUACAAGAUUGAUUGGGGAGAAUCUGGCACUGUGGGAGAAAAAGCACCCUUGUUUAUGUGCUUCCGUCAUUGUUUAGAAUUGAUCUUUUUUUCAAACAACACAAUGCACACAAUUUGCAGAAGAAAACUGUAGAAUAUCUUAAAUCCAUGGAAGUGUUGGUGAAUCCCUGGGGUACUUUGAAAGCAGAAUGUCAAACCAUGUUGGAAAACCUUCAAAAAUCAAGUAAUAUUUUACUCCGCUAAUUAGUAAAGAUUGCUGAAUACACUAUAUUUUAGCAGUAUAGCUAGGCCAAUCUACAUAUCUCAUACAUAAUGUGCUUCAGUACACUGACACUGUGGAAUCUUUCAAAAGCCAUGCAGAAGGUUCCUGUCUAAAUAAAGGCUUCUCUGUACUCUUAUAUAAUAAAGCAUCUAUAAUUAAGGCGAAUCAGAUGUCAGUGAUUCCCCGGUGGUUACUUUGUAAGGCAUUGAUGUGUAAAACUAUAAACCACAUGCUGCAACUUAAUUCCAAAUGAAGAUGUUUUCAACAAUGAAUCUAUUCUUUUAUGAGUCCUGAAAAAUGUAAAUUACUUUUGAAUGAGUUUCGAACAUGUAGAUGUUACUGUUUGAACAUAAGGGUUAGGGUACCUGAAUAGAAAGUUGCUUAGAACUUUCUUAAUAAAUGUUCAUUGUUUGCAUACCAUACAUUCAUUUUAGAACACUGCCAGAACAGGUUUCAGGGUGUCUAGUACCUUACUUUGAACCUGCUACUGCAUUUAUCCUUUCUUCAUGCCAUAAGGGCUCUAAAGAACCUACCACAGCAUCCUGGUACCAUAGGGCUUUUUGGCCGCCUCCAGUGCUUCUUCUAGUGGUACUUUGCAAACAUCAGUCAGCCACAGUACGCAGUGAUAAAUAGUUCUCAUAAUUGUAUACUCUAAACUAGACUUUAAACAAGUUGGUAAGGCUCUGCGAAGUGUACUGGGGUGUGCCAGAAGGGCCUGCGGGAAAAGAUGCAUUUGCUGUCUGCCACACUGACCAAGAUUUCCUGGACAGUGGCCAUGAGGUGGGGGAUUGCAUCAUACACAGAAAAGCAAAUAUAGAAUUCAUUCAGUCCAGCCAACUCAUUUAUAAUAAAUUAAAUGCCCUCUUCCCACAUGGUGUUAAUCCGUUGAGGUUCACAGUAGGCUUAAUUCAUCAGACUUAAUCUUUUAGAUAUUGAUAUGGACUAACCCUUAAAGUGCCAAUGUCCAAUUCAAAUGUUGCAAUGUCCAGAGGGUUAACCUUUUAUGUGCACACAAUUACACCUGUUGAUGUUUUGUUGAUUCAUAUUUUAUCAGGUCCCUUGUUCUUGAGUAGUUAUCCUUUUUGAAGUUGAAGGUUUUUUUUCUAUUUAAAGGGAACUCAUGUUCCUGGGUAAGAGGCCGACUAGAGAGGCUCACUGUGGGGUUUCAUGACAAGUGCUCUCAGUCGAAAAGAAAAUAUGUAAAACCUUCGAUUUCAUUAUAGCAGCACUGAUAUCUUGACCCAGUGAUUCCUCACACGUGGUGGAGUCAUCUGCUGAUUUAUUUUUGGAAGGCAUUCCGGGCUAAAGAGGACCCAUUGAUUUAAUAAUGUGUUAAAUAAAUAUAGGAUAAACAUAAUAAAUUCAAAACAACAAGCUGAAAAUGAUACAAAUAAAAAUAUACUCACAUUUGAAGUGCCUGCAUCUGCAAAACCUAAGGCUGUGCAGCACAUUUAGUGAGUUCCCAUCAAACCAGGAAGUCACUAUGCCAGUCUUGAAGGGGUCUUAAUAAUGUAACCAACAUAACUUUACUUUACCUAUAUACAAAAAAUUCUAGAUAGCAUGCAUAUUUAUGAAAACGUAUAUUCACUUUAUCUCCAUAUUUCAGGCAUAGGGAUGCAAUUUGGCUGUGGUUUGGCAGGAGUUGUUAAUAUAUAGAGCAGAAUCAACUGCAGGAAAAUUAGUCUUUUGUUUGAAGGACACCCAUUCACAUUGUCAGCAUAAACUCAUGAAUCAAUAAACAUGUUUAGUGCAUAUUACAGCUUAAUGAUUGGGUUACGCUUUCUGACCUGGGGAGUAUCAUCAAACUACUACAAGACUGCAAAUCAUAUGGCUCACCUGCCCUGAUACUCUGGAGUCUUUUCAAUGAACAAAGAAUAUGUUUUUUUAAUAUGAUGUUUGCGUCAGGUCUAAUACAAUAAUAUGGCAAAAUAUGAGGAGUGUGACAGGCGUUGUCCCUAUCUGAAGCAAGGGGUGCGGUAUCUAACUCUAUCUAUAUAAUAUGAACAGACAGACAAUGAGAAUGAUAAUAACCAUGCAAAUAAUAACGUAGUUUAUGUUUCAGGCAACCAAAUCCUCACCAUUGAGACACUGAGACACUACAAACAUAAAGCAACUUGUGUCAGGAACAAAUCUUCCUAACAGUUUGUAAAAGUGCACUUUUCUAAAGAAUUGCAGAAACACCUCCAUGACAGUCAGAUAGGCAGGUAGAUUAUCUUCCCGAUUCCAUUAGCUCCACAGAGCUAAUGGAAGUGGCAAGAAUGCUCUGCUAGGGCUCCUCACAGCUCAGCUUACCUCAAAGUUCAUGGCUACGUCCAUGGCUCCCAGGCUCUGAUCACAUGAUCUCACAAAAGUAAUUAGAGGCCUCUCUAUAAGACACGGAAUCUGCAGCUUUUGCAAGCCAGUUUUAGAUCUACAACCAUUAAAAAGGGCAUAAUUAAAUACAUGGAUGUUUUCAUUGGGGGAAUAUUUUUAGGGGGAGUUGUAUUUUGGCAUUUUUUUUAUUUUAUUUGGGCAGUGGAGUGUCUUUUUAAGUGAACGUAACAUAAAUAUAUGUUGAAAGGAGAAUACAAGGUCACUUAGUCAUUGGAAUAUAUUUUAGGCAUUUGUCCAAAUGUUAAAAAUGUUUCCAGUUUGGAAAUUCAGUGAUGGAUCAUGUUGCUGAUGUAGCUGUUUUGGGAGCCCAGCAUGGAGGGUGCCUAGCGGUGUCCCAGUUUAGCUUUUAUCCAGGUGCUUGAUGCAUAUAACAUCUUCAUCAUGUAAAAUAUUAUUUAGUGACUGCUGAAAUUAUGUGAUAAGGAAUAUAGGAGCAGGAACUCACUAAAUAGUAGAGCAUUUAAAGGAUCCCAAUUAUCUUUGUGUGACCCCUCGAAAACGCCAAUUCAAAUUUUAAAUUUAAAGCUAAAAUAGCAUAAUAGGGAAAUUCUCCAACUCAGGCUUACAGUGUGGCUAUUUUGGUCUAAAUUGUUGGAUUCAGUUUGAAUUUUUGACAAUUUUUACAUUAGUAAAUAACCCUGUCUGAAUCAAAAAAUAUACAUUAUCUUCUGAAAUGUUUGUCCACAUCCGGGCCGAUCCUUUUUUUAUUUGUAUUAAAAUUAUUUAUAAAGAGCCAAGAUAUUUGCAGAAUUGUACAACAGAUUAACUAACAAGCAAGUAGCAGCAACAAGACAAGUUGGAUGGACAGGAUCAGUCAGUACUGGUGGCCCCAAUCUGUCUUUAAGGCUAGAACAGGGGUAAGCAACCUUUGGCACUCCAGUUCUUGUGGACUACAUCUCUCAUAAUGCCCUUAUAGUUAUAAUGCUGGCAAAGCAUCAGGAUGAUGUAGUCAACAACAUUUUCUAGGGAGAGGGGUUAAAGCUCCCAAAUUCAUUUAGAAUUGCAGAAUGCAGGAAAAUGAGUAAAGAGUAUCAAGUAGGGCAUUCUGUGGCCAUAUAUUCAUAACACAUUGAUUUUCAGUGAAAUUAUAAUUUAUUACGUGCCAGUUGAGGUUGAUGGAGGCUGGAGUAUGGAUGUCAGAUGUAAAUAAGAAUACUUUGAAAGGAAGAGGUUGCUAUGUAGGGGGGAGGUCAGGUUGGGGUUAUGAAACAUAUGCGACUUUCUGGUGAUACUAAAAACUAGACAAUCUAAUUGUUAUAAAAGAACAAUAAGAGUUAAAAGGUUACAACAGUAGCAUGAAUGAAUGAGAUAAUUUGUGAAUGAAGAGGAGAAUGGUGAGAGGAACAUGUAGUGAGUCCUUCAAUACUUUGUGUUUACAGAACAAGGGUGAAAAAUGCUAGGUUUGUUAUAGGACAUCAGCUCUGAUAAAAAAUAAAUUUAAUUGUUAAUAACUCCCAACACCAUGGAAAUAAAAAAUGAAACAGAAAAAUAAUCAUAACAGUGAAACUUAAAACAAUAUUGCUUAUGAAUACUUUGUAAGAGGCAAGGGGAAUUGUAGAAUUAUUGAAUUAUUAUGAUUUAAUUAUUUUGAAUAAGCUUUUCAAAUGAUCACAAUCAGUUAGAAAAACUUUACAAAUGGUUUAUCUACAGAAGUCAACAUUAAAUGAUAUGGGAAUUUAUGUAGAUACAGCUUUGCAAACAUUUUUUUUCUAAUAUAUUGUAAUCAUUUGAAAAGCUUAUCCAAAAGAAUCAGUUUUGUGUACAACAAAAUGUUUUGUUCUUCCAAAUUAAAUAGAAAAUUCAAAAAGCAACUCUCAAACAGUAAAUUAGUGAUUCAAAGUUGGUGUUAAGUGUCUAAAUAAAUUCCGAAUUCCAAAUGAACCAAAAUGAGAUUAUGUGGAAUUUGAAUUCAUUUUGGUUUCAGAAAUUCUGAAUGGCAUAAAUCAGACAAAAUUCUAUUGAAUUUCAAUUUAGACAAAACCAAAUCUCCAAGUGUAAAAAAAAUUGAAUUGAUGCCAUACUUGUUAAUGUGUCAGAAAGUUACUAUUUGGGUCUAAGUAAUGCUGAACUAUGAGGGCAUUUUUAAACAUCCUUACUGCUACUCUUGGUGAGUCAAGAACAUUGCUACCCAUAUACGAGUAUUUCUGCAGUCCUCUAUUCAUGGGCACCAUUGCUUGACUACUUUGUGUCACAGCUAUCCUACCCAAGUCAGGAACACAAAGACAGGAAGGAUCUCAGAUUACUGGAUCUCAAAAUGGUUGGGUUUUUUCGUACAAAAAGUGAAAAUGCAUAAAGCUGAUACUAGCCAAGUCAGGACAUGACAUAACUAGCCAGGACAGAAUUGCAGAAGUCAUGAGGGUCAAUAAACAAGCCAAAAUUGAACAACCAGGCAAUGAGAGAAUAUAUAAUGCAUUAUACAAGGAACCAAGAGGAAUCUACAACAGGGCAAAGGCUAUGGAGCUAAAAACAUUAUUAAAACAAUGACAGUUGUAAGAGCUUUCCAAUUUUGCAACAAUAACUAGGAUCUUUACUUAUUACAAUAAUUAAUAUUUAUUAUCAACCUCUAAUAUCUGUCAUAUGUCAGAAAUCCCGACCCAACAAAAUAUGACAAACAUGUGCAAGUAAAGAAGACGUCAGGUUUUGAUUCAUUCCACAGAGCAUACAAAACUUCACAACUGUCUUUUUAAGUAAACCUUACACAACCUUUUUUCCUGAAACAAAACAUAUUGCAUUUGACUUUGUCAAACAUUAAUUUGGUGAAAAACGAUUCUUUGCUGAUGUGUUUAUGGUCCAAAUAGCAUCCUCCUAAGGGUGACAAUCAACAAAGUGUUUGGGAAUAACCUCAGAAGCUGUAGUUCACAAAUGGUACCACGGGCAUCUUGAUGAGCAGAAAUAUGUCAGAAGAAUAUACAUGGCUGACACGUGAUUGACUGGAGAAACCUUUCUGAUAAGUGGCAGCUGUCAGAAAGGGAAUGUGUCUUCUGUAGGCAAAAUAAACAAAGUGCACAGUUGUGGAUGUCUAAUUUUGUAAAAAAACAUGCAUUUCACUUUCCAGGCACAAGUCAUCGAAAUAUUACUCUUUGUACAUUGCAAUAUGAUGAACAGGAGCUUGACGUCUUGUUUUUCUUCUUUAAAACAUAAAAUAAAAAAAAUAUAUAUAUAUAUAUAUGUGUAUAUACAUUGAGCUUAAGUUUCCCUUGGUUUUCCCUAUGAAAACAGAUAAAAUUCCCCUAAGGAACAAAUUAAUGACAAUCACUUCAGAUUGAUUUCCUUUGAUGUAAAAGGGACUAUUUAAUUGUUUUUUUGUAGAACAGAAAUAAAUCACAUUUCAUUUGUAAAUACCAGCCCUAAAUAAUGAUGUUUGUAUUGAUUAAUUUAAUUCAGACUGGUCAUUGUAAAUGGUAUUAAGAUUUUCCCAUACCUACCAAUAGACUAUGACUCAAUCAGCUAUAGAUAUAAAUUAUAAACAUGGAUAAUAAUGAUCCAUUGGUUGUUUUACUUUGUUCUUGAGUCUUCUUCCUGACUUAUAUGAAGAUUAUAUAGACGACACACCAAAAUAUUUUUAAUUAUAUUAGAUUCUGUCAAGCAAGUCUUUCAACCACAUUAAAAAUGUUUGACAAAAAAAUUUAAUUAAGGUUAGUGCACAUACAUUUUAAUACUAUUUCACUAUUUUAUUCCACCAAUAUUUAGUCCUCAUUUUAAAGUAGGCCAUUAUAAUAAGUAUCUUCAUGUAUUAGGAGCAUAUAAUUAAAAGCAGAGAUUAUGUAAUUUCUUAUUUAGAAAAUUGGACAAUCACACUCAAUCGAGGUAUAUCUUUGUAAAUAAACCUUGUUAAUUAGAAUUGAAAAGUUAAUUUUGUUUUUUGAGUUUAUUAGCAAAGUUAGAGGAAAAAUAAUGUCUCUGAAAUGUAAUAGUAAAUGAACUAUAGAACUACAGAGAUAAAGUCACACAAAAGACGUAAUUUGAUACCCAAACAGAAGAACAUUGAACUAUGAAUGUAAAAAAAAUAAAACAUUAUUUGUAUCAGAUAUGAUAGAAAAAAAUAACAGCAAAACAAAAAAAAUUAUACAGGCAGAAGGAAAAAGACUGAAAACUCAACUCAAGAAAGAGAUAAUUUAAAGUUGUGGAUACAAAUCUGGUUACUGAUAAUACGAUAUAUUUAAAAUAAGUAAUAGGGAAUACAUGUAGAAUAAUGUUUCAUGUAUGUUCAAGAAUAUUUAAAAUAGCUAAGAUUUCUGCUUGCAGUACAUGCAACUGACAACCACCCAUUAUUAAUCAGUAGAUCUUGUUUCUAUUUUAUAAAAAUGAAAUAUUCAAAAAAAUGUCCACCACCAGUUAGUCCUGAUUCCAAAUUUGUAUCAAUAUUAUAAGCUACUGAUUUUGCAGAUGUCUAUAGAUGGUUGGGAGUGAACUGACAGUCUAUGCCUAUGCCAAUAAGCAAUAUUAGUGAUUUUUAAGGGAAUCCAGUAGACUGAAUUGGACCAAUGCCACCCGUUGUCCCUUACAGAUCCCCACAAAUGAGAAGAAAUAGGUGGUGCUUGAAAAUGUAUUUCACAAACCAAGAAAAAGUCAAAUUACACUAUAAAAACUAAUAGUUUCAAUACUUCUUUUGAUUAAAAUAUGUAUUUCAAUCUGAAACAAAAUUCUACCCCACAGAGCUAGUGUGUUGGUUGCCAAAAACGUAUUUUAUAUUUUAUAUAAACCAUCAAAUAUAAAAAAAUAGAUAUUUCUAAUAAUCAAUGUACAUUAAAAAUAAAUCCUAUUUCAAAACCUUUUUCACACUCGGUCACUAAGACAAACAAAAACAUGUUCCAUGAAUAUAUUGAAGGGAAUUAAUGUCAUUUUAGAAAACUAAAAGCUGACCAAAGACAAAAGAAAAAAGGCAGUUUCAAUUUGAGUGGAUUUCAGUAAUACGAGUAUCUUCUUUCAUUUGACUUUUUAUCAAAUCCCUGGUGAUCUGUGGAAGCUGAAUUCAACACCACACAAUCAAUACAGACUGGUAAAGUUUCUGCUGAAAGUAAUGAUCUUAUAAGUGGUGUAUAAAUUAUUACUCUUUAUGGAUUUCUUUAAUCCAACCUUUCAAAAAAUGUUUAAUUUAAUCCAUUUCCUGGAUGAGAGAUCCGCUAAAAAAUGGUAAAUAUAAUAACCAAAGCUGUUGAAAAGAUUUAUGCAAAAGAGGGAAUUACUGGCUAAAAUGAAACUCAAAAGCAUGGGAAUUCGUUAAAUACAGAGGAUUUAUUUUUAAAUCCUCAGAUCAAACAUAUCUUAGUUUAAUGUUAAAAGCAAAAAGGACCACAAUUUAUCAGAUGCUUAAAAUCUAUACUUUGAUACGUAUCACUUGUUUUUUUUAGCUAUCAAUUUCAUUUACUCACACAUAGAAUCUUAUCACUGUUAAAUCAAAUUCAUCUUGCACGAAGUAUAGUUAACCUUUCCAUAACAAAAUCUUUUCUAUAUGUUUUUACUUUUGAAAAAAGGGGUGAGGAGUGAUGGCCCAAAAGUCAGUCAGCACAGAGUAUGGAUUGUUUUAAAUUGAUUUAGUAACAUACAAAGCCCUAUAUAGUAAACAUGUUAGCUGUACUGUAUAUAAAGAAAGCAAUUAUAAAAAUAGCAGACCAGUGAACGCCCUAAGGAGAGAGUAACAAUGAAAAGGAGAGGAUGCCCUACCUUUAAUACUUCUAAGGAUGAAAGAAUAGUGUGUAGAGGGAGAAUUACACUUAUACAGCUGGUAAGGUAUAUGUACAAACAAGCUAAGGUCCAACUAGACAGACACACAAUGUGUCUAAAAAAAUCCAAAUAAUGUCAGAACCUCUAGCUCCACACAUGCCCAGCAUGUAUACUAGCGGCAGGUAUAGCUAAAGGUAAAAAUCGCAGAGAGGAAGAUGGAGGAACUGAGCCUCAAUAACCUGCUCCUGAUGAAGGCGUGCUGACACGCCGAAACACACGUCGAGCACUCUCAUGUUUGUUUUCACUUCACAUGGUAGCACUUUAAUUUACUAUGCACUAGUUUAUUUUUAUUUAAAUUUAGGCAGGGAGACUGGUUCAGGUAGACAUUAGUGGUUAGUCCACAGUGCCGAGGUAACACAGGGAUAGAUUCUUUUCAGUAGCCUUUUUUGGUUUAUGGUUAUUGAGGCUCAGUUCCUCCAUGUUCCUCGCUGUGAUUUUUAACCUGCCGCUAGUAUACACACUGGGAGUGUGUGGUUCCGACACUAGUUGGAUUUUUUAGACACAUUGUGUGUCUGUCUAGUUGGACCUUAGCUCGUUUGUACAUAUACCUUACCAGCUGUAUAAGUGUAAUUCUCCCUCUACAUUAAUUUUUUACCCGCUAUUCUUUCAUUCUUAGAAGUAUUAAAGGUAGGGCACCCUCUCCUUUUCAUUGUUACUCUCUCCAUCGGGGCCUUUACUGGUCCGCUAUUUUUUUUUUUUUUUAUCUUUCAUACUACCUGUGGGUCAUCACCCAUCCUCAGUGAGAGUAACGGUGGGCAUGUUUUUGGAGCUAAUCCACCAGCCCCUUAUCCUUGUCUUUUGGGGCUCCUGGAUCAGCUACUUCAUCCUUAUUAUUUUACCUCUUAUGUAACUGUAUAUACUUAUCUACUGCAUGUGGGCAUUGUGCAUAAACUGGUUACAUUGUUUUCAUAUUCUGUCUGCAUUUUUCUGAAACUAUGUAGAAACAAUUGCCAUUAGGUUGUUUACAAGCUGGGUGUUAUACUAUUUGUACUUACUUUUCUCACAGCUUUUGUAUAUGAUACAAAAUCUGUUUUAUAACUUCCUACAUAAACUCUAAAUAUGUUCUGCUCAAUAUAUUUUUAACAACUUAAGGACACAUAACAUGUGUGACAUGUCAUGAUUCCCUUUUAUUCCAGAAGUUUGGUCCUUAAGGGGUUAAGGAUGAAAUAAUAAAGAAAAAUACAGAAACAAAACUGUAUACAUUUACAUAGUUUCCAUGUCUAUGUAUCUCUGAGAUUUCUCUUAGAAAUGGACACUUUGAUCAAUAUUGGGUGGGUCAGUUGGGAUGGCAGCACACAUUGACUUUUUAGAACCUAUGAAUUCAAAAUGAGACAAUAUAAACAUUGCAGGAACACUCUAAGAUCCGAACCACUACAGCUUCAUCUCGGGGUUCUGUUGUCCUUGCAGUUUCAGCAAUAGAAACACUGCUUCGUAGGGACAAAUCUGGCACUGGUACUCAGACAGCCACUAGAAGCACUUCUUUUUGUAGUCCUGCAAUCUUUGCAGGACCAGUGUUUGCAUGACGAUGAAGACCCCCAAGACUUCCCUAUGGGGAGCAUUGGAUUUUCUGAGAUCAUCAUCACAUAUGAUCCCAGCUGGGGCAGAGCGGUGGUCACAGGGAGACCAGUUUUUAAAGGGAUAUAAGGUAAGAUAAAUUUUUUUAACUUUUCAGAAAGGGGAGGAAGGGAAAUUGUAACUGGAAAGGAAACACUCUAACAUUAGAAAUAUGUUUGUUGGUCCCUCAUACAUAUGAAGACAUUGCCUUCUUCAGCUGAUUGAAAUCUGUGUGGCCAGCUCUAUCUGCAGUUUGAAGCAUAUGUUUAGCUUAUACUAAUUGUUUUUAUUUCACUGACAUGUGAGCAGCAAAAUGAACAUAGACACACUGGCUAGUAAUUUGACCUGUAGCGAUAACUCUAUAGACAGACACUAUAUGAUAGUUACAUGAUGGAUUGACUUAAAGUUAAGAUUGAUCCAAUAUGGACAGUAAAUGCUCUGCAGUUGAUUGCUUAUGCUGUAUUUGUGGAGUGCCACAAUUCUUGAGUCUCCCGAUGGAAGAAGGGAAGCAUUAAAGGCCAUCAUAGUAAAAGGAAUUAGAGAAUACUUGCCAUACUCGAAGGGUAUGGCAUAGUAACCCAAUCAGUUUGAGAUAUCAAAGCCUAACUUUUCAAUGUAUUUUUUUUCCAAAUUUUACAUAUAAUCUAUAAACAUUUUCCUUUCUUUACCACAAUUAUCAUUAUUAUUAUUAUUAUUAUUAAUAUUAUUAUUGAAGUUAUAAAUAAGUAAAUAAACAAGCUGUGACUGUCCAUUGUCCAUGCUAGGCUGUUGGGAACAGUCAUUGCAGGCAGUACAUAAGGCACUACAUGCCUGAAUGGAAUUGUUAGAAUUCAGCCCAGAUUAUGUUUCAUAGUUUGACUCAAGGUCACAAGGACAUAAGAAAAGUCAGAGUUUGCUGGGUGGUAAAACAUUCUGUUAUUCCAGAAAGUCUGUCUGUUCUCAGCAUUCAUAUACCCAGUUAGAACAAAUACUUAUUGUGGAUUCAUUAUGGUAUGACAGCGGAGAGAGGAAUGUCCCAGAGAGAAUAGAUCAUUUCCCAAUGAAUUGCUGGUCUGGAUCUUUAAUAAGAGGCCCCUGGGAAAUAAUUCCUGAGAACCAAUUAUUCUUCAACCACAGAGUUUUAAUAUAAUCAGUGACAUGAUGUUCUCUAGAAAAUAAUCACUCAGUCUUGGAUAGGGUAUGGUAAAUCUCAGAUAAGGUGUGCAUAAUGUGCUAUCCGACAAUUUAUAAACAAUUCAAUCCUCCGUCUCUGAAUGUAAACAAACUAGUUGGUGGAAAAAAACUGCUUGUUUUUCAUUUAUGGUUUUAUUCACAAAACAGCAAUUUGUAGUGUUUAAGGACCCCGUCACAAAAUGUAGGUUAACAUAACUGAUUUGGAAAGCUGAGUCUGAAUUGAGUUCUCAGUUUGGUUGCCGAGAUUAGCUAUAGUUGAGUUCUAGAUAUUAGAUUCUUCAGAUUAGAUAAAAUGUUAUACACAAGUACAUUGUAAUAUUAUUGCCUUCUAGUGAAUACUCAAUAACAAACAUCGAUAGCAUUCUUAUCUAUCCAAAUAAAACUAAUAUGUUGUGUAUAAUCAUCAAAUGGUGGGGCAAAGCUCUAAAAGUUAAACAAUCAACAAAAACACCUCAGUGGGUUCUAUGGUGACUGUUCCACUGUAAAGACAUGAAACACAAAUUGCUCAUUAUAGAGAACCCAUUUAUAUAUACAGGAUCCCUACCAGAGUAAGAUGAUUUCUCCAUAGACCUUGCACUUUCAGGAAAUGAUCUAUUUAGUUUCCAAGCAUGUUCUAUGUUCUUUGCUAAAAAACACAAAGUAUUAGAUCAUUCUUAAGAUGAAAACCCUCCUCAGUUUUCAUCUCUAUAGAAUUUUGCUGAGUGGCCCAGAACUCAAGUUAUUUUAUCUUCGACACAAAUUAACACAUCCAGCUGGAGCAUCACUAGGUCACGUAAAGAGAGAAACCUCAGAUAUCAAAAUGUGGACAAGAGGUUAUUAUUACUUUUUUAAGGAUUCUAUUUGUUUUGCCAAAAAGUAAAAUAGGUUCAAUGAUGUGAACAAUAAACUGGACAGGAAAUGGAAACAGCUAAAACAGGGGGGGAUUGUGUUACUUGGAAUUGGUAGGUACUGGAAUGUUUCUCGAUGUUUGAGCAGACAGUAAUGGGCUAGGGGCAAAGAAUUCAUUAGGGGAUGCUUGAUUAUUCUCAAUACAGUGUAUAGUGUAAUCAAUGGAUUCUCAUGUUCAAUCAUCUGAAAUGAUAUAACACUAAUCCAAAAGUGAUGUACGCUGAUAUACACCAGAGGUGCCAAAAAGGAAGAUCCCAAGAUGUUUUAAAACUACAACUAAAGGCAUGCAAAGCACCAUGAAAGUUGUAGUUCUACAACAUCUGGAAUUCUUCCUUUUGGGCACCCCUGAUAUACACUAAAAGCCCACAUAUAUUGCUAAAUUACAUAGUAAAUUAUUUUUAAAAAAAUAACACAUGCCUUCAUUUACUUAGUAGUAUUGUAGCAUGGAGCCUCAUGCUUGAACCUUUUGGUAGUCUUCAUGCCUUUUCUCGGAGUGUCACUUUCCAAUGGUUAUUUAAAGGGUGAACUUGGACACAUCCAGGACUAAAACGUCAUAACUGCCCCUCCCCCCAACAAUCUCUACCUUCCAAACAUUAUUUAUCUGCAACUCCCAUUACUGUAAAAAGCAAAUCAAAAAUUGCAGCCCGGCAUGUUAUUAGAUGAAAACUGCAGAAUACAGUGAUACUAAAUAUGGUGUGUGUGAAACUAUAUUGCUAUUUAGUUUUGCAUUAUUUUCUGCACCCAUUCCAUCUCCAGCUGUUUGUGUGUUUUUCAUUCAUCCUCCUAACCAAUUAACUUUGCAAUUAAGCUUAAUUAUAGUCAAUAGCAAAUGAAUAUUUCCUUUCUCCUGAUUGCACAUUUCCCAGUUAAAUAGUCAUAGGGCACAGAUUACAACCAUCCUUGUUGGGCUCGGAGCACUGAAAUUGGUGUUAAGCGGCUUUCGUGGGUUACAAGCGACCCAUUGACUGCACAAGCAGAGGGGGGGUAUGCUAAUUUAACACAGUCUGUUUUCAACUAUCAGCUACUAAUAUGGCCUGGGAGGGAAAAAAAAUCUUACCUUGUCAUUGAGAUUGCCAUUUCUUUUCAAAAGCAAGAGAAAUGAAGUGAGUGUAGAAUGUUUACAAAUUUGCAAUUCUUCCUACUGGAGUUUUCUCUCCCUACCUUUCCAAGUUUUCAUAAAUUUGCAAAACGCGUGAAGAUUGUGAAUGUCUCUGCUUGAAUAGAAUUUGUUGCUCAUGGUAUCAGAUUGGCUGAUGCAUAGGCACAUGGAGGGUAUAUCAGAAAACUACAAAAGCAAAAAUAAACUUCAUCUGAUCUGUUUCAACAUAGUUUCCUGUGUCUGAAUAUCUUUUUUAUUUGUUUCCUGCACUCUCUAGUUUUCAUAAAAUACAUAAGGAAACGUCGGGACUACUUUUUCAGUCGUUGGCAAAGCAUGACAAUGGGUGGAGUUUGAAGCAAGGCUCUGUUUCAGAUGCCAAUCAAGUGUACCCACAAUAGAAACAUAGAAACAUAGAAUGUGACGGCAGAUAAGAACCAAUCGGCCCAUCUAGUCUGCCCAAUUUUCUAAAUACAAUCCUCAGUAAAUUAAUCCCACAGAAGGGCAGACAGCAGACAGCAUGGGCCAAGGAGAAAUAAAUGGCUUACACCAAUUGACAUUAUAGAUUAGAGAAUUAGAUCGCACUGACAGGCGCUAGAGGCGCCUCUGCUGCACUGACCGAGUAAAACUCAUCCAUGUGAUGUGGAAGCCCAUAGGUAAGGAUUGAAUACAAUGCUUUCCUGUAAGAAGGCUUGGAUAAAUGUGCGGUGCUUGCAGCGAAUGCGCCUUUGGCCCCAAAUACUCCUCUAAAAGGACCUAAAUACAACAAGGGGAAGAGACACUAUAUAUCAUAUAUUUUCACUGGGUGUGGGUGUUUAAUUUUGGUGUAAUACAUUUAAUAUUUUCACCAGGUGUGGGCUUUUAAUGUUGGUGUACACCAGUGGAUCCCAAACUUUUAGGUUCAAGGUGCCCUUAAUAUUUUAAUAUCUUUCCAAGGUGCCCCAAGUCAAAAGAAUGUCUAGGUUGUAUAUAUGUACAGCGCAGCGGCAUAUACAGGGCCCCUGUUUGCCGUUUAAGCGCAGAUCCACGACCUAAUCUUGGAGGGGCACUGGCAGAUUAUUUAAAGAAACAAUCCAGGCAAAAAAAACACUACAGCACUUUGUAGUGGUUAUGGUGCCCUAGUGCCCUCCCAGAGUAAGUAGUAAAACUUUUUAAGAACAGUUUGACAAUUUACCUGUGAUUUGCUCGGAUAGGGGCAGUAGUGUGUGUGAGGGGUGCAAUAUGUGUGUGUGUGGUGGAGUGUGUGAGGGCUGCAUGUGUGUGAGGAGUGCAGUGUGCAUGUGUGUGAGGGGUGUAGUGUGUGUGUAUGUGGGGCAGCUUGUGUGUGAGGGGCAGAGUGUGCGUGUGUGGGGGGGCAGUGUGUGUUUGUGGGGGCAGGUUGGAUGAGGGAUACACUGUGUGUAUUGGGCAAGUUGUUAAAAAAAAUCUCAGUUAUCUACAUUUGCAGCACAACUAGUAAUGUCUGUGAUCCUUUCCAACAAGAUGUUGCCAUAUUAACCGUAAUGACUGUGAAUAUGUCAAGAUUGGCCUGUAUGUUUAUUAAGCUAUAAUUCUCAUGUUCCUUAAACCUAAUGUAGACAGAGUGUAAUGAAUGUUGUACAAUACUAUCUGGUUAAUGCUGUUUGCACUUAACAUAGGCUGGUGCAGUCAUAUUACGGACAGACAAAACUAUUCCACAGUACUUAAAAGGACAGUGUUCGUUAUGAUUAAGUGCAUUUCAUAGAUUUUGGCAUUUUCAUAACCUCACUAAAUUUACAAAUACACCUAUCUAUAAAACAUACAAGAUCUAGUACACUCACUCAUUCAUUAAACAACAAUUUCAAAGCACACAGAAUGUGAAAGGUUAAAAAAAACACCUAACCUAGGCAAAAACAUUUAGUUACAUUAUAUGAUUGGUCAUAUAUUGCAUUAUCUGUUACAAUGCCAAUGUACCCCAUUUUUGACAGGUCCUGCUCUAGCACCCUAAUGCCGGAUCUCAUGAGAUUAACCUACUUACUUGGAAAAUAUAUAUAUAAUCUAUAUGUAUAAACAUAUGUGCUAGCCAUUUGGAUGGCACAGUGUCUAUAUUAAAGGUUUUACUGAUAGAAACAGAAUUUUAUCAUAAUAUGCAUGAGAAAAUCCUUUUUACAAGUAUUGUAGAACAGCUGAAAUAUAUAUUGUAACCUAUUAAAUGAUCCUACAAUGCAAUUUUUUCUCCACUUAAAGAUUUUAUUGAAUCAUAGCAGGACAUCAUACAUUGUGUUAAUAUUGACCAAAGUAAAUGUGUAUAUGGGUUAUAUAGAAACAUUUGACACGGUAACAUUAUUGACAAGUACAUGUGAAUAUCUCCAGAAUAAGACCAAGUAGCAAUGCCCUGUAUAGAUUAAAUGAGCAAGGAAGACGACUACCAUAGUAUUUUAAGGGCAUCCGUCAUUGUCCUCUAGUUUCAACAUGGUUUAUAGAAACACUUUCUAAUGCAAAGUAUCUUUCUACCUUCCAACCCUCUACACCAAGUGUCAGUUUAAAUGCAGUUGAUGAAUUUGCAGAAAUAACCCUCGUAAGCCUUCUGUGAUAGUGUUAAAUGAUCAGCAUUUAAUUUUUAAUUUUAACACAACGUAUAUAUGGAUUCUGUUUACUGGAAGAUGUAAACACUGGAACCAUUAGCUCUCCACUCUAAGAAUUUUGCAAUAUCCAUCAAGUCAAAUUAACUGAGCAAUAUUUCGGAAACUCUUUAAGUUUGCAUGUGGAGCAGAGUUUUACUGUUGCCUCAGGCUAAAUUCCAUUAUUGCACUGUGUAAUUUUAUACAAAUAUAGUCAGUAAUUCCAUCUUGCUCUGUGUGUCAACCGUGCCAGCAAAAUUAAUUUUGAGUAUGUUCCCAUGAAUGCUUCAUUUUACACUAAAAUCAUUUAAAUAUUUCUCUGUUCCUGUGAAUAUAUUUAUUAUGGCAGGUUUUUAAAUGAUACUGUCACUUCUGAGUUAUUCAUAAAGAUACAAUCUAUAUAUGCAAUUGUUAUGUAUUUUGUUAAGAUUUCAUUUAAAUUCAAACACAAUCAAAUGUUAUUCUAAAACAAAGUUGGAACUGUAAAUACACCAGUAUAUACUGUAGAACAAUACAAAGAAAAUGCUCUGUGUAUAAGAGGCGCUUAAUAUUUUAUCCAAAAUAGAUGCAGGUGAAUGAACAGCAGCUCAACACUCGUACAAAUACCCCCAAAAGUUACACACAAAUAUAGUUUUUAAUUUAAAUUACGGAAAUGAACAGGAAACAGGCAUCCCGAUCGAUAAAGCCGACAGGCGAAACGCGUCUCGGAAGAAGACUACACACAUUUGUGUACUGGUAUCAUUUAGCACCUUUUAAUUUAUUUUAUUGUUUAAUAAAAUGUUAUUUUAGUGAACCUUGAAUCCAGAAGUCUUCUGCUGUUUCCUGUAUUCAAGUGGGGAAGUGCUCUCCUUACAUACACAUUUACCUAAAUACAGAGAACCUAGUAUAACUGGCUCCCCAAAAGGUGAGCAAUCACUUUAUAUUGCAAGUGUAUUUACAGUGGCAAUUUUUACAAUUCUUCACAAAGAGGUCUUGUUUUUUUGUCUUGUCGUUUUGGGGAGAGAACUGACACUGCCACCCCUGCAUCUUUGUCCUUCGGUGGUCUCCAACUUACCCACACCCCAAGAAACUCUGAAUGUAAAGGUGGUGGUGUUGGGUUUCUCCUCUCCCCUCACUGCUCUUUUAAACCUCUUCCCACCCCCCCUUCCCUCUCUUUCCCAUCAUUUGAAAUACACUCAAUUCGCCUUUUCAAACCCUUUGCUGCUAACAUUGCUGUUAUUUACCGUCCCCCUGGUUCCCCUCUUCUCUUCCUUGACCAUUUUGCUGCCUGGCUACCCUAUUUCCUCUCUUCUAACAUCCCAUCCCUAAUUCUCGGGGACUUCAAUAUUCCUAUAAACCCACCUUUGACCUCUGCAGCCAAUAAACUACUUUCAAUUACUUCCUCCCUCGGGCUAUCACAGUGGGCAAAUUCACCCACCCAUGUUGCUGGCAAUACCCUCGACCUAAUCUUCACUUAUGCAUGUACGGUAUCUAAUAUCUGCAACACUCCCUAUCCUCUCUCUGAUCACCACCUAUUAUCGUUUGCUCUCACGUACCCCCUCACCCAACAACCUCCGCCUAACCAGCCUCAACUCAGGAGGGACCUUAAUUCUCUUGAUCUCCAACAGUUGUCAGCUGACAUUGAUCCACAACUGCUGUCCAUCCCUUCCCUAUCCUGUCCUUCACUGGCCAUCUCCAUAUAUAACUCUACUCUUACAUCUGCCUUGAACACUGCUGCGCCACUCCAAGCAAGCACCUCAAGGAGGACCCGCCCCCAACCAUGGCAUACUAAAUCAACGCGCUACCUGCAAAGAUGCUCCCGGUGUGCUGAACGCUCCUGGAGGAAGUCUCGCACCCAGUCAGACUUUCUCCAUUAUAGAUUCAUACUGUGUUCAUACAGUGCAGCCCUUGCCCUUGCCAAACAGUCCCAUUUUUCCUCUCUCAUUAGUUCAUGUUCCCGCAACCCCAGGCGUCUCUUUGACACCUUUAAUUCUCUUCUUUGCCCCGCUGUGGCCACCCCCCAAACCAACCUUACUGCUGAUAACUUUGCAUGUUACUUCACUGACAAAAUUGAAAAGCUAAGGAAAGAAUUCUCCCCUCCUUGCCUUUCUGUUUCUCAAUCACACAUUGAUCAUGCCUUUCCUACCCUUCAGACAUUCUCCCCAGCCACUGACCAAGAGGUGGCUGCUCUUCUUUGCUCCUCUCGCCCCACCACUUGCCCGCUCGAUCCUGUCCCGUCUCACCUUAUCAGAUCUCUCUCCGCUUGUCUCGUGCCUUCUCUAACACACAUCUUCAACUGCUCGCUCUCUUCUGGCAUCGUCCCUGCUGACCUUAAACAUGCCACUGUAGUACCUAUACUAAAAAAACCAUCCCUUGACCCGUCCACCCCCUCUAACUACCGUCCCAUAUCCCUGCUCCCUUUUUCCUCAAAGCUUCUGGAAAGACUCGUCUUUACCCGUGUGUCUCAUUUCCUCAAUUCCAACUCUCUCCUUGACCCCCUUCAAUCUGGCUUCCGCCCUCUCCACUCUACAGAGACUGCCCUUAUCAAAGUUACUAACGACCUAAUCGCAGCUAAAUCCAAAGGCCACUACUCCAUACUAAUUCUUCUUGACCUCUCGGCGGCCUUUGACACCGUUGAUCAUGCUCUCCUUCUUCAAACUCUGCAAUCGCUUGGUCUCUGUGACUCUGUCCUCUCGUGGUUUUCCUCUUAUCUCUCCCAAUGCUCAUUCAGUGUCUCUUUUUCUAAUGAUACCUCCUCCCCUCGCCCUGUCUCGGUUGGAGUCCCCCAAGGCUCCGUCCUUGGUCCCCUUCUAUUUUCUCUUUACACUGCCUCUCUUGGCAAACUUAUUGCCUCAUUUGGUUUCCACUACCACCUGUACGCUGAUGACACCCAGCUAUAUCUCUCCACCCAGGACCUCUCCCCUGCUGUCCUGCAACGUGUCACUGCUUGCCUUUCUUCCAUCUCUGACUGGAUGUCCUCCCGCUUUCUGAAACUCAAUCUCUCAAAAACUGAGCUCCUUGUCUUUCCUCCUCCUAAUACUGAUCCUCCUCUUUCGCUCUCCCUUCAAGUUUGUGGUACCAACAUCAGCCCAUCCUUGCAAGCGCGCUGUCUUGGCGUCAUACUUGACUCUGGUCUCACCUUUGAGCCUCACAUCCAGCAUGUUGCCAAAUCCUGUAGAUUCCAUCUUAAAAACAUAGCCCGCAUCCGCCCCUUUCUUGCACCAGAUACUACCAAGGAGCUUGUCCAUGCUCUAAUAAUUUCACGCAUGGAUUAUUGUAACCCUCUCCUGCUUGGUCUUCCCAAAAGCCGUACUGCACCCCUACAGUCUGUAAUGAAUGCUGCUGCUAGACUGAUUUUCCUCUCUAGUCGGUUCUCUCACACCUCACCCCUCUGCCAGUCCUUACAUUGGCUUCCUGUGUGCUAUAGGAGUCAAUUCAAGGCACUAACUCACACCUAUAAAGCACUGAAUAACUCUAGCCCCUCUUAUAUCUCCUCACUGAUCCACAGGUAUGUCCCUUCUCGGUCUCUCCGCUCUGCCCGUGACCACCUCCUGUCCGUUGUCCGCACCCGUACGGCCAACUCGCGCUUGCAGGACUUCUCGCGGGCGGCUCCCUUCCUAUGGAAUAGCCUGCCUACCGCCAUCCAACUCUCCCCUAGUCUUGCAUCUUUUAAGAAGUGCCUUAAAACCCAUCUCUUUAGGAAAGCUUAUGGCCUCCAAGACUAACCCCUACCUCACAUACCCGUCUCUUGCCCUCUCCUAAAGGGCAGCCCACCUUAUUUGAUUGCACAUUCCUUUCCUAAUGUGUUUUACACCCCACCUCCUUUAGAAUGUAAGCUCGAUUGAGCAGGGUCCUCUUCAACCUAUUGUUCCUGUAAGUUUAUUUGUAAUUGUCCUAUUUAUAGUUAAAUCCCCUUUCAUAAUAUUGUAAAGUGCUACGGAAUCUGUUGGCGCUAUAUAAAUGGCAAUAAUAAAUAAUAAUAAUAAUAAUAAUAAGGUCUGGUAUUACCUUUGACAUACUUCACUAUGUGUACACUAUAUUUCCCCUUGUAGGGAACUGUACACCUGUAUACUCCCCCCCAUACUAUAUAGGGGUAAGUAUAUCGUUCCUUGUUUUACAGCGCUCCACUGAGUGACUCUAGUCGUGGUUUGUUCCAGUUGAGUUAGCUGCUUUAUGCCAAGAUAUACGUCAAUUUUUGGCAAAACAUAGUAAAACCAUUUCAGUCAGCUCCUGUUGCCAUAUCUAAUCACUCCACACACAAAAUGUAUUUGUGUGACGCACUAUAGAUAUUGACAUUUUAUUACACAUUUAAGAGAAUGUCUAUGGAGGAUCCCAUAGUGUAUGAAGAUGACACAGUUGCCUGUAGUUUUAUUUGACAAGUGCUGUCCACUGGAAUAUGGUAACAUGGAGUGACAGUGCAACUUCAAAACUCAUACUAUUAUUAAUUAUUAUUAUUAUUAUUAUUAUUAUUAUUAUUAUUAUCUUCAGCAGUCCCUCUUGGACAAUGAUUGUCAUUUCCAUGAAAGUAUUUAAAAGGGACACUCCUCUAUCCAUAUUUUAAGUAACUAAAUCAAUCAAUCAAUCACUUUUUAGUAGAUGUACCCCCAAUUAAAACAUGAAUUCACUGGAUUAUGCAUUUUUCCAUUGGAGUUAUAUCUAAAAACCAUUUGCAAGAGUUGCAUAUCUCUUGUCUGCAGCAUUUUAAAGCCCUCCCCUUCUAACCCCGCCCAGACUUUCUGUGCCUGUCCAAUCACAGACUUCCUAUUGCAGCUCAGUGUGAAGUCUUUUCAAGGAAGGUGCUCUGAGAAAUUGCUGUUUCUUGAGCUUAGCUCCACUGAACUAAACAACCAUGAAGUAACAGGACAAGUUUUUUGAUUGACAGCCAAUGGGUGUAAUAAGAUUAAUUUAUUAAAGUGACAAUUUAUUUUAAAAUCUGCACUUUUUGUAAAAUGAGGACACACUCUUCACACAUGAAGCACUUCAGCAAGCUGGGGUGUUUUAGGUGUGUAGAGUGUCCCCUUUAUGACAGUUGUAGCAAAGUAUAUAUGCUGACUGAAAGAUCAAAAACGAUUUAUUUAUAGGACAGAAAAGGGCAGAAUUAUUAUUAUAUUAUUAAUCCUAACUUAAGUGACUUCAUGUCUAUGUUUUACCACUUCUUCUCAUACUUCUGGUUUAUUACAUUGACAUGUUAAAUAUCGUGUUUAUUAUUAUAUUUACAAAACUGUGCUGUUUCCCAAAUGCCAUGCUUCUGUAAUAUUAUGUGCUUGUUUGACUGUGCUUGCAUCUGCUGUCAGGGCAUUGCAAGCAUCUUUGUAUUCAUCUGCACAACAAAAAUAAGGAAUUUAAGAAAAAAAUAAAGGGGCAGAAUUAGUAAUAUAUAUUAACAGACGAGACUGCAGAACUGAGUUCUAGGAUAGCGAUAGCUACAUAGAUUUGGAUUUCAAUAUUUCAUGUUAUUUGUAAGACUUCACAAACACAUAUUUGUUUAAUAUAGGGAACAAGUAAACAUAAUAUUAUAACUCUGGGGAUGUAGCAUUAGAGUGUCUGUUUUUUUUUGUUUGUUUUUUUUUGUAGAUUACAAAUUUCCAUAAAAAAAAAAAAAAAAAAGGUUUAAAAGAGCCAUAAAUCUUACUUGUGACCCAGCGCUGAGACACACGGCUCUCUUCAGCCCAAUCUGCCCACGGUGUAGAUUAUCAAUCCUGAUGAUCUCUUAUCCAAUUAAAUGCUUACCAAAGAGAGAAACACUAGGGACCUAGAGAACAUGUAAGGCUUUUGCCAUGGGUCCAUAAAAAAAACAUUUAACACAUUUGUCGUCUUUAUACUGUGCGCAAUGAUGAUACCAAAGGCGAAGACCUGUGUAAACUGAAUGUUUAGAAGAGGAAAAACAUCUACCAGCUUUUGGCAGUGUUUUAUGUUGUCAAACAAAAGAAAGAGCAUUUAUGCACAAAAACGUGUACAUUGCAAUGAUGUUGUUAUGGUGCCAGGAGGUCCGGAACCAGCUUACAUUUAGGGGUUUAACUAUUCACAAAGGUUUAACCCCAAUUUUCAGAAUCCAGCAUCCAAACGCUUCUCAGAGUCAUGAAACAGGAAUCCUCGGCCACAGGAAUCAUUGAUUGUAAUGGCUGUAGCUAUAGGCCAAAUAGGAAGCUCCCCAUUUGCUAAAUGCCUUGAAAAAUGUACAUAUUUUUCAAAGGUCCUUUUGUGAAUUCGGUGCAGCUAACUGGCUUAGAGCAUCCGCUGACACACGCGGCCAAUUAGCAGUGUCCCUGGACGAGACUUCCUUUUUCAAGACUCUGAGCAGGUGAAGGACAUGAGGUAGAGCGAUAGGGCACUAAAAACAUGACUUUAGGGUUAAACCAUUCCAAUGAAGUUGUUAUGGUGCCCAGAGAGUUAAUUUAAGAUGCACUGGUUUUGUUGAAUAGAGUGUCCCUUUAAUCUAAUAAUGAAGAAAGUUCUGAAGUGAACUUUGCCUAAUAUUAACUCAGCUUCAGCUAAUGAUUUAUUAAUUAUUAAUCUUGACUCUUGGUCCAAUUAUAAUAGUAACGAUAUUGUAACACUAUAUCAAAGCCCGGCAAAAUGCUGUAACCACAGUUGGAAUUGCAAGUUAGACAAUAUGCUUUUAUUGAGUUUCAGAAAAAUAUUACAUUUAGGAGAGACUUUGCAGAAAACCGAUAACCGUUCUGUAUAAUUUCCCUAAUGUCCAGGAAUUGACUGGGACCCUAGGAAUUCAUAAAAGGUUUGAAUGUGAGCUUGAGAUGCUGGUGUAUACUGCAUCCACUGCUACAAAAUCUAUUUUACAAUUGACCUUUGGCUGGAAGGAGAGCAACAAAUUCAAUCAUCCUAUAAAUCCCUAAAGUUGUUACGAAAUAUAUUAGUAAAAGAUUUCUUAUGUAUUUUAUAUGAGAUAAAUAUAAUUCUCUUCUGUACCUCUGCCCUGCUGACUCACAGAAUAAUAGAUAAUGCAAGACGUGUGCUAUUACUAAAUUACAUUUUAGACAUCAAUCAGUGGGGUUAACUCAUCUGCACUUAAAAAGGAUACCAUUAAAGGCACUGCAUAGAGAGCACGAUACUCCAUUUUAUUUUAGCAUAGGGUAGUGUCAUUUACUAUGUUAUGCAUUGUGAAAAUCAGGAUAAAAGAAAGUGCCCAAUCAGCUAUCACCACCAACACAUAGCAUAUCGCUAAUGUAUUAAUUAUUGAUCUCGCCAGAGGGCGGCCAACAGUUCCCUUCAUCAAAUAUUGCGGAAAAGACUUGGGUCACCCUCUGACAUGGGGAACAAUGGACAAAGUUUUUAUACGUACGCAUAAUAAGUCGCCGAUCUGUACUAAAUAUCUAGAGUCAGGAUAAAGAAGACAUCCCCAGGGAUGGAGUGGCCCCCUGUUUAUUGGAUAGGCAAUAUGAGCAUGGCUGGGGGAGAUAUGGGGUGAGCCUGGGGGUGGGGGAGGACAGGGGUGGAGGAACCAUCACUUGCAUGUGGAAUCUGAAGAUAUUUCUUGCGCUUAUCCUAGCCCCCCUUUUUUUAUCGUCCCCUGUCUUUUCUCAUUCCUUCCUUCGACCUUCUUCUCUUUUUCCCUCUCCACCACCUUCUUUCUAUGGACCUUCGAAGUAGUUGUAGCUCCCCGUGUUGGUGCUGAAUGAGAACAGUUACAUAAUGGAAAUAUGAAAAAAAGUACUUAAUAAUAAACUAGCUGAGUAUUUGGAAAUCACUAGAUCGCCUGCAAUUAUCGUUUCUCUGUUUAGAAGAUAAGGGACCUUAACAGACAAAUAAAGCAUUUAAUACAGACAUCAGUCAACAUCAGUCAUCAGACAUUUCUAUGCAUUUGAGGAUAUUUCUUAACUAAUUAGUAACAAUAAAAUUACUGAAUGGAUGGAAACAAUGUUCAAUAAAUUAGAUGGAGUCUAUCUACUAUAGAUACCGCCCAAGUAAAUUUUUAAUAAAAGCCAAUUUUAGACCAUAGUUAAUUGAAACAAAUUUACUCAAACUUUUUAAAUCAGGACAACUUGAGCCAACCCCAAUCGUCCUCUUUAUGGAAAUUGGUAAUACUCCAUGGCGGAACAGAGAAUCCGCAUUGGGAAUGUUCCCUGGUAGCAUCAAGCUGCCGAUUGGCAGACACUACAAAGAAAUCAAUACAUUUAAUAAAUAAACAAUGGAACACAUGACUUACUAUUCAUUGACACACCAUGUACCCUGUGUAGGGUAUCUAGGUAAAGUACUCUUUAAUAAUCAGACAGAACAUGACGAUUGUUUCUUCCUUAUUAUAGGCUUUGUAGAUAAAUGGCUCCCAAUCGUCCAGAUUUCAGCAGGACAAUCCCGAUUAGGUAGGGAGGCUGGGUGGCCUUAAAUCGAAAUAAAAAAUAAUAAUUUAUGAGUGUAUGUGAAAAUGUGUGUGUGUAUGUGUUAGUAUCAGUGUGUGUGUUUGUGUGUCUGUUAGUGAAUGUGUGUGUGUCAGUAUAAACUUAUUGCAAUGAUGAACAUGUCAGCGUUCCUCCUAAGUGUCCCUAUUUAGGAGGGACAGUACCAAAUAUGAGCCAAACGCCUCUGUCCCUCUUUUCUAGGAGCUCCCUGUAGUUGGAGUGUUUGAGUGUACAGCAGAGCACCACAGCAAUAACACUCACAGUAAUAUGUCUUUAUAUUUUAGUUGUUUUAAAUUGUUAUUUGUAAGUCACCUAAACAGACUGCCCCUGGUCACACGCACACCCAUAAAAUUAAAGUGUCCCUCUUUGUCCACUAAAAAUGUUAAAAGCUAUUUACCUGCCUUUAGUAAAUACCAGAAUUGGAGAUAUUUCUCCAAGAUAACUAUUUUACCCAGCAAUGUGUAAGUUGGGUGCAAAGUUAGUGUUAACCCACUUUUAGAUGACAGACUGCAUGAAAACACAAUGAGCAUCUUCUCGAUGCAAUGCCUGUUCCUGUUUUUUAUUGUUUAUUGUAAUACGUGUAUAAGAUUUUAAUAAUCUUAUUGAAAAAAUCUAAGUGCUAAGCAAGCUCAAUAGCAAGGUUACCUUCUGGCAUAGAUACUGUUAAUAUUAUAAGUCAAAAGUUGUAAGUGCUUUAAAAGAACCCUACUACUUUAUUCUUUCUCAGUAGAGGUUGGCAUUCUAAAAUCCCAUAUAUUAACUAUCUCUACGUGAAAUUUCUUUUUAAGUUGACAACGGGUUUUUUCAACGAGUCAUUAAUCCAUAUCAUGCCAGGAAAGUGUCCUGUUACCUGGUCACUGAUUCACAAGCCGUGCUCUUUAAAGACCAUUUCUGUUCAUUAAACCUAUGCUUACUUCAAGCCAGCUCUUGAAAAUUCUAGUAAAUUGUUUACAUUUUCAUUCUCGUUUAACAUGUUUUGUGAAAGUGUUUGAAUCUUUUCUUCAUAUUUACAAAUUAAUAUCGCUUAAUCUUUUUCAAAGCGGGCUUUCAAACGUAUUUUUUCUGUUCUCCGAUCCGUUAAUAGAAGAUCACACAGUCACGUGUUUUUAAACCCAUGCUGCCACUAACGCUACGGUGUUUAAAGAACUAAACUGACAGCAAUCCUUUUGUAUAAAAUCUCAUGAUGUACUCAGACUCCCAUUGGGAGGAAAGAACAUGCUACAUUUCCUAAGCUUUUGAAAGGUUGUCGGGGAUGAUUUGUCAAAAAGAUAAUGUAGAUAAUUAAGAACUCAGCUUUUUAGAGGUUGCAAUGUUGAAUGAAAAACUGACAUCUUUUUAUCUAUUUCUAAGUACCAAAUGGGCUUACAAAGGAAUAUAGUGGUGUUUUUUCCACUAACAAACACUAAAGCACCAAAAAAAAGAAAAAUGCUUGUCAAAGAGACCCAAUCUCAAAAAAGAUUAAAAAGUAGAAAAGAAUAAACAGAAAGGCGAUUGCAGAGAAUAGAAAAACAAGGUUAGAAACCUAAAAUCAUGGGACAGUCCAACAUAAAAGGAGAUAAAAUACCAAAAAAGUUUGAUAAGGACAAUUAAAAGGAAUUAUUGAUUUAGACAGAACAAACAAAACAAAGAAAAUAGCAUCUAAAAUGUUUGGACUCAGAGAAUACCAGACGUGGUGGGAAUAAGGGAUGUUCUUCUGACAUUGUGGGAAAAAAGCAAGCAUUGUGUCAUGUAAAACACUUCAGAGUGGACAGAUAAUAGGAGCCAUGUACAGGAAGAUAAAGACAGUUAAAUAGUAUUUACUCUGCAACAAUCAUGAAAAAUAAAGGAGCAUGGUGUUUAAAGCUUCUGACGGCUGAAUAGUUUGUAAUUUUGGUCGAUCAAUUUCAAUCGCAUCUACACAUUUUUUUCUAUGAAGAACAGCAAGAUAAAUAUAAAUUCAAGGUGUCCAAAUAGCUUGGUUUUAUAACAAUGACCACAUACAUGUGGGGUGGGUUAGUGUGAAUGUGUGGCUGAAAGAGAAGCAUUGUUGAACUUUGACAUUUCUUGAUGUUCCAUUUCUAAUAGGACAAAGCAAUCAUUUUGAAAACGCAAAAAUAAUCAUCUAAAAUGUUUGAAGGAUAUCUUAUCUCAGUGUCACGUUAGGAAACCUGAACAUGCAGACUAUAAAAUGCAGAAUAGGUAAAUAGACACAAGAAAGUGUCACUGGUCCUUAGAGGUUGCCAGGCUUCACGCAGGACAAAAUAACAGGGUAAACGUUAAACUAGUCAAGGGAAACCAGAUAUCAGAGUGUACAGAGCCAGACAAGAGGUACCAGAAUUCAGCAUUGUCAAUGGGAAAGCUGGGUGAGAAUACUACUCAAUGAGGAGCACAACCAUAAAAAAUGAAAAGACACUUUAUUAAAUGGGUCCACUAUAACAGGUAUCUCAAAAUGCAUAUCAGACACUCAUAGAAUAUAUCACAUAAUAGUAGUACAAACAUUAUGUGAAAAAUUCUGCAAUUAUAUCCUGUGCCUACCUUUUUUCUCAUUUAAGUGUCUGAGAUUAACAGAGAGUCAGAAUACAGAAUACAGCGCUCUUUCAGUGUUUCUUUCUCUGGCUCUGCUUCUUCUCCCCAACUCCUCUCUGUUGGUGUCCCCCAAGGUCCCCAAUAUCAUUUCUAUGCAGAUGACACGCAAAUCUACCUGUCCUCUCCUGAUCUCUCCCCGUCUCUCUUGACUAGUGUCUCUGACUGCCUCUCUGCUAUUUCUAAUAAAAAAUGCCCACUUCCUUAAACUAAACUUGACCAAAACUGAAAUUCUGGUCUUUCCUCCCUCAAGUGUUGUUACUCAUGUCUCCCUCCAAGUCAACGGUGCUACCAUCAGCUCCACCACGCAGGCUCGCUGCCUAGGUGUUCCCUUUGACUCCGACCUCUCCUUCAAGCCUCAUGUUCAAUCUAUCGCCAAAUCCUGUCAUUUCCAUCUCAAAAACAUUGCGCGCAUCCGCCCCUACUUAACGCCAGAUGUGACUAAGAUGUUGGUCCAUUCCACUAUCCUUUCUCGUCUUGACUACUGUAAUCCACUUCUCAGUGGUCUUACGUGCUCCCAACUUGGGCAGUUACAGUCCAUAAUGAAUGCGGCAGCGAGGCUCAUCUUCCUGUCCGCCCGCACCUUCCGUGCCUCACCCUUCUUUCAGUCCCUACAUUGGCUUCCUAUAAAAUAUAGAGCUCAAUUUAAAAUUCUGGUUCUUGCAUUCAAAUCUCUACAUAAUGCUGCUCCCACCUAUCUAUCCUCCCUUAUACACAAGUAUGUCCCGUCUAGGCCCUUACGAUCUGCUGAAGACUUACGUCUAUCUUCUGUCCGUACUCCCACCUCUGAUGCUCGCCUUCAAGAUUUCUCGAGGGCUGCACUGUUCCAGUGGAACUCGCUUCCCUCCUCCAUUAGAUGCUCACCCAGUCUCCACUCCUUCAAAAAAUCGUUAAAAACCCACUUCUUCAUAAAAGCGUAUCAAUUAAACUGUUAAUAGCUCCUGACUGAUUCUUCUUCUGCAACUGUCACUAGUCUAAUACUAUCCUUACCUUUUUGUGUCUUUUUACCCCACUCCCUCUAGCAUUUAAGCUCAUUGAGCAGGGCCCUUAACCCCUCUGUUCCAGUGUGUCCAACUUGUCUGGUUAAAACUACAUGUCUGUUUGUCCACCCAUUGUAAAGAGCUGUGGAAUUUGAUGGCGCUAUAUAAAUAUCAUAAUAAUAAUUAUAAUAAUAAUCACACUAUUGGGAUCAAAGAACCACAGCAGGGUAUAGAACACUUGAAAUCACUUCUACUUAUAUGUGUAGAGUUUUAUUGCAAUGACCACACUCCCAAAACAUGAGGGGGGCAUCAAUAAUGACGUCUCAAAUCCAUGUCACUGAUGUCAUGACGCCGGGGCGCAGAUGCUGCAUCCUACAAGAGGGCAGGUGCGCAGGCUCUUGCGUCUUGAACGCCAAGAGAGGAGAAAGUCCUGGGGAGAAUUAUUCCAGGAAAAUGUAAGUGUCACUACCGGCGACCUUACACUAAGCUGCUAUUACUGCCAAAUAUAAACAUUGUAGCACAACAUUAUUUGGAAGUUAAAAAAGUGUAUGCACAUUUUCAUAAUUCUAUAUCCAAUCAAUAUCAUUGAAUUGUAGGCACUUUGAACACCAAGACUCUUGGACAGGGUCACUGUUUCCUGCAUUUUCUUACAUAUACCAGUAGGUGGCAUCAGGAAGUUUGUGUUUUGUUUACAAUUGUUAUCAUAACAAUUUAGAGACAAAUCGUCUGUAUCAUUAUAAUCUAUCCAGAAUGCACCAGGUCAUAAAAUCAAGGGAAAAAUCAUUUUAUGGGGUGCAUUGCUUAUUUUAGGCAUGGCCCAGCUAAGAGUCUCUUUAAGUGAUUAUUAUGAGGCCCAACAAUAAAACAUUGCAUUUCCAAUAUCAUCCAUUAGCGUAUAUACAUAGAUCACUCCUGUUAGGAAUGAUAUUGUAGAAAAGUGUAAUCUCUGUUAUAGAAUUCAUUAGCUAGCACGUGUUACAAAUAAACGUUUGUUUUAUCACGAUUAGGGUUUCAAAAAUGUUGUCACUUGCUCACCAAUAUGACAUCUCAUCAUCUUAUUUCAUGAUGUCAUCUUUCCCUUUGUUUUAUCUUUUUAACUUUUCACAAUAUCAUUCUUCAACUCAUGGAAUGGUUAAGUCUGUUCAUAGGAACUGUGCACAGCUUGAGCAGUGGCAUGGUGUAGUAAGCUGCCUUCAUGUUAGUCUCUGAUUCAAGCCCAGUAAAAGUAUACUGCUAGCUUUAUCUACAGGGAUCACAAGAAGUUUCAAACAGUGUUUAGGGACGUCUGAUGUUUAAAGGUCAGCUGCUGAACUCUGCCCCGAUAGAGAACUAAUUCAUCCUACAAAUUAAGUGACUUCCUCCCUCCCCCCACUUCCAAGUAUUAUUAGUUUUUUACGGUCUUUGGCCUUCAGCUGUAGAAUUGUGGUAUAAGAUACUCAAUCAGCUAAAAGCUGGCGGUCAUUGAGGUUCAAGAAAUAUUACUGUGUACUUGAGGAACUCAAGAUAACUUUGCAGCGGAUAGGCUGAGGAAGGGAUAGCAUGAGACAUGGGACAGAUUAAGGCAUCAACUAUCUGUUUUGCUACUAAAUGGUUGUUUUUAGAAACAGAUUUUGGACAAAGAAGAUCAUAAAACAAAUCUCUAUGGAACCAUUUUUAACUGUAUACUUAAAAUUUUGAUAGAACACUAUAAAUGUAAAAAAAUAACAGGUUAAAGUUUCAGACAGAUGGGUGGACAGAUGGAUAGAUGGAUGGAUGGAUGGUUCGAUGAAUGGAUGGAUAAUAGGUUGAAUGGAUGGAUGGUUGGAUGGAUGGAUGGAUGGAUGGAUGGUUGGAUGGAUUGGAUGAAUGGUUGGAUGGAUGAAUGAAUGGAUGAAUGGAUGGUUGGAUGAAGGGAUGGUUGGUUGGAUAGAUGGAUGGAUGGAUGGAUGGUUGGAUGGAUUAAUGAAUGGAUGAAUGGAUGGUUGGAUGGAUUAAUGAAUGGAUGAAUGGAUGGUUGGAUGGAUGGAUGAAGGGAUGGAUGGUUGGAUAGAUGGAUGGAUGAUGGAUGGAUAGAUGGAGAGAUAAAAGAUGGAUUCAUUUUGCUGCUUAGUAUAGGAAGAGUUUUUGUAAUUUUUUAAAAAUAUUUUUGUAUGGUUUUUAUGUGAAUAAAGUUUGUUUUUCAUGCUCUGUCAGACCUUUAUGUUCAGCAAUGGGAAAUAUGUGAAACUCCAUUUAAAGGAACAUAAAUUCAUGGGCAGAAUUGCCAGAGUUAAACAGUCCAAAUACACUCUGACACAUAACUGUGUUACUGCCUUAACAAUAAAGUAUUUACUUGUAGGAGAUUUAGCACUCUUCCUGUAUAGUAUAGGUGCAAGAUUCCAAAGCUAAUCCCCAAUCACCUGCACAAAGUAAAAAAAAAUUAUUAAGCCUCAACACCAAGUUAAUCAAAUAAAGAUUUAUUCCACUAAAAAGUGGACCAAGCAGCAGGAUUCCUUUGGGUCAAUGAAGUCAAUUUUAUCCAUAUUUGCCAUUUGACUGUAGACGCAGAGCAUUGUGAUGCCAGAGAGCAAAUGGCAUGGACCCCAAACCAUGCCAUGUAUGUCCUCCCCUCGGUCCUCCGUCCUUGACAUCUGUCACUCUCAGGAAUGAUGUCAGUGGAGUAAGAUCAAGCUGUAGGGAAACCUUGGCCUAAGAACUGGAAUUGAGUUUAAGCUAAAUUCUAUAUAUUUUUUUUUUUGCAGGAGUGAUCAGUAUAGGAAGAUUAUGGUAUAUUAUUUUUAUAAUUCACAGUUUUUGGUAGGAGUGACCAUCUAAAUCCUUUUUGCCCUGUAUGAUUUGUUACUUAAAACACAUGAUUUAAGGACGGAAUCACUUUGCUAAGGCUUUUAGAAGUUUUGGAAGAAGGACAACUAUUGGUAUUGUGUAAUUUUACUAAUUAUGUUAUACAUGGGAAAUUGUUUCAAUUCUCAAAGAUCAACAAACCUGGCUACAUUUUUUUGCUGCCCCCUCUGCUUAUGUGUGGAAUUGCAUGUCAGACAAAUUGCCUUCAUAGUCCCUGCCUGCCCUCUCCACCAAGGAAGUGGAAGACUGCCCUCAACUACACAUGGAUUUUAGACCAUGUAUAUGUAAUAGAAAUUCAUUAUUAAACCUACCAUUGUACAUUGCUACAGGUUUCUCAAAUGCCAUUAUUUUUUGUUUUAAAUUAUUGUGAUAAUAUGUAUUUUACUCUUCUGGAGACAAUGCCAAACAGAUGCACUUUGUGUCAAUUCCUUUUUUUAAAGGAUAUGCUCCCUGUCAGUUUUUACAAGGUAUGUUAAAUUUGCAGACAAGAAAAACGGAUCAAAGAUAGGCAAUGUGGACACAAAAACUUUUUGACAUUACAACUGUCGAUACUAAAUAUUGAUUUGUAAUUAUAAACGGAAUGAGCUCUAUAGGAGGCAAACCUUGGAAUUACGGAGUCUAGCUUUCCAAUAAUGAACAAGUUAAUCAUCAAUUAUUUUGUAAGCAUUAAAUAUUAUCUUAUUCCACCCAGACUUUUCCAAGCUUAGCAAUCAAUCCCUGAUCUUUUUGGUUUGAAAAUAAACUGUGUAACUUGUCAGGCUCUGUCUGUGUUUGUUUAUGUUUGUUGUGAUAUUAUUGUAAUAAGACUUGACAUGGAAAUGAGAAUUCGGAGAAACAAUUAAUAUUGUGUAUGAUAGCACUUUAAAUGCUGUUCUGAGAUAAUUAUCUUCUUUCUACGUGCAGUUGCAUUUUUUUAUUUUGUAUCUUCUUGAUUAUGUCUGUGUUAUGAUGAAGAUAAUAUAGAGGAGAUCUGUGCACAUCACAUUAUACAAGCUAUGUCUAGGUGUAUUUUUGGUGGCAUUUAAACACCUAAAAAAAUUAAUAGGGUGACUCAGUAUCACUUAGCUGGCCAAUAUGCAGUUAUAGUUUAUUCUGAUGUAAUUUUAUAAACGAGAUGUUAUUAUUUUAAACCAAAAAAAAAAUAUCUCCUGACAUUUAUACUGAGACUCUAUACAUCCAUUAUUUUUCACAAAUGUAACCAUUAAAGUGUUACUGUAAUGCCAAUGGGACAUAAUGGCAAUUUGUAGCCAAUAAAAUUCAUUCUAUACUUAGUGCGUGCCUGCCUACGUACUGGUAGAUUUAUAGGUACAAUUUUCAGUCGAUUGUGCCGGAUAUGUCUUUUUGCACCCACAAUGCAUAGUGAACCAUCCCACAAUGGGUUUCAGGUUCCCAAACUUUAGAUCAUCGAAUAAUCAAUCACACCAAAAUAUUUAUUUGUUUUAUCAUAAUUUGCAUAGCAACAACGUAUUCUUCAGAGUUAUUAUAUUUCAAUGGAGAUAUAAAGCAACAAAUAGUUAAUAAAAACAGAUGCAGAAGGCUGAGAUCCUUGGGAAAAUUAACUUCUUAUUAUUAUUAUUAUCACCAUUUAUAUAGCGCCAACAGAUUUCGUAGCGCUUUACAAUAUUAUGAGAGGGGGGAUUUAACUAUAAAUAGGACAAUUACAAGAAAACUUACAGGAAUGAUAGGUUGACGAGGACCCUGCUCAAACGAGCCUACAGUCUAUAGGAGGUGGGGUAUAAAACACAACAGGACAGCUUACACUCCAUGAGGAAUUAGGGAGGUUAAGAACUCUAUAGGAAUAACAGUGUGUCAGAAGGGAGGAGAGGUUGUCAGGUAUGGCAGCUGUCUAGAUAAUUUGUGAAACAAAGAUUAUUAAAGUUAUUGGCACAGCACACCAGCAUAAAUUAACAAAACAUAAACAAACAAGCAAAUACAUUUAUGUGUAUAUAUCCCUAGCAGCUCAUCUCUAAUGAGUCAUUACGGAAAAUUACUUAUAUUUUAUCCAAAUUAGGACUCUGCUAAUUUGGUGUAAAUUUGGUGUCAAUGUUAUCCCAUAUUUUCACACAGAAAUGAAACCAUAGUAAUCAGCAUUUAUCUGUUAUAUCAUCAAUUGUACUGGCACCCAUUCAUCAAACAGUUAGCAAUGGAAACCAGACAGACAACUUACAAAAAUAUUGAAUUAGAAAACAGGGUUCAGUUCAGCGUUCAGAGUUGGUGAUAUUUUCAGUCUUUACACUUUUGGUCUAAUUUUGACAAUUACAGACGUAGUUACUAAAAUGUGAAUUCAAAGUGAAUUAUGGUCAAAUUAACUGUGCUUUCAUUUCACCUACUUUGGCCCUUACACUUGAAAUUCACAUUGAAUACACUUUGAAUUUUUACUUUAAUCAAUAAUCCUGUUGGUUUUUCAAGACACCACAGCCAGUGUGUCACAAAUAAACCCUUAGUAAAAAUGUUUUGUUUUUGUUAAAGGAACACUUCAUAGGAAUUUUGGUUAAAAUUGCCUGUCCAUGCAGAGAAAUAGGCAUUUUUUAAAAUACAUUUGCCACACAAUAAAAUGUCAGGAUGGUUUCCAACCUCGCUAACUUUCAACUAUAAUUCAUACUGGAAGUGGGGUGGUGCGCUGAUCUCAUCACUUAACAUUAAUAUACUUCUCAGUGAAGUGUAACAGAGUUUAUUAAGGACUGUAUGUCACAUGCAUGCGCGAUUUGUCCCCGUGGCCUCUGAUUGGGUAAUGUCCAGCCCAGACAUUCCCGUGCAGCAGUUCGACAGCUGAUAUAAACUUUUAUAUGUUUUUUUAUACCCCCUUUAAAAAAUAUUUAAUACCUGUUUUUUGAGAGAGUGUAUCUAAUAUAUAUUAACUAAAUGGUUGGAGAAAUAAUUUACGAGGAUUUAUUUACUGGGGACCAUGCAACACAACAUGCAAUCAAGGUUGUUAUUUCUGGUUGUCUGCCAUUUUAAUCCCAAAUAGAGGAUUUCAGAAAAGAUCCUCUGCCAACAUCUACCAAACACGACCCAGAUCAUCUUAUUCAGCUCAUCCUGUUGGCAAAUUCUAAACACAGUUUUAAAAUAAAUGGCUAUUAAAUGGAAAAUGCCAAACUCCUGAUUGUGACAUGCUUGAUGCAUCUCAAAAUCCAGGGAGAUGGAAAUGAUCAGACUGACAUUUGCCAAGGUCCAGCACCAUUAAUCCUCAGCUUAUCUCCACUCUGCUGGUGGGUGAUGCUGUGGGACGAUAACUUUACUGAUAUUCUGAAAUGGAACCUGCUUCACAUAGAUUGGUUUCAGCGACGAUGAGACUGCUGCAAUGCUGCUUAAAAUGAUCUGUGACUGGGAGCUGGCUGCAGACCAACGACAUCCAGCUGUUCCUGAGGUUAAGCUGUAUGAGCCAUAUGUAAUGAUUUUUCAGCUUUGACUUUUGCACUGUAAGCUCAGUGGAUAGAAAGUCAUUGACUGGUAAAGCCUCUCUCAGUCCAACGUGUGAAUAUAUUGUUUUUUGGAAAACAAUACCUACAAUCUCUCCAAAUAAUGAACUUAGAGCUAUUUCCAUCUACAGAGAAAUUGAAGUUUGUUACUUAUGCACUUAACCCUUUUUACCCCAAAUAACUAUUUGGUGCCAGUUUCCCCCCUCUACAGAGCAGCCAUUGCUUCCUUCCUUCCUUUAGAGAUAAAAAUGUGUCCUUAUACCAUGCAUCAAUUCAGUCUUCUGCAGAAUAGGUCACUUUUAGUAAGUCUUUCUCCCACCUGCCUUACAGCCCUCUGUAGGACCUUGUACUCCCAUCGACCUUACUGUCCUCUGCAGAGCCUGUGCCUCUGGUAAGCCUCAUUCUCUUAUGCUACUGUUAUAGCCUUGUGCUACCACCUUCCUCUUCAAAAGCUCCUUAUUCAUUAACGAGGGCAGUGGUAGACCACCUUCGGUACACCAGAUGUUGUGGACUACAUCUCCUAUAAUGCUUCUAUAGUUAUAAUCUAGAAAAACAUUAGGGGAGAUGUGGUCACAGCAUCUGGCUUAUUAAACAUGUUAUAAAAUAAAAUAAAUAUAUUUAUAAAUAUAUAAUAUAUGUAUAUAUAUUAUAUAUAUAUAUAUAUAAUAUAUAUACAUAUUAUAUAUAUGUAACGUCAUACAUAGUGUAUUUUAAUAUUAAUAUAAGCACAUAUAUUAGUAUUAAAAUACACUUAGAAAGACGUUACACAUAUAUAAUAUGUAUAUAUAUUAUAUAUAUAAUAGAUAUAUACACAUGUAUUAUAUAUAUAUAUAUAUAUAUAUAUAUAUAUAUAUAUAUAUAUAUAUACGUAUAAUUACAAUAAUAAAUAAAUAAAAUAAUAAAAUUAAUAAAUAAAAUAUUGAAACAAAAUUUAAUAUAAAUUAUAUAUUCAUAUGUAAUUUCAUUCUAACUGUAUUUAUAUAUAUAUAUAUAUAUAUAUAUAUAUAUAUAUAUAUAUUGGUAACAAAAUACACUUAGAAUGACAUUCUAUAUAUAUCUAUCUAUAUAUAAAAUACAAAUAACCGCAAAUAUAUAUAUAUAUAUAUAUAUAUAUAUAUAGAUAGAUAAAUACAUAUAUAUAUAUAUAUAUAUAUAUAUAUAUAUAUAUAUAUAUAUAUGUAUAUAUAUAGAUAAAUACAUAUAAUUACAUAAAAGAUUACAUUAGUAUACAUGUAGAAUUUAAAUACCUAUAAAUGCAUAUAUAUUAAAAUUCUACGUGUAUAUUUAAGUAAUCUUCUAACAUAAUUAUGUGAUUUGAUUAAUUAAAAUUUGAUUGACAUGCCUGACAACACAGGGAGAAAGUGCAGAGAAUUUAAUUCGCAAGCACUAUAUUUGACCCUGUAACUCUCCAAGACACCAAAAAACCUGUACAUAGGGGGCACUGAUUUACUCAGGAGACUUCGCUGAACUCAAAUAUUAUUGUUUCAAACUGGUAAAUUGUAUUACAACGAUGAUAUUUUAAGUAAAAGUUAAGUUUUUUACAUUUUUUUACAAUCAAACAGCACUUUUAUGGACUAUAUUAUUGUUGUAAUAUGUUUUACUGUUUUAAAACACUAAUAUUUAUGUUUAGUCUCCCGAGAAUAACAGUACCCCCCAUGUACAGGUUUUAUGGUGUUUUGGAAAGUUAGAGAGUCACAUAUAAGGCUUGCAUUUCAUUUUUUUUACAUUGAAAUUUGCCAGAUUGGUUAUGUUGCAUUUGAGAGCGUAUGGUAGCCCAGGAAUGAUAAUUACCCCCAUGAUGGCAUACCAUUUGCAAAAGUAGACAACCCAAGGUAUUGCAAGUGGGGUAUGUCCAGUCUUUCUUAGUAGCCACUUAGUCACAAACACUGACCAAAUAUUAGUUUUUUGCUUUUUUCACACAAAAACAAAUAUGAACACUAACUUUGGCUAGUGUUUGUGACUAAGUGGCUACUAAAAAAGACUAAACAUACCCCACUUUCAAUACCUUGGGUUGUCUACUUUUUCAAAUGGUAUGCCAUUAUGGGGGGGUAAUUCUCAUUCCUGGGCUACCACACCGUCUCAAAGGUAACAUUACUAAUCUGGCAAAUUUCAAUUUGAAAAUGUAACGUUCUAUAUUUGACCCUGUAACUUUCCAAAACACCAUAAAACCUGUUAAUGGGGGGUACUGUAGUACUCGUGAGACAUCGCUGAUUACAAAUGUGUGCAUUUUUGUGCAGUAAAACCUAACAGUAUUAUGACAUUCACAGCUUAAAAUGUCAGACGGAGAUACAAAUUUAAAAAAAAAUCUUAUUUUCUCACAUUUUUUUAAAAUUUUAUUCAUAAUAACUUACGUUCCAUAUAUGAAUAGUUAAUGAUAAAUUAAAGCCCUGUUUCUCCUGAACAAAAUGAUAUAUAAUAAGUGAGACAUAUAGCGCAAAUUCCAAUUUUUGUUUACGUUUUGUUUUAAUCAGAACGUGCACUAUUGACUCCGUCCUGAAGGGGUUAAGAGACAUUUCAACAGAAAUAUAAACUAUUGAUUUCACAGAAAGUGUACACAAGUGUAAUAAUUAGUAGGAUCUACCAAAUCAAUACACUGAGUAAGCAGUGAAACUUAAACGAUCAGUAAUUAAUAAAGAAAAUGAAAGAGGGAAGGGAACUGUGAGGGCUGCCCAGCAAUGUAACUUAUGGACUCGUAAUAAUGAAGGACAACAACAAUCAAUUUACAAUUGAUUUACAUAUUUGCCUUUAUCACCUUUAACAUAUAAACAUCUUUUGCAUCGUUUGUCUAUACAGGAACAAUAACAGCCAAUCGUAAAAGUCGAUUGUAAGUUUUGUCCACCAAUAAACCCCUUCAGCACUGGAGGGAUAAGCCAUAAUUAUAUAUCUGAUUCUUGAAUUAAUUGAUACCUGCUUGAACUGCUACUAAUUACUCUCAUCUAAAUUGCAGCUGUGAUCAUAUAAACAUAUAGAAGAAACCCUUUUUAAUAUUUAGAGUACGUCCGUACCUUGGCAGAAAUUGUAUUAUUAUUAUGACGUAUUUACUUUGUUACUCUGUUUAGAAUGUUUAGAAUGCUUUUUGUUCAUAUUUGAUGAUCUAAUGAACUGUCACAAGGCAGCUAAAUUUAAUAGCAAGUACUUCUGGAAUCAGGAAAGUUAUAUUUAGCUUCUUUCUAGAUUCCAUGCAUGAUCUAGAUGGUAUUACCCAACUUAACAGUACACAUUUUAUUGACAGGGCUAAUAUUACGGUGUAACUUUGCAUUACCACUAUAACAAGACAGGCAUCUGGGGGUAGUGGCUAUGGUGCGUAGAGUGCACAUUUAAAGCAUAUUGCUUAUUAUUUUGAUAUCUCUGUAAUGCCACUGAUCCGUAAAGGAUUAAUCUGUAGGUAUACUAAUUGUCAGUUCAGAGUGCUAGUGCACACACUACUCAUUAGGAAUGUACCUUGAGAACCAAGAUCCCAUUGCCGGCAAUCAAUGAGUUUUAUGCAUGAAACUGGCAACAUUAGAUUACAACUACAAGCCAAUUGGGAGAACCGCUAGCACUUACGGUAAAUUAUAUGAUAUACAUUGUGAAUAUGAACAUUUCAUACAAAUCCUGUAUCUUCAAUGACACGGUGAACAGAUCCCCACUAACUAACAGCACACAGGAUGCACAACUGUCAUUGUAUGGGCCCCACUCAAUUUUCGUGUAAAUUUAGAACUGCAAACCUCAUGUGCUUACUUUUUAUUGACUUCUAAAAUGUGACUGAAAUUCUGAAACUAUUACUGAACGUUUUUAAAAAGAGGGAAAAAUCAGUGCGCUCGAGACUUGGGGUCUAAUAGCUCACUGUCACACUCUAUUGACCAGUAUUGUGGAUCAUUAAUUGCCCCUGGCUUUUUCUACAAGUCAUUGCUUUCCAAACUGGACAUUAACAGCAUGUAAUUGACAAUUUCUUUUCCAUUUUUUUAUUUUGUAAAGAAGAGAGAGAAAAAUGUCCGACUUGGGGUUUAAGAGGUAAAAUGCCGCAUUAAAUAUUUAAGAGAUGAUGUGUGUUUCUUUCUACGGGGAAUUUCUCUUUUGUUCAAUCAUGUUUUAUAGAAAGGUUGGCUCCUAAAUGUUUCCAGAAAAAGGCAUUGAAAAAAUAAAAAAACCUCCUGCAUUUUCAAUUUGGGAUUUUCCAAGUUGCAAUGUGUUAUAGACAAAGAAAAAUCAAUUAGUGCAAAGUGUAUGAUUUUAUCUCAUCUUGUCAUAUUAUGCAAAUUAAAUUGUUCUUGAGAAAGACAAGAUAAUGAGGAAAUGAGAAUACUGCAGAGAGGAAAGCUUUGUAUAAAAUACCCGAACCGAAGGAGUGUUUGAAAGGUAGAUUCCCAGAUCCUCUGGUUAUGUGGGAAUCAACCUUUUAGGUACUUCUGAACUAACUCAUGCCUCCUGACAUGCCUUGAUUUGGUGGGACAGUCCUAAUUUGGGUCUCCGUUCACAGGAUUUCACAAGCUGCACCAGGCCACAUAUGAUGAUUAUUGCAUGAGUGCCGCACACUCUAAAGUCCUUGUUCAUCAUGUUAAUUAUGCUAAUAGGAUAAUAUGUUAAACGGGAAGUUCCAUGAAGACAAAAACAUUGUAAGUCUAUGCACCACCAGUUUAGUAUUCCGAGGACUAAACCCCCGAGUGACUAUCUUAUUUAGCAAAAAGGGUCAUGUUUAUGUAUGUCAAUGAAAAAGGCAGUUAACAUGCUAAAGUAUUAAUUUCUGUUUUGAGCAUUGUUAUAGUGAUAAUAAUAUCUAAUGGGGGGAUUGGAGGCUGAAGCCCCAGACAAUGGACUCUUUGGAUCCCUGCAAGUAGUGAACAGGACAGGAGGAUAUUGGAUUUUUAUGAAACAAUUUUGCAGACAGCUGUUUCUCAAUAAAGCUCUAUUAUAAAAUGAAUUAUCACUCUUAAAGUGCUCUGCACUGUUUUUAAAGAGGUGGCUGGGGAAUAGAAUGUAUCUGUGAACCAUUCUAUUAUUUAGGUAGUGCGGCAAGAUCACAUUGCUGGCUCUACAGGUGGUGCUUGUUUCUGGUUAUGCUUUCAUUGAAAUAGUGUAGUGCAUGUGCUGUUCAUUGCUAGAGAGUAGGUACUCAGACGUAGUUAUAGUGAUGAUCUGAUAGUGUUGCAUAGUGCUGACUGCUAUGAUAGCAAUGAGCACUAUAAAAGUCUUUUGUGGAAAAUAGAAAAAUUGGCAUCCUCUAAAGCGAGACUGGUGGGCAGAUUGGAGGAGCAGUGAAAAAAAAUCUAUAUCUAUUAAAUAUAUAAGUUACAAAAAUAUAUACGUGGUGUUUUUACUGCUCCUCUUCUUUCCCUCUAUUGCCCAUAUCUCAUUUGAUCAAUAUUUAUUGGCCUUCCCCUAUCCACCACUCAUCUUUUUUGCUAUCAAUCAUCUAUUUUAUGGUGCCAUGGGCAGAAUAUUAAAUAUUGACCACCCUCGAAAAUGUUUGGGAUUGUGCAUUCUUGACGAACACCCGAUCAGCCCUAAUUCAGACAAAUUUCAGUUCAGUCUGAAAUAAAUCUAAUUCCUAUUAAUAAUAUCAACAGGCUGUUCAAGACCUACCACUGCUUGGCUAUUUCUGAACAGUGAACUUAUGGAGUUCAUUUGUUUAAGUAGCUAGUUUUAUGGAAACUUUUUUUAAGUUUCACAAAAGAUACAUUUCGAUUAAACUAAUAAGUCUUCCUUCUUCUUGAUCGAAUUUGAUGAUGUGACUUGUUCAAUCUAUUAGCUGACAUGUCACCUCACUGUACCAUUCACAAGAAAUUGAUCAUAAUCUUCUGAUUGUCUUUCGUUAUUGAUUUCUUGUCAUGCAUUUUGAAACAUCAAUAAUUCAUUGGCCUGUGUUGAAUGAGAUUUAAAAAAAAAAUAUGUUUAGGUUACAUUCUUUUCAAAAAGCAUACAGCACUUCAAUUAAAAGAUGAUUAAAACAAUAUGUAUUGGGAUUAUUUACAAAACUGCUAUUAAAGUGUAAACUUGAGACUAAAUCAUGUAUAAAAAUCGAUUUUUUUAUUUUUUAUUUUUAUUUUUCAAUUCACUUAUUUUGGACUAAAAUUUGCCAUUUCCAGGCUUUAGUGAAUACCCCAUAUACUUUGUGUGUGUUAAAAUUACAUUUUAAGUAGUUUAACAGUUUUAGCAUAAUUUUAAGGAAACCCUUCUACUUAUACUGCACAUUCCCUUAUUUAUUUAGAAAACAAUCCACAAACACCUUCUGAUGAUUUGAUGGAUAUUUUGCUCAUUUUUGAUUGAUUGGAAUUUUAUAGUUGGUCAUAAAAAAAUAAACUGGACAAUGGUCGGAGAUUUGACUGUAUGAAGAAAUUCACUCUUGUAAUUGUUUUAUCUAUAAAAAUGAAUCACUUUCCGUUUGCCUCAUGGAGAACACAAGUUAAUGAAAAAUUCUUCCAAGAAUUUGAAGUACUGUUAUUGUGAAAGUCUUGCUCUUUUAACCUUGGUGUGCUUCUAAUGGCACAGGUAAUCUGUUACAGUUUAUAUAAUAUACUAAAACGAAUGGCAGGCUGGGAAUAUUCUCUAUAUUUUAACAUCCUCCUUUAUCGAAUGUUAUGUCAAUCCAUUAAGAGCUAUCACAACCGACAACAAAUCUAUAUUUCUUCAAGACAAAUAUGACUACUUUGAACUACUAUAUAAAUGGUAAUAUGAUAGCAUCAGAUAUUAAUGUAUUUUUUUUAUGGCCUUUCUGUUUGAGAUCUUCCAUUAAGAGUUCUCAAGUUGUGCCAGAGACCAAAAAUCAUACAACGAACUGUUUUUUUGUUUUUUUAAGGUCAUCGUUCAGAUAUAUAUUCAGAAAAUAGAAAUGAUAUUGUCUAUG